Molecule: long non-coding RNA, 146516 nt
Filed under: Malus domestica (apple)
Lineage: Eukaryota; Viridiplantae; Streptophyta; Magnoliopsida; Rosales; Rosaceae
Description: long non-coding RNA (MDOM_LNC018268)
Source: RNAcentral
AAUGUAAAAUGAGAUCUUAUGAGUGGUCAUCAGGACAGGACAUCUAACAUUUUUGGAGUGAUAGCAUGAGUCAUGACUUGGAUGAGUGGUGAUGUAAUUAAAUGAUGUGAACCAUUUGGCGUUUGCAUGCAUGAUGAUGAUCUUGGCGUUCUGAAGCGAAGAAGUCGUCGAUAUUAACAGCAACUGCAAGUUGCUGCAGAUCAGGACAUAUGUUAUCUACAUCCCCAAGUGAAUGAGAAAAUUCAACAACGGCAAGUUGCUGAUGAGGAAAGCGUAUGCAGAGACUUGGUCCAAAUGUAAAGUUGGUGUGAGAAUGUGAGGACAAAAAGAGACUAAAUUGUGUAAUUGCUUAUUAAGAGAUUAGAGUACUUCUUAUAUUGUCAAUUGAUUUUACAAAAAUACCACUCUUAUCAUAUAUUUGUAUCAUUAUUUAUAAGGAAAAUUAAUGAAAAGAGUUUGAAAACUUUGAGUUUUGAUGAUAAGGACAAAAUAAAGGGUAAAAUGAAUAGUACCAUGAUUGACUUUUUAGUGUAAAAAUAUGGUUUUUCGUUAAAGUGAACAGUACCGGGAGCUUUUCGUUAAAGUUCCGUUAUUUAUAUCCUCCUUCUAAUAGAGAUAGGAUUCACUUGCAUUGGUGGACACUACCAUUAUUAAAGAGAUAAUAUAAAUAAUGGUAUAAAUAGGUUACACUAGGUAGUAAGUAUAACAUUACUUUUAAUUUUAUGAUAAAAUCUCAACUUUCUUGAGAAAAGUGUACGAUACAAGUCGCAUCUUUUAUAGCCACCCUUCUUUUAAGGACAAUUCUAGAAUUGUACAUAAAUAUUUCAAUACUAAAGCAGCUCAAUGUGUAAUAUUACAGUAUACAAUUCAACUAAUAUGAUCAAAGUCUUGGCCAACUCUAGGUGGGAAAUUAAAAAAGUGGCCGCCAUUUGAUCAUGCAACUUGGACAAAAUAUAUUAUAGGGCAAAUUACAUAAAAUUACCUUAAUUAUCGGUCGAACCACAAUUUUAUAGCUCAUGUUUUAAACAUUUCAAUGUCAUACCUUAACAUAUGAUGAUGUGUAAGAGUGGGAUUCACUCAUUUGCCACCUUGAAUAAAAAAAUAAUAAAUUACUAAUUCUUAAUUAAUAAUUAAACUUAAUUAAAAAAAAAAAAAAACUCUCUUCAUUUCCCCAGAAAUCGUCUCCUCCCCCUACUCCCUCCUCCGUCCCCCUUCUUCCUCAUUCGUCCCCUUCACUCCCUCAUCCGUCCCCCUUCUUCCUCGUCCAUCCACCGCCUUCGAGUCCACCGAUUCGGACCAGCGAGUUCGUCAUAUCAGAUCGGCAAAUAUUCAAUCUGUUCGACGGGAAAGAUCCGGUGUUUUGACUCCCUCCCUGGUUCUUAUGGAGGUUGCAAUGAAAUGAUCUGGCUACGACGUCGGCGAGCACAUACAUGUCUUCUUCGGUAUCAAAAUCGAUCCGGUUUUCUUUGAAACGGCAGUGGAUCGAUUCGCAUGAUGGUUGGGAGAAAUCGAAUGGUGGUUGAUGGAGAACCGAACGGACGGAGACGGAAAUGAGAAGGUGUAGAAGUUGACACGCAUCGGGGAAGCGAAUCUGUAGCAUUGGUGGUAACCCAGAAAAUGGGAAAAAAAAGGGGAAAGAAAAAGAAAAAAAUUGGACUGUAAUGAACUUCCAUUCUUCAAUUAAUAUUAUGGAGGAUUUAAAAAAUCCGGAGUUCUGGGCGAAUUUUCAAAUGGCCACUUCUUGAAUUUUUGAAAUUUUAAUUUCUCUAAUUAAAAAAAAAUGAAUUUCUCUAAUUUCUUGAAUUUUGUGGGUUUGUAUUUGUGUUUUUCGUUUUGGGUUUUGUUUUUGUGAGGUUCUACGUUUUGGCUUUCUGGAACUCUCCCUUUGCAAUUUUGUUUGGUGGUUUUUCUUAGAAAAAUGGUGAAGAAGAAGAAACUGAAGAAAUGGCAGUGGGGCGAAAGCCCCAGUCGGUGAUGGGAUUUGAAGAGAGGGAAAAUGAAAAGGGGAUGGUUUCUAAUGCUCAGUUUUGCGAAAUCUUAGUGAACUUAUGAUGAAGAAAUCAAUUAGUUUUAUGUAAUUGGAGCAAGAUGAAUUGGGUCUGGUUUUGGUUUGCCAUCGUAACCCACCUGCGUUUUGCGAUCGCCGGUGUAUCAGUUGUUCCCGGAGGAGGACGAAAAUUAGCUGUGUUUAAGGAGGACGAGGAAGAAGGGGAGCGGAGGAACGAGUGAUGGGAGGACGAACGGGGACGAUUUCCAGGGAACAGGGAGGAGAGGUCUUUUUGUUUUUUGUUUUUAAGUUAAUUUUAAUUGUCAAAUAAAAAAUUAAUAGUUUAUUAAUAAUUAAUUAAUUUUUUAUUCAAGUUGGCAAAAAAGUGGGUCUCGUUUCUACUAGGUCAUCAUUUAACAGUUAGAUUGACAGAAAAUUUAACGGAGGUCUGAUAUUGCAACAACUUCAUAAGUUGAGGAAUGACAUUUCAAUAUUUAAAACAUGAUGUAUGAGAUUGUGAUUCGACUCAUAAUUGAGAUAGUUUUUUGUAAUUUAUCCUAUAUUAUAUAUGUAUACGUUGUCAAUAUAUGACUAAAAUCUAAUAUAUAAUGGUCUUCUUCUUCUUACAUGCAAUGCAUGAUUCAGCCAAUCGAAAUAUAAGUGUUGGCAGUGGCGGAUCCACAGUGGGGUCAUUGGGGUCGCGCGACCCCUUGGAAGCCAUGGAAGCAACCUUCGAGACCCCUUGGAGAUGGUGGGGCGACCCCUGGUGCGACCCCGUUGCCGUUGGAGUCGUCGGUUUUCUGGGCAGGAGGACGAACGAAGAAGACGAAGGCGCUGUGCGCCAGUUUUGAUUUUGAAAAAACCUGGGCAAAACGACGUCGUUUUGGGCCAGGCCGAAAAAAAAAAAAAAAAAAAAAUUCCCACCGUGUCCCUCCCCAUCCCAGCCCUUCCUACCCGAUCCCUAUACAAUUAAAAGCCCCAAAUUUUCAUCCUUCAACCCUAACUCAAUCCCCCCAAAUCCUCAACUCCUCUCCUCCAUAGCUGCUGCCGCCCCCAACGUGAACUCCAUCUCCUCCCUCCUCUGCUGGCGGCUCCAACUCCAUCUCCUCCCUCCUCUGCUGGCGGCUCCAACUCCAUCUCCUCCCUUGGUUUUUAUAUUGUGAUGUGAGUAUUUAUUUUGAAUAUUUUGUAUAUGUAGAAUAUAUUUAAUUAAUUGAAAUUCAAUUCAUAUUUAUCUUGUGAGUUUUUAUUGUGAGUUUUUAUUGAUGGUUUGUUUAUAUUGAUGAUUUGUUUAUAUUGUGAGUUUUUAUUGGUUUGUUUUUAUUGAUGGUUUGUUUAUAUUGUGAUUUUUUAUUUUCAUUAUUUUGUAUAUGUAGAAUGCAAGAUGAGAUAUUUAAUUUAAUUGAAAAUCCAAUUCAUAUUUAUUUUGAUUAUGUUUAUGGUUUGUUUAUAUUGUGAGUAUUUAUUUUGAAUAUUUUGUAUAUGUAGAAUAUAUUUAAUUUAAUUGAAAUUCAAUUCAUAUUUAUUUUGAUUAUAUUGAUGGUUUGUUUAUAUUGUGAGUUUUUAUUUUCAUUAUUUUGUAUAUGUAGAAUGCAAGAUGAGAUAUUUAAUUUAAUUGAAAAUCCAAUUCAUAUUUAUUUUGAUUAUGUUUAUGGUUUGUUUAUAUUGUGAGUAUUUAUUUUGAAUAUUUUGUAUAUGUAGCAAGCAUUAUUAUGGAACGGUUUUUUUAAGAGAAAAGUCAUCAUCGGGUUCGGGUAGUUCGAAUAAUGUUGAUAGUCCAAAUACUGUUGGUAGUUCAAGAGCUCCAAGUUCAAGACAAAGUCAGUUAGAUGGUGUUUUGGGUAAUCUUGAAGCAGAUCCUGGAUUGAGAACUCGAAUAAUAGAUUAUGAUGCUAAUAUAAGAGAUGAGGUCCGAAGAUCAUAUCUACAAAAAGGACCUUGUCAACCUAGAGGUCAUAAUUUCCCAAUAACUAAUAUGUCGGGAAUUAAUCGACGCUUCAUUUCCCAAUGGUUUGAUGAGUUUGAUUGGUUGGAGUAUAGUGUAUCUAAAGAUGCAGCAUUUUGUCUCUAUUGCUAUCUCUUUUAAAACCAAUUUUGCACAAGUGGGUAGUGAAGCUUUCACUGGAGAUGGAUUUAAGACUUGGAAGAAAGGGAGAGAAAGAUUUAAGAUGCAUGUUGGACCGGUUGGGAGUGUUCAUAAUAAGGCUAGAGAAGUUGCUACAAAUUUGAUGAAUCAAGCUACACAUAUUGAAACGGCAGUGAGCAAACACUCUGACCAAGCUCGUAAGGCUUAUCGCACAUGCUUGAUUGCUUCAAUCAAGUGCACUAAGUUUUUAUUGAGACAAGGUCUUCCUUUUCGUGGCCAUGAUGAAAGUGCCACUUCAAGCAAUAGGGGAAAUUACUUGGAGUUAUUGCAAUUCCUUGCAGAUAAUAAUGAUAAAGUUAGAGAAGUUGUGAUGGAAAAUGCUCCGGGGAAUCUCAAAUUACUAGCUCCUUCCAUUCAAAAAGAAAUUGUGAAUUCAUGUGCCCUUGAAACACUUAAUGCUAUCAUGGAUGGUCUAAAAGAUAGAUUCUUUUCAAUAUUGGUGGAUGAAGCACGUGAUGUGUCUGUGAAAGAGCAAAUGGCUAUGGUGUUGCGUUAUGUGGAUGACAACGGGCAUGUAAUUGAAAGAUUUGUGGGUAUCCAACAUGUUACCGACACUACUUCAAGUUCACUAAAGGAUGCUAUUGACACAUUGUUUUCUCACAACGGUUUGAGCAUUUCCAAGCUACGAGGACAAGGUUAUGAUGGUGCUAGCAAUAUGAGAGGUGAGUUGAAUGGCCUUAAAACAAAGAUAUUGAGAGACAACCUUGUGCAUAUUAUGUUCAUUGCUUUGCUCAUCAACUUCAACUAGCUCUUGUUGCCGUAGCAAAGAAUAAUAUAGACAUUGCCUCUUUUUUUGCAAUGGCUAAUAGUGUGGUUAAUCAUGUUGGAGCAUCUUGUAAGCGGCGUGAUUCACUUAGAGGGCAACUUCAAGAAGAGCUUGUGAUAGCUUUUGAAAAUGAUUGUCUUAUAACGGGGCGAGGCUUAAAUCAAGAAACAAGUCUCAAAUGUGCCGGUGACACACGAUGGAACUCACACUAUGGUACCUUGAUUAGCAUCAUUUCUAUGUUUUCAUCCGUGGUUCAUGUGCUUCAAAUGGUUAUUAAUUAUAAUCCCAAUGAAAGUGCGGCUGAAGCAAAUAUGUUAAUGAGAGUGAUACUUACUUUUGAGUUUGUGUUUCACCUUUUCUUGAUGAAAGUCAUAUUGGGACUCACAAAUGAUUUGUCACAAGCAUUGCAAAGGGAAGAUCAAGAAAUUGUGAAUGCAAUGGCUUUAGUGAAAUCAUGCAAGGAAAAGCUAUAUUGGAUGAGGAAUAAUGGGUUCGAUGCAUUGGUUGAUGAAGUAUCUUCUUUUUGUGAAAAACAUCAUAUUGAUGUUCCUAACAUGGAAGAAGCAUUUAUACUUCCAGGGAGGUCAAGGCGUUAUGCUCCAAUAAAGACAAAUCGUCAUCAUUAUCGUGUGGAGCUCUUUAUUUAUGUCAUUGAUGAGCAAAUUACGGAGUUAGAGGAUCGCUUUAAUGAGGUAAAUACCGAGUUGCUUAUUUGUAUGGCAUGUUUGAGUCCGAAAGAUUCAUUUGUAGCUUUUGAUAAACCAAAGUUACUUCAUCUUGCUCAAUUUUAUCCUCAAGACUUUUUGGAUGAAGAUCGUUUGGCACUUGAAGAUCAACUUGAGAUUUAUAUUCAUUAUGUGUGUUCCAGUAGUGAUUUCUCUCAAUUGGAAGGGAUUGGUGAUCUUGCAAAAAAAAUGGUGGAGACAAGGAUGCAUCAAGUAUUCAAUUAUGUAUAUUUGCUCAUUACAUUAUCUUUAGUUUUACCAGUUGCAACUGCUUCAGUGGAGAGAGCAUUUUCUGUCAUGAAUAUUGUUAAGGGUCCACUUAGGAACAAAAUGGGAGAUCAAUGGUUGAGUGAUAGCUUGCUUGUUUAUAUUGAGAGAUAUAUUUUUGCUUGUAUUGAAAAUGAAGCUAUAAUGCUUCGUUUUCAAAAUAUGAAAUCUCGUCGUGGACAAUUAUAAUUUGUAAUAUUGUUUCCGUUAUGAAUUAUGAAUGAAAGUACUAUGAUUUCAUUUUCAAUAUGUUUUUCCAUCCUAAAUUUUUAUUUGAACUUUUACACUGCGACCCAUUGGAGUAAGAUUCCUGGAUCCGCCACUGAGUGUUGGUCGCUUAAGUUCACCCCAUCGAGGAGAGCAAGUUCUGCACAUGUACGAUAUGAAGAUGAAGUUGAUGAUGAGGAUACUAUUACUCUGCUUCCUCAGCUGCUUCUGGUUUCAGCUGUCCUUUACUCAAAAUGCUACCACUGAUCCAUCUGAAGGUUCUCUCUCUCUCUCUCUCUCCCUAUACACAUACACACUUUGCCCCAUAUAAGUGUUUUUGACCAGGAACUGGGCUUCUUUCCCUCAACAAAAUGAUAUUUUAAGUGUUUUUCGACCAUAUGAAAUGGAAGUUUCAAGGAACUUAUUUGUAAAGCCUUUUUUCUUCCCAUAUACAAAACAUCCAAAUUAAGGGUAAUUUUCCUUUGUAAUAAUCAAUUUGAUCUCUCAUUUGAUUCGAGAUAGUCUAGUAAGUGGUAAACAAGUCAAAUUGUGGUGUGAUAUAAUGUAAUACACACAAGGACUGAAUUAACUGAGAGUGCAGUGAGGGCGUUGAACUCAAUAUUUGAACAAUGGGACACACAAGCGGCGCCGGGCCUGUGGAAUAUCAGUGGAGAACCCUGCAGUGGAUCUGCCAUCAACGUCACCGAAUUUGAGUUCUCCGAUAACAACCCAGCCAUCUAUUGCAACUGUACUUACGACAACAAUGCUACAUGCCACAUCACCAAUCUGUAUGUUAAACUACUCUCUCUUGACGAACAAGAUUUCCAUGCCAAAGCUGAUUUUUCACUUGCUACCUAUAUAUGUUAACGUCAUAAUUUGACUGUGUCGCUCCAUUUUAUGUAGUUCUAAAUGUUCAAUCUUUUUGCUUUCCAGGAGCAUGAAUUAUCUUUACAAACAGGGGGUGUUUCCAGAAGAAUUUGUGGCUCUGAGAUAUCUCACAUCUUUGUAUGAAUUUUUUUCAACUCCCUUCUCUGUUUUCGGCUCAUCAAAAUCAUAUAUUGGAUAUUAAAAAUUGUAGAAUUAUCAAAGAGACGGGCCAAAAACUCACUUCCAACAACGCUGAUACUGUUCCCAACUUGGUAAUUACCACAUGCACAAUCCGUCAAGUGUGAGGUUUAUCUCAAAAAGCCUCAGUAUUAGUUGAAGUGGAAUUUGGAUAUUUAAAUUAUUCUUUCUUUAUUUCUAUGGCCAAUGUGGGAUUUCAACAAAAAUAUGGUGAUGUUGUAAGAUUAAGAGUUAACGAUUACACUUCCUUUCAAUUUUUGUAGGAGAAUCAGUCAAAAUUAUUUCACCGGUCCCCUACCGGCAUUCAUUGGCAAUAUGUCUGCAUUGACUGAAUUGUAAGUAGUGAGAGAACAUUUCUUUAAGUACUCAUACUUCUGAUGAGACCCGUAGCAAUUUGUAUACUUCAUUUUGAAUAUCAUAAUCUACAGUUAUGUUCUUUACACCUUUUUGCUACUAUUUAUGCCGUAAUCUACAAAAAAUCAUUAUGCUUUUAUUGAAUAAUGCAGUACUAAUUUCCUGUUAUGUAAUGUAAUUAAGUUUAAUGAUGCUUAUCUUUCACUAACUCAUAUCUCCAUUCAGGUCAAUUAAUGUCAAUUCAUUCUCUGGGCCCAUCCCCAAGGAGCUUGGAAACCUUAAGGAGCUAACUCUGCUGUAAGCCACGAAAAAUUGGAGAGCAUACAAUAAAAUUUUAUGUAAAAUUUUGUUAUAACAAUGGAAGAAUUAUCUGAAGGUUUCUCUCCCUCUGCAAAAUCUAGCAGGGCAUAUUCUCUUCAUUUCUCUACAAUUCACACACACUAUGUGCUUUACAUAACCGUUAGAAUCCAAGGUGGAUUCUCUCUCUUGACAAAACAAUCUCAACCUUACAUCUAGCUAGUUGCUAGGAUCAUUACACCUGACAUUAUUUGCCUUGCUACAUUAGAGCUGCACACUUGGUAUUUUAAACUCAAGUGAAUACACAAAUUUGAUACACAACAUAUUUCCUAAUCAGCUAUAGACUUACAAUUCAACACAACCUUCUAUCACUCUUCAAUAAUUGCUUUCAAGUAAGUGUUUGCCCGUUCAACAUGACUUGCAGGGACAUCGAAUCAAAUAAUUUCUUCGGAACACUCCCUCCAAAACUUGGUAAUUUAGUCAAGCUCGAGCGACUGUAAGUGCUUCGUUAAAUCAUCAAAUUUGAAUUACAAAUUUUGGUUCAUCACUCCCUCCAAAACUUGGUAAUUUAGUCAAGCUCGAGCGACUGUAAGUGCUUCGUUAAAUCAUCAAAUUUGAAUUACAAAUUUUGGUUCAUCACUUCAUCAAAAUUAUCUAUUGGAUAUUAAAAAUGGUAGAAUUAUCAGAGAGACGGCAAAAGGCUCACCUUUCAACAACACCGAUAUUGUCCCUAACUUAGUAAUUACCACCUGUACAAUCCGUCAGGUGUGGAGUUUAUCUCAAAAGACCUCGACAUUAGUUGGAGUGGGAUUUGGAUAUUUAAAUACUUCUUUCUUUAUUUCUCUAGCCGAUGUGGGAUUUCAACAAAAAUAUGGUGAUGUUGUAAGAUUAAGAGUUAACGAUUACACUUCCUUUCAAUUUUUGUAGGUAUAUGGAUAAGAAUUAUUUCACCGGUCCCCUACCGGCAUUCAUUGGCAAUAUGUCUGCAUUGACUGGAUUGUAAGUAGUGAGAGAACAUUUCUUUAAGUACUCAUACUUCUGAUGAGACCCGUAGCAAUUUGUAUACUUCAUUUUGAAUAUCAUAAUCUACAGUUAUGUUCUUUACACCUUUUCUCUACUAUUUAUGCCGUAAUCUACAAAAAAUCAUUAUGCUUUUAUUGAAUAAUGCAGUACUAGUUUCCUGUUAUUUAAUGUAAUUAAGUUUAAUGAUGCUUAUCUUUCACUAACUCAUAUCUCCAUUCAGGUCAAUUAAUGUCAAUUCAUUCUCUGGGCCCAUCCCCAAGGAGCUUCGAAACCUUAAGGAGCUAACAUAUUUGUAAGCCAUGAAAAAUUUUCUGAAGGUUUCUCUUUCUCUGCAAAAUCUAGCAGAGCAUGUUCUCUUCAUCUCUCUACAAUUCACACACACACUCUGCUUUACAUAACCGUUAGAAUCCAAGGUGGAUUCUCUCUCUUCACAAAACAAUCUCAGCCUUACAUCUGGCUAGUUGCUAGGAUCAUUACACCUGGCAUUAUUUGUCUUGCUACAUUAGAGCUGCACAUUAGGUAUUUUAAACUCAAGUGAAUACACAAAUUUGAUACACAGCUUAUUUCCUAAUCAGCUGUAGACUUACAAUUCAACAUAACCUUCUAUCACUCUUCAAUAAUUGCUUUCAAGUAAGUGUUUGCCCGUUCAACAUGACUUGCAGGGACAUCGGAUCAAAUAAUUUCUCCGGAACACUCCCUCUAGAACUUGGUAAUUUAUUCAAGCUCGAGCGACUGUAAGUGCUUCGUUAAAUCAUCAAAUUUGAAUUACAUGUUAAUUCCUUACGGAUGAGCAAAAAUUGCACUUUAACGUAUGAAAUGGGUAUUAAUCAGUUGCCUUAUGAUUUUCACAGUUACAUGGACAGCUGUGGACUCGGUGGUAAAAUUCCUUCAACAUUUGCCAAGCUCACCAACAUGCAAUACCUGUAAGAACGGCUCAUAAAUCGUACUUUGAGAUUGCUUUUCUUGGAUGAGCUUAGUAUAAGUCAACUUUUUGAAUUUUAGCUCGGCAUCGGACAAUCCUUUCUCAGGAAAGAUACCUGAUUUCAUAGGGAAUUGGACACAACUCACUGAUUUGUAAGUAAAGAAACCUUUGAUCUUUUGCAGUUUAUGAAAGCAGACCUGAGGUGGAUAAUUUGUUCACAAGCUUCUUAAUAUGUUUCUGUAGGGAAUUUCAAGGGAACUCCUUCGAAGGCCCAAUACCAACCAGCUUUUCUCAACUGACCUCAUUGGAGUAUCUGUAAGUACAAAUGUUUCAUGAAUUGUAAUUUUCUCUCUUUCUCCGAAGAUGAGAUUUCAGUUUAUUUUGCAUAUAAUGAUGUAGGUAUAUCAGUGAUAUAUACAAUGGGAGCUCCUCUCUUAAUUUCAUAAAAAAUAUGAAAAACUUGACUGAUUUGUAAGUGAAGAUUCUCAUCGAUCCAGAUACUUUCAUCUGACUUCUUUUUUCUUUUUGAAAUUUGAUAUCUUACUCCAUCUACUUUUUAUCAAAUUUUAUGUUUUUGGAAUACAGAAAACUACGAAACGCAUUAAUCACUGGUACCAUCCCAUCUGAUAUUGGAGAAUAUCGAAGACUACGGGCACUGUACGUACCAGCAAAUAUAAGCUUGAGUCCCAACGAGACCAAUUAGUUUUCUUUCAUUCUGAUUGCUCCUCUCAACUUAUCGUCGGUGUUGCAGGGAUCUGAGUUUCAACAAUUUGACAAGCCAACUCCCAAGUUCUUUGUUCAGCUUGAGUUCUCUUACAUCCUUGUAAUCCCCGUCCUUAUUAUUAUCUUUUUCUUGCCUUAUCAUACAUAAGUUAUCAAAUCUUUAACAUUCCCUACUUUUAUUGAAGAUCUGGACAUCUGACCUUUUGUUUGUUCAUCUCUUUUUCUUUUCUGGGUGCCUUUCUACUAUAAUCAAAAUGGCCAGGUUUCUUGGAAACAAUAGUCUCUCCGGACCUCUUCUGAACCAAAAGAGCGAUCAACUUCAGACUAUGUAAGUCCUCGUUUCUUAAAGUAGUCAUAAGCAUUCUAAUCCUAUCUUACACAAGCUCUUAAUAACUUUCAUGCAUUUUGUGUCUUCUGAUUCUAUUUUGUUAUUUGCAGAGAUUUGUCUUACAAUUUUUUAUCAGGAAGCUUUCCCCAGUGGGUGACCAAUAUAUCGCAAGUGUACGUGUCCUUUUAUCUUUCACCUUCAUUUUACAGUUUAAAUCACCAGAAUAUGUUCGGACAAAAAAUUAUCGCUGAGAUUCGUUUUCACAGUGCUACUUGCCUACUAAGUUUUGAUCUUGUAUUCAUUUGAUAAAGAUACAGUUCUUCAUAUGUUGAUUGAUUAAUGAUUUUAUGCAGGAACUUAGUGGUCAACAACUUCACAUUUGACAAUUCAAACAUAACGUGAGUUGAAGUUUCUCUUACUCGUUUAGACAAGCAAUACCAUCACUACUCUUCCACUACAUGAUUCUAUUUGGAUAACUAAUAAUUGUUCUCUGUGUUUGCAGUCUUCCUGGAUUGAAUUGCCUCCAGAGAAAUUUUCCAUGCAAUCGAAAUACCCCACGAUGUAAUCUGCUCUUAUGUCACCCAUCAUUUACUAUUUUAACGCAACAUCAUGUUAGAGGAAAAGGCAUUGCUUCUCUAGUUAUGUAUACAUAUGGGUAUAGAUUGCAAGCAUGUUUUCAUAAGUUCAGUAAUACGCAUAACUGGUUAGAAAUAUGUGACUGAAGAACAUUAGUAUGAGUCUUCAAUUUGAAGUUUCAUCGCUAAUCAUGGGCAGAUUCUGGUAAAAAAAAAUUACAUGAAACUUUACAGAUGCAAGCUUCUCAAUCAACUGUGGUGGACAGCAAAUGAAGGGAGAUGGCAUAUUGUAUGAGACUGAUGAAUCAGUUCUUGGCUCAGCAACAUUCAGUGUAACCAGUGCAGAGAAUUGGGCAGUCAGCAAUGCCGGUUUGUUUUCUGCCCAAUAUACCUCAUCGUCUCGGGAAAAUAACCCAUCGUUGGAAAAUACCCAUGCACAAGUCAGCGGAACAGACGUGACCCCGGAGCUUUUCCAGACUUCAAGAGUGUCCAGAGGAUCACUGAGAUACUAUGGCCUGGGCCUUGAGAAUGGGCCCUACACUGUAACAUUGCACUUUGCAGAGACGGUUUAUGAAAGUCGCACUUCGCAAACUUGGAAAAGUCUAGGACGGCGUGUAUUUGAUAUCUAUAUUCAGGUAAGACUGCUUAUAGAAUAAAAAUUCUAACUUAUUUGAAGUAAACACCUCAUUGGACUGGUUUUUGAUGUUUUAAGCUACAUUAACUAAAGACAGUGAUUUAAAGAAGACUAGAAUUAUCACCUACCUCUUCAUUUGGUUGCUAGGGUACCCGCAGGAUGAAGGACUUUGACAUAUCGAAAGAGGCAGGUGGUGUUAACCGAGCAGUUGUGAGAAAAUUUAAUGUUAGCGUGUCAGAGAAUUAUCUUGAAAUUCAUUUGUUCUGGGCUGGUAAAGGGACUUGUUGCAUACCCAGUUAUAAUGAUUACGGCCCACUAAUAGCAGCCGUCCAUGCUGCUUCAGGUAUAAUUUGUGUUCACUUAUAGAGAUUUCCUAUGAGUGGUUUAAAUGUAUUUUUCUGCUAUUAAUUGACAUUGAAGAAUUCGUCUGUUUUAUCACUUAGAUUUUACAAAGAAGAGCAAUACUGGGUUGAUAGUUGGUAUUCCAGUUCUUGUUGGAGUUGUGAGCUUGCUAUUAAUAUUUGCAAUUCUAUAUAUGAGGAGGAAAAAAUCAGAAAAAGAAGACGAUGAAGGUAAACGACCAUAUCAUUAACACAUAGAAGUAAGAAUGCUUUCAUGAAAGUAAAACUUAUGUCAUACUGUUUUGUGAAUGUGCAGAUAUUCUAGGAUUAGGCCCCCGGCCAUACUUUCAGUUAUGUUGAAUUAAGAACUGCAACUGAAGAUUUUAAUCCUUCAAAUAAGCUAGGAGAGGGAGGAUAUGGCCCCGUUUAUAAGGUGAAAUCCGUAUUACAUCAAUAUCAUGUACUUGAAGUAAUGAAGAGAAAAAAGAGAGAGCGAGAGAAGAAAAUAUAGCUUCUGUUUUCUUUCCUUUCACGUCACUUAAUUGUGUUUCUGUGUACAUUGUAGGGUACACUUUCUGAUGGUAGAGUAGUGGCUGUGAAGCAACUUUCAGUAUCAUCUCACCAAGGGAAGAGUCAAUUUGUAUCUGAAAUUGCUACCAUAUCUGCUGUGCAACAUCGGAAUCUAGUGAAAUUGUAUGGAUGUUGCAUUGAAGGCAGACACCGCAUUUUGGUUUAUGAGUAUCUUGAAAACAAGAGCCUUGAUCAGGCACUUUUUGGUACAAACCUAUCUACUUUUAGGUUGCACAUAAAUAGCAUUGUCAGCAGUUUCAAGCACUCUAAAAUUGUUAAGAAAUGUUUUUGAUUGGAUGUGUUCACUAAUAUUUCAGGAACAAGUAACUUGCACCUUGACUGGCCUACUCGAUUCAAUAUAUUGUUGGGAACAGCAAGAGGAUUUGCUUACCUUCAUGAGGAGUCAAGGCCAAGGAUUGUACAUCGAGAUGUCAAAGCGAGUAAUAUUUUGCUUGAUGCAGAACUCUCCCCAAAAAUAUCAGAUUUUGGACUGGCAAAGCUUUAUGAUGACGAGAAAACCCACAUCAGCACCCGGGUUGCAGGGACAAUGUAAGCCAUCCUUUAUUGUUUUUCCAAAGGAUACAUACAUUAUGGCCACACACAUUUUUACUUGCAUGAAAUUUUCACACAUGUUAAUAAUGCCUCUAAUUAUCUCAAGUAACAUUGUGCAACCGUUUGAUUAUCUUGCAUUGCAGAAGCUAUUUGGCACCGGAGUAUGCAAUGUUUGGACAUUUGACAGAGAAGGUCGAUGUGUUUGGUUUUGGAGUCGUCGUUUUAGAGAUCCUCAGCGGGAGACCAAACUCUUAUAAUAACUUACAUCCAGAAAAGAUUUCUCUUAUUGAAUGGGUAGGAAUUGCAUUCGCCUAGCUUCAUUUAGGCAUUGUUGUGAAAAACUUAUUUAUACUUUCCUUUGACUGUGGCAUAAUGUUUUUUCAGGUGUGGACUCUACAUGAAAACGACCAAACUCUAGGGCUGGUGGAUCCAAGAUUGACAAAGUUUGAUGAAACUGAAGCAACUAGAUUGAUAAGAGUAGCUCUCAUGUGCACGCAGGGAUCACCGAUGGCACGGCCAUCUAUGUCACGCGUGGUUGCAAUGCUCUCUGGAGACAUUGACAUAGGCACUGUCAUGUCGAAGCCAAGCUAUUUGACAGAUUAUGAUUUUAAAGAUGUAACAACAUCGUUAACAAGUAGAUUUUUGGUGGAGGAUGAUACCCCAUCAACUUCAUCCAAGGGUAGUAAUGUUCGCCUCAACUAUCAAUCGAGAGGCAGCAAUGCAAGUGGUGCUAACGCUCCCUGGAUUGACCAUGCACCUUCUGUAAACGUCACUCAAUCACUGCUCGCUGAAAUUAGAGGAGAAGGAAGGUGAUAAAUAUCAGGAACUGAUUUUCGCAUGCUCUCUCUUUUGGUAGUGGGUAGGGGACUGGCAUCACAGGCAUCACCGAUGAGAACAACUCUCCUGUGCACGCAGGCAUCACCGAUGACGAGGCAGUCUAUGUCACGCGUGGUGGCAAUGCUCUCUAGAGAUAUUGACAGGCAUUGUCAUGUCGAAGCCGAGCUAUUUGACAAAUUAUGAUUUUAAGGAUGUAACGACAUUGUCAACAGGUAGCUUUUUCAUGAAGGAUGAUACCCCAUCAACUGCAUCCAAGCAUGGUAAUGACCGCCUCAACUAUCAGCCCGAAGGCAACAAUGCAAGUGGUGCUAACACCCCCGUGGUUGACCUUGCGCCUUCUCCAGUAAACGUCACUCAAUCACUGCUCGUUGGCAUUAUAAGAGAAGGAAGGUGAUAAAUAAUGGGAAAUGAUUAACGCAUGCCAUUUAUCCUUUUGUGCACCCAUGUACUUGUCCUUGGGUCUUUUUUGCCUCUAAGGUUUUGGCUAUGAUGAUGUAUAUCUAAAAAUAGAUACGAUUUUAUAGAUAUUUGGUUCAAACUUACAUGUCAAUUUUGUGUUAGUAUGUUGCGGUGUAAAUCUCCUCUUUUAAUCAAAAGGAAAAAAAUGGAUGUUUCUUUUUCUAUAGUUGAUGCUAUUCACUCCCAUUUUAAUUUCUCACACAUUUUUUUGGUAAUUUUUGUCUUUUGGUCUUUUUUAAUUCAUUCGAUCCGACAGCCGAAAAUUAAGAAGAGUGGAUGGAGAUAAAAUAGGUGUGAAUAGCACCACCCUUUUCUAUCUGAUAGCCAAGUAUGUAUAAUAAAACAUAAGCAAUCUUAGUAGAUGCCUAUAAACAAAAGCCACAAGUUGGCUCUAGAUUAGUUAUUGUCAAUUGUUGAUUGAUUACGGUGUCACCCUAAUGUGACUCUUUGGUAGGGUUUUUGCAUAAGCCAACUCUUUUACAUGAAUGAUUAUUAAUUGUUGGUCGAUCAGUGUCACCUGAGAAAAUCUUUGGUUAAAUUGCCAUGCAAGUGUCGCCUUUCUCACAUGAGUGGUCUCAACGGUGGGGCCAGGUAAAACCAAAAUGUAAGGAAGUUCAUGCUCACCAAAGCAAGAUCAACCCGUUUAAGGCUGUGGUACUCGUCUAGUUGUCUUUGUGCCUUUUUUCUUUACAUUUGGAAGUACCAGUGCCAGAUCACUUGAGGCAACAAGUCCAGCCCCAUAUUUUAUUCGUUUCUAUUACCUCCAUUGAAAGUGACCGAUAGAAUUUGAACGUUAUAAGCCUACCGUUUCCAGUCCCACUUUUGUCACUCACUUUGCUCUUCUCUACAAAAGUAUUAAUUACAUGCGCACACGCACACGCGCGCGCGCGCACACACACACACUUAUUAGCAGCACAUAUACACCUAUAUAUAUACUGUUUCUUAGUCUCAUCAGAACUCAAAGAAAGAAUGAGAGCUUUGGAGAAGUGAAAGUAGUAGCAGAAACUAGAAGAACAAAGGGAGACAUCUUAAUCUCCCCCCAGAAGUUGAAGUUGCUGCCUGUCAAGAAGUGUUUGUAUGUGGUCAAGGCAAGCACCUUCUUGACCAUCUUAUCUGGCUUCAAAUUCUCAUUCACUACCUCUUCUAGAAUCACAUCGAACACCUUCCCGAAAUCAGUUGUCCAGUCCUGGCUUUUGAUCAAAGUCUACAUAUAUUCAGCCCUCGAAUUAAGAUCCUCACCUUGUAUCGAAUGCAGCUAAGGGUUUUGGCUUUAGGUGACCACUUUUCCCUUCCAUGGCUCAUCACUCAAUUGAAGCAACAAAAGCCCCAAAGCCAAACUUGCCGACAAGGUGUUGUCGACAUCACAUAGCCAACCAAUUCUUAUACUUUCCCUACUUUGAGUAGACCUCCAUCACUUUCUUCCACUUAACAUCAGCCUCAUGUUCGAGCUCAAGUUACUUGAUAUAGCUUAAUAUGUCAUGCGAAAGCAGCUGCAUCGCCAGGAUCAACCUCAUUGGUUGCAGCCAGUUGCUCUUGCUUGUACUCCGCUCUAUAACCCCACCGGUUGGCAGGUUCCCAGCCCUCUGAUGCCAUAGUUUUUCUCAAGGGCGACAAAACCUCCUUCCUCAGUCGGUCAAUACAACAAAGACUACCAUCCCCUUCUCAGAGGCAUGAUUCUGACAACAUAUGAUGAUCAGCGAUGGUAGGCAAAAAGGUAGUCGCUUGGGUAAUCUCCAAGCAGUAAUCAUCAUGAUGGUCAUGGUCCUUGUGAUGAUGAAAUUUUCAAUAUCAAACUCAAGGCACAGGGCAAAAAUAUCCGAAACACAUUCGUGCAAUAAGCGAUAAUCAACGUCGCACUCGUAUCUCUGAGCCGCCUUGUUGGUCGUGUGGAUCGCCUUCCUCCUUAACAACAAUUCGCUUGCCUUUGAGUUGACGUUCUUUUCCUUGACCUUCACCAUUUUGUUUGAAUCUGCCUCCUCCCUCGUCCUCCCAGUAAAUUUCAAGUGAGCUUCACCCCGUAAAACCUGCGAGAGAAUGCAAGGAAGGUCUAGGAUAUGUCCAAAUGAGCCGGAAAUUGGCACAAGAUUGUAGGCAAGGGUUUUGGGGUGGUUCUGGUGGAGCCAAACCGCUGCCGCGAAGAAAGCUUCGUCUUGGUUACAUUUUCCACCAUAGUCGCGUAUGUCUAUGAAGUUGCAAAUGAGUUUAUGGGUGGUUAGAGGAUUGUGCGACCAGCUGAGGGAAACACUUGGUUCAUCAGAGUUUUGUGGAAUUCCACGGUCGACAUGGCGUCCUUGGCGCAGUGGAAGUACAGAUCAACGCAUGGGUUGUUGAUGUUGUGGAAGCCUAAUUGGGGUUGUUUGAAUUUGAACCGAUCGGACCGCAGCAGAGCAAUUCUUGUGAAUUGCGGUCAAACGACCUUAUUUCAGCAUGCUUUCAGAAUCGAUAUCACUAGCAGGAAUGCUCGCGCUUUGCUGCGAGUUUUCAAACCAUGGAUAAUAUUCAUAGAAAAAAUAACUGAAAAUGCUACAGAAUUACAAUAACAUUCUUAAACGUAGCAAUUCAGACAACACAUGUUUCACAUGAGUAACACUCACAAAACCACACAUUUACACAAUUAUCUCCAAAUGAAAGAAAGCAAGAGAUAGGUGAAUUGAUCCAUAAAAUAAGUAGUUCAAUUUACAUUGCUACUAUCUUGUAACUUAUUAGAGCUUCUUUGCAGAUCAAUCAUAAUGAUUUCUUCAUUGCUUUCACCAAAUAUUUCUAUAGUUCUACUCUAGUAGUCCAAUCGACAGAACAAAUAGCAAGUGCGAUUUUAUUCACUGCUUUGAAUGUGUUGUAAAGAUAAUACCACCAACUAUGGGUGGCAAUUGAUUCUUGUGAUAACAUACUAUAAAAGUAAAGGUAUGGAUAAAAAAGAAAAUGCGUCCUUUGAAAGAUCUAGAACAAACCUGAAGAAGAACCUGAAGAAGCACCUGAAGAAGAACAUCAAACAUCCCUGUGGUGAUCAUAACAUGCAAUACCCAAAGAAAAAUAAUUUAAGAAAAAAUAAACCUAUUCAUCACAUAAUGCUAAAAUACAUAUGCCAACAUAUCCAUAAUUUCUAUGUUUACGGAACAUCUUUCGAUAAAUCACAACCUUCAUUUUAAAAUGGACUUUUGUAUUUGUAUUUUGCUUGUGAGUAUGGUCUUGGUUAAAACUUGGCAUUCUAGCAUUUACUUAUAUGAUAUCAUAUAGCAAGAAAGCUAUGAGACCCGAGUCAGUUUAUUGUAUUCUCAGACCCUCAAAAUACUAGAGCUAGACAGAGAUAAACAACAACACGAAAGAGAAACUUCUACUUUACAUGUACACUAACAUUUGCAUGUGCAAAGCUCUCUUUCCUCCUUUCCUUUCUUUUCUUCCUCACCUUUCGGUUCUUUCUCCUAGAUUAAGGAGAUUGUUGUUUUGUUGUUAGUGGUUGCCAUCAUCAUCAUCACAUUCAAAUCAACUUUUGUAAUUAAGGCGUUCUACGCGCGACUUAUAUAAUUUAAAUGAUAACAAAAGAACGGUUGAUCUCUGAUCUAAUUGCAGACACAAUCUGCAGAACCGUCUUCUAUGGGAUUUGAACUUAUGAAGUGUGAGGUGGAGACCUGAAUGUAACAAAUUGGUUUUAAGUGAAUAAUUCCAAACAUAUAAAAUUUAGAUCAUCACACCGAACGCAAACCGAACAAUUAAAUAAAGAACUGAAGGCAUAAGCAAUCUAACUAGACAAAUAAGUGAACUUUCCCAUGCCAAAAUCUGAAAGGCCAACAGAAAUAUUUCAUUACAGCACAGAAGACAAAACUUAAAACUAAUCAAACUUAGGUGAACCAAUUAUAGAGAACAUAACCCUUGUAACCAAUCGGGAAAAGAUGCUUAAACAAAAUUAAGAGGAGUUUUUAAAAAAACCAUCAUUUCAAUUAUUUUCCAGUCUUACAUUUGGAUUAAACAGAAAAUAUAAGUAAAAAUGCCAACUUUCUUAAAAAACUACGACUAUUUUUACAAAUUUCCAAUACCCAAUACUGAAAAAUGAGAAUCACGAAGCAAUGAAGAACGGAACACGCGAGAACCAAAAAGUUAAAAACAACACGUAACCAUUUCAAAGGCCCAAAAUCCUGCAAGGACAAAAAAAUCCGAUAAAAUAAGUACAUCAGCACUCCCUGCAAAACCCCAAAAUCAGAAAAUUAUAAAAAGAACCCAAAAUCAGUGGCAUGGUCCUCGUUUCUCCAUCAUUCAGUAGCUAAUGACCUAAUGGAAAAGAACCCAAAACAUACAGCUUAAAAUAUGGAAAGUGCUUAUAAAAGCUCAUGAAUAACUUUCAAAGCCUGCAUAGAAAUGGUAUAGCGCAGAUAACAACAGACAAUAAAACUAUGCACAGUAUAACCUAAAUCUGAUAUGUUGCAUUCCACACACACAGAUUGUUCAAAAUUAAUUUCGUCUCCGUCUUUUUUCAAAUCUGAUAAAAUCCCCAAAACACAAAAAAUAGCAGCUAACUAUUUUUUAAACUCUGUAAACAACGAUAUGCAUCUUAACCCAUUUAACAUAUUCAUAAAAUAACAUCAAACACAUUUAUGCAUGAGAUAAUAUAGAAGUGAAGUCUCACAACUUUCAUAAAAAGUUAUUACUUUGUUAGAGAAAGGCUUGAAAAAAUAUGUAAAUUACUCACGUCUAUUACAAAAAUGUUACAACAGCAGACAAAAAAGGCCAAAAAUACCAAAAGCCGCACCUCCUGAAAUAAAAACAUAACCAAACGACACAUUCACAGUAUCAAUCUAAACGAUAUCCAGAAAAAAAAUGAAAUGAACAGACAAAACCCAUGUAAAUAUACAGAACAAACCAAAAGAAAAAAAAAAGAACUGAAGCCAGUAAGAAGAUCACAAAUCUGAUAAAGCAAAAGGUAACAUAAUCUAUAUCGAUUUAAUUAUCCAUCCAAAAUGACAGAAUCUAUAUCGAUUUAAUUAUCCAUCCAAAAAGACAUUUGAACGAAGAAUAUUUUUAAGGAUCCAAACAACCAUUAAACUAAACAAUUAAAAGUAAAAACAGCAAAGCAUUCAUUGAAGAAAUAUAUAUAUAUUAUAACGUAUUUGGUUUUUUAUACCUAAAAGAAAAACAUUGGCUUUCUUGUAUGCAUUGAAGUAUGCAUGUGUCGGAAAUUUACAAUCUAUAGAGACUCAAUCUUAGACUCAAAAAGACAUUUAAAGGAAAAGUAAUAAGAAAAAUAAGUAGUGGUUUUACCUAUACUCCAUGUGUGGACUCCAAUUUUCAAUCACAAUUCAAAAUUCAAGAGGCCUAUAAAUCAACCAAAUAGGAAAUGAUCAGUGGAAGAAAAAGAAAAACAACUGAAGCCAAAAUAGCAUCUAACAAAUCAUUUAGAACCAUCACAGAAAACAAUUUUUGCAUAUAAGUAAUUUAAAGGAAUACCAUCAGGUCAUGCAUAUAUACAACGUACCCAAUUAGAUAAGAAGCACAUCAACAAUUGAUGAUCAAAAAGUUAGUCAGCCUCAAUUGCUUGAAUCCAAUUAACUCAAAGAUAAUAAACAGUCCAUUUAACGCACGGGCUGACUGUCAAUUUUAUAAAGCUAUAAUUCUGUGCAGUUCAAAAACCAAGUGGAAGAAUAGGCAAAAACUAUCUCAUCGCCUGUAAAUGUAAUUAACUAAAUAUUAAACUUCACAGCCACAAAUAAACCUAAAUUCCUCCUAAAACUAUCUCAUUUAAGCUUGAUUUUACUAUAAUCUAUAAGUGUGGUAAAAAAUGGGAGGCCAAACGAUUUGUUAACAAAAAAGGUAGACAUAGAAGUAAAAGGAACAGGGCAGACAUUAGUUGAGGAGAAGCUAAUGUCACCUUGAAUUGACGACAAACAGUUCUUAUCUUCUCGAAUUAACGAAGAUAAGUACCAUUUUUCUUUAAUUCAAGGUAAUAUAAAAAGAAAUUAUACCUGUACAGUGUUCAGAUGUAGCAAUCCUAUGCAAUCGGCUAAAUGAUGUGUGUCCUCUCAAAGAUCUGUAUAUCCAUUACAGACUAAUCUUCAGUCUUGCAGAAAAUGAUAUGUUGACUACAAUUUCCCAUACUACUAAAAAACACAAAUAAUUCUAUCUACAAACCAAAUAAUACGUGCAACUUUAUGCUACAAUGGUAGAAUAAGAUGGUUGUACAGGACGACACAAAGAUUGAGACUUUUUUUUACUUCUAAAAUUCUACACACUUUCGAGCCCUAAAUUUUCGCGGAAACAAAAGAAAGUGAAAGAAGUCGUACCUGGUUUGAGAGAGUGGGACGCCAUCGGCGAGUUUGGUGUAGCAGUGAUGGCGGAGAUCUCUGGUGAGAAAGCUAAUAAGAUGGACAAAAUCAUUGAACAAAAAAAACCUCGAUUUUUAAAAUUAAAGUCAACAAAAAUUUGAACAAAGAAAAGAGAACUCAAACCCGAAACAAAUAAGUCGGAGAACUCGCCAGGAAACCCAAAGUUUCUGCAGGAUUGGCGAUUUCCUGAAAACCAAGCUUUUGUAGGUUUAAAAUUUCUUCCCUAAGGCAACAGAUCCAACAUUCCCAACUUUAAGCUAUUUCAGCUACAUAAUAGAAAGAAAAAAAAUUUAAUUUAUAUAAUUAACUAAUCUGAUUUAAGAUUAAUCGAAAAGCUUGGAAAUUUCAGCUUUAAAAUUACAUGUCAGGCUGCAAAUCUAAUAAAAAGCGUAGAAUUUUAAAAAUGCUGACCUUAAAUACAGAGGCCUUCGCAGGCUGCAAAGAAACGUCAGAAACCCGAAAAACCGGAUCUCCUGAAACCAAAAACAAAACCAAAUUAACCAUCAUCACCCAUAAUUCGAAGCCACAAACAAAAUCCCCAAAAUUACAACCCAAAAAUUUAAACAAAAAAACCUAUUUAUAAAUCCAAAUUUACACUCCCAAGUGCAAGACUCUAAGCUCCAACUGUUCUUUCUCAACUUUAGCUAUUUCAGCAACAUAACAUAAAUAACAACAACAACAAAACCUUUUCCCACUAAGUGGGGUCGGCUAUACGAAUCCUAGAACACCAUUGAGCUCGGUUUUGUGUCAUGUCCUCCGUUAGAUCCAAGUACUCAAGUCUUUUCUUAGGGUCUCUUCCAAAGUUUUCCUAGGUCUUCCUCUACCCCUUCGGCCCUGAACCUCUGUCCCGUAGUCACAUUUUCGAACCGGAGCGUCAGUAGGCCUUCUUUGCACAUGUCCAAACCACCGGAACCGAUUUUCUCUCAUAUUUCCUUCAAUUUCGGCUACUCCUACUUUACCUCGGAUGUCCUCAUUCCCAAUCUUAUCCUUUCUCGUGUGCCCACACAUCCCACGAAGCAUCUUCAUCUCCGCUACACUCAUUUUGUGUACGUAUUGAUGCUUCACCGCCCAACAUUCUGUGCCAUACAACAUCGCUGGCCUUAUUGCCGUCCUAUAAAAUUUUCCCUUGAGCUUCAGUGGCCUACGACGGUCACACAACACGCCGGAUGCACUCCUACCCUUCAUCCAUCCAGCUUGUAUUCUAUGGUUGAGAUCUCCCUCUAAUUCUCCGUUCUUUUGCAAGAUAGAACCUAGGUAGCGAAAACGGUCGCUUUUUGUGAUCUUCGCUAGAUUGCUCCGGUCAUUAGUGUGGAUAAGUAUAUAAAUGGAUAGAGAUAGGAAAGCAAACACAAGAUGUACGUGGUUCACCCAGAUUGGCUACGUCCACGGAAUAGAGGAGUUCUCAUUAAUUGUGAAGGGUUUACACAAGUACAUAGGUUCAAGCUCUCCUUUAGUGAGUACAAGUGAAUGAUUUAGUACAAAUGACAUUAGGAAAUAUUGUGGGAGAAUGAUCUCGUAAUCACGAAACUUCUAAGUACCGGAGUGUGGUAUCGUCUUGACUUGCCUUAUCUGUCUCAUAGGUAGAUGUGGCAUCUUUUCUGGAAGUACUCUUCCUCCAUCCAGGGAUGGUAUCUUUAACUGGUGGAGAUGCACAAGGUAAUGUAUCAAUUUCACUUGAAGCUUACUUGUAGUUUCAGGCUUGGUCAAGCGCGAUACAAACCAUGUAGUAGGAGUCUCCCAAGUCGCCGAGCUAGGGGAUCAGCUAAAAGAGGUGACAGACAAGGUAAGCAAUCAGAGCUCCGGCUGAUUGUUCACAUUCUCCCUAUCUUGCAGGCAGCAUGAAGGAUAAAGAAAAGAAAAAUGAGAAGAGAUGAUAUGGGAUACUUUUACUUUUGAAGAAGUAACUUUCCACAAGCUUAUUCUAGAACUGGGCUGGAGGGUUUUCUGGUUUCCUCCAGAGUAUAAGGCCGACUGAAGAAUUUGAGGGUCAAAACAAGUCCAUCAAAUCUAGAGUACGUUCGACCCUGCUGAUAUGGGAUGUUUUUGCUUUUGACAGAGUAGUGGAUGUAUCGGCACGUGUGUUGUUACGCUUGUCUCCACAUGUUUCCUUGUAUCCUUCUCACUUGCCCUAUCUGUUCCUCAGGCAGAUGCGGUAUCUUCCCUAGAAGCAUAAGAUGUUGAAGAUGAGUACUCGAGAACAAUGCCAGAUAAGUAAUCAGGUAAGGGGUUCCAGGCAGUCAGUUCCUGGCUGGAAGCUUGAUUCCAAGUGUUGACUGAUUGCUCUCUUUCUCCUUGUCUUGCAGGUAAGAACAAGGCCAAAGGAAAAGACAGGGAAAAAGCAUGAUAUGGGAUACUCUUGCUUUUAACCCUGAUGAUAUGAGAUGUUCUUGCUCUAGUAUAGCUUGUUUGCAGAGGUAUUAUCGGGGGGAAAGAAAGCUGAAUAUUUCGAAAGGCUUCGUUGGGAGUGCCCUCUCAGAUAAGAGGAAGGGUUGAGCAUUUUUGCAGGUCUGCCUGUCCGUUGGGGAUGGGGGUCGACAUAUAUAGGAGUCUCCCUAACAUCAAGUAAUAAUGCUAUUCCUUUACCCUCCUUGGUCAUAGCACGGUAGUGGGAGCUGCCAGCUUCACAUGUUUUAACUCUGUCAGAGCACUUUGAAAAAGUGGUCUGUGGUAUCUGGAAAGCUGAUGUUGCGUGUGAAGAUUACAGACAAGCUUUAUCCACGGAGAUCCAGCUCUUGAAGUUGGGAAAGUGGUGCCUCUUCGGUUUUCGAACAAGCAAUCCUGUCGGGGAUCUGGCUCUCGAGAUUCGGAGAACGAUGCCUCUUCGAUUUUUGAGAAAGCAAUCCUGCUGGGGGUCUGGCUCUCGAGAUUCGGAAAGCGGUGUCUCUUCGAUUUUUGAGAAAGUAAUCAUGUUGGGAGUCUGGCUCUUGAGAUUCGGAGGGCGGUGCCUCUUCGAUUUUGGAGCAAGCAAUCUUGUUGGGAGUGUUUUCUCGAAUGUGAGUAAAGGUUGGGCAUGUUUGCUAGUCUACCUUGCCACGAAGCACAGAGGUUGACGCAGGACUUUCCAAUUAUCCAGCAGUGGUACUGUUCCUUUACCCUCUCUUCGAUUUUUGAGAAAGUAAUCAUGUUGGGGGUCUGGCUCUCGAGAUUCGGAGGGCGGUGCCUUUUCGACUUUGGAGCAAGCAAUCUUGUUGGGAGUGUUUUCUCGAAUGUGAGUAAAGGUUGGGCAUGUUUGCUAGUCUACCUUGCCACGAAGCACAGAGGUUGACACACCGGGACUUUCCAAUUAUCCAGCAGUGGUACUGUUCCUUUACCCUUGUGGGUAAUAAUAUGGUAGCUAGACCUUCAAAAUUUAUGUGUCUAAACUUUGUUAGUGUUGUUUCUUUGCUAUUCUUUUACCCUUCUUGGUCAGAGCGAUGUAGUGGGAGCUGCAAGCUUCACGUGUCUCAACUUUGUCAAAGAACUUUGGCAAAGUUAUCUGUGGUACCCAUGAGCUACUGUUGCGUGUGGGAAGUGGGUGAUUGAACAGAACGAUUCAUGUGCUUUCUACUUCACCAGAAAUCUUCGACAGAAUGCCCAUAAUUUCCGCAAAGCUGAGUGCAUAUGACAGGUGCUGACAAGGCUGGAAAAGUAGGUGCCUCUUCGAUUUCUGAGAUCGACCCUCGUGGUCUCUAAGCAGCCCAGCUUUUGAGAAAGCAAGCCUCUUCGAUUUCUGAGAUCGGCCUUCGUGGUCUUUGAGCAGCCCAGCUUUUGAGAAAGCAAACGCCUCUUCGAUUUCUGAGAUCGACCCUCGUGGUCUCUGAGCAGCCCAGCUUUUGAGAAAGCAAACGCCUCUUCGAUUUCUGAGCAGGCGCCUCUUCGAUUUCUGAAGCUUCGUCGAGUGCAGAUUUUUAUAGGGGAUGGCAUUAAGUUCCAAAGCACACUUGAAUCUCCACCAGUAGAAGCUCCAUUCUUGCACUUCUAAGAUCUUGAUUUUUUCCGACCUUUUCUCUCUUCAACACCUUUGAAAAUGUCUGGCCCCUCCGACCGUCGUUUUGACUUGAACCUUGUUGAAGAGGCAGCCCCGCCUUCUCCAGACAACAUAUGGCGCCCAUCCUUCAUCUCCCCUACUGGUCCUCUUACCGUUGGGGAUUCCGUGAUGAAGAAUGAUAUGAUCGCUGCGGUAGUGGCCAGGAACCUUCUCACUCCCAAAGAUAACAGACUACUUUCCAAACGGUCUGAUGAGUUGGCUGUUAAGGAUUCUCUGGCUCUCAGUGUUCAGUGUGCAGGUUAUGUGUCUAAUAUGGCCCAACGCCUAUUUGCUCGAACCCGCCAAGUUGAAUCAUUGGCGGCUGAAGUGAUGAGUCUCAAACAGGAGAUUAGAUGGCUCAAGCAUGAAAUAAACAGUUGCACCGGCUCGCACAUGACUAUGCUACAAACAUGAAGAGGAAGCUUGACCAGAUGAAGGAAUCUGAUGGUCAGGUUUUACUUGAUCAUCAGAGAUUUGUGGGUUUGUUCCAAAGGUAUUUAUUGUCUUCGUCUUCUGGGGCUGUACCGCGUAAUGAAGCUCCAAAUGAUCAACCUCUGAUGCCUCCUCCUUCUAGGGUUCUGUCCAGUACUGAGGCUCCGAAUGAUCCCCCUCCGGUGCCUUCUCUUUCUGGGGCUCUACCAACUGCUGAGACUUCUCCUAAGCAACCUUUGUGAAGGCUCCCUCUUGUUUGUUUAUUUUGACUCAUGCAUAUGUACCUAUUUGUACCUUAUCGGGGAUAUCAAUAAAUAAGCUUUCCUUCAUUUCAACGUAUUGUGUUAAAUACACCAAAACCUUCUUCGCUAAGUUCUUUGAAUUUUCUUUUGUUGAAGCUUGUAUGUUGAAGCUUUGUGAGUGGAGCCUGUAGGUUGAGGUAGUGUUCCCUUAAUUUCCUGAGUGAGGAAAACUUCUCGGUUGGAGACUUGGAAAAUCCAAGUCACUGAGUGGGAUCAGCUUCUAUGGCCCCCUUGCUCAUUUAACACUGCAUCCGGGUGCCGAUGGAGAUACAGCGACCCUUGCUCACUUAUCACUGUGCUCGGGCCACACAGCGCGCCACUUACGGGUGACGCCCUAGCUUUAGCGCGAUCUUGUUCUGGAUUCAUUUUCAUAAGGAUUCGACGUAGUCAUGGAGUGCCGGUUGUCGACUACCUGACGCCCUCCCCCUCCUCCUUUAUCCGGGCUUGGGACCGGCAAUGUAAGAUCAAUUUAACUAUAAUUAACUAAUAUGAUUUAAGAUUAAUAAAAAAAACUUGGAAAUCUGCUUGAAUUCAAUCUCAAAAUUGAAAACGAACACUUCACUUUUACAAAAGUUGUACAAAGCAAAAUAAAAAAGACAAAUCAAAGUCUCACAAAGGGCCACAACGACAGCAAAAUUGCAACAGAAAGAGGAAAAAUGUUCAAUCAAACCAUUGGAUAACUCUUCUCAGGCAGUCAAAAAAAACCCACAAAUUCAAAACCACAAAAAUCCAAUCUAAAACAUCGAUUCACAGACUGAGAUGCACAAAAUGAUAUAUUAACAAAUCCAAAACGAAAUACAAAAAUUAAGAACCAACAAGCAAAAAAAUACCGAUUAUCCCCUGCAUAAGUGAGCACACGUUCAAAAAGCCUCUCAAAGGCUGAGAUUCAACUUUAAAAUAUAAAGACUUUAAGCCACAAUUGUUCUUUCUUAACUUUAACUACUUCAGUUACAUAAUCGGAAAAAAAAAUUAAUUUAAUUAUAGUUAACUAAUCUGGGUUAAGAUUAAUAAAAAAGCUUGGAAAUUUCAGAUCUAAAAUCACACGUCAGGCUGCAAGUAGAAUCAAAACCAUGGAAUUUCAAAAUCACUGACCUUAAACACACAGGUCUUCGCAGGCUUCAAUGAAAAGUCACAAACUCGAAAAACCCAAUCUCCUGAAAUCGAAAACAAAACCAAAUUAACCAUCAUCACCUAGAAUCCGAAGCUACAAAACAAAAUUCUCAAAAUCAAAACCAAAAAAUUUGAACAAAAAAUCCAUUUAAAAUACAAAUUUACACUCCCAAGCACAUAACAUUCAAAGCAGACAAUUACCCAAAUCAAAUCGACAGCAGGAGAUGCAAUCUUUUAUGGGCUUCAAAUUUUCUUCAAACCGAGACCAAAUUCGUUAUUUUUCAGCAAGAGAGCGUUGCCGUUUGUAACCCCCGAUGAAAAGAUCCAAACAAAUUUGACUAACAGUAGAGAGAGAAAGAGAGAUAGAGAGAGAGGUGAAAAUUACUCGCUGGUGACGAAGCUAAUGAAUUCGGAGACGCAUUCCUGGACGGUGUUCGAUUGAUCGGCACGAGUAGAGACAUGAGAUCAGAAAGACAGAAAAAUUAGGGUUUGGGAGAUAAAGAAACUGGGGCAGAGAGAGAUGGAAAGAAAGAAGCAGAAAAGAGGAUGGCAACUGAAACCUUCCAGCGACUUUGUUCUUUAAAAAUAGCUUUAUGACAAAAUUACCCUUGGAUAAUUUUAUGCAUUCUUUUUAGCCGCUUUGAAUUUUUUUUGGCCGACAGGCAUUUGCGUCCAAUUAUUUUUGUCGAAGCCGGUGACACCAAAACCGGCCUCCGGCUUUCGAAGAAGGAUGGUCUGCUUUCCAUUUCCGUGCCUUCUUCGUGUCUCCUGUUUGAGUGGUCACGGUUAAACCACGUUAACAUUUUAUAUUACUAUUCAUUUUUGUCUUAUUAUAUUUAUAAAAAUAAUAAUAUAAAAUGUAGACGUGGCUUAACCGUGAUCACAAAAAACAAGAGGGCACGAGAAGGACAACGGAAGUGGAGGGCAGACAAUCCUUAUCCCGGCUUUCUAUAUAAAGAUAAUUAACUUUAAUAAUUGUAAUAGGAAGUAAUGAUUAUGCCCAACCUUUGGAUCAACAUUUGUAAGCUAUAUCAAAAAAAAAAAUACUAAAAAAGUUUAAACACAAAACCCCCCAAAAUUAUAAAAUCAAAAUAUAAUGUACUACCCAUUUUCUCCCGUUUUUCUCUCGCCCUCCAUUUCUGCAAAUCACCAACCUCCCUCUCUGCCCGUAUACUCCCUACCUCUCUCAUAAUAUCAAAACUCUCAAACCCAAUUCACUGCCUCAUUACCUAGUUGAUAAAAGUCCCUAUGACAGUAUCAAAGCAACUAUAAUUACAAAGAAGUUGAGAGAUUACUUUCUGAUUAUCAAAACCAUUACUGGCUUUAUGCUGACACAAAUGGUGCGUUUGUUGCACCGGACUAUCUCGGACUGGACUAGCUUCAGGGACUAAAAUGGACUGGCUUAGACUAGACUAAGCUGGACUGACUUAGUGAAGCGUUUUUAUGCAGUGCCGGAUUAAGAAGCAGAACUCUAAUAUUAUAUUAUUAAAUCUAUAUAUACAAUAUUUUAUCAUUGAUUUAAUCUAAUCUACUAAUUUUUUUAUUAUUAUUUUAUCAUUUGGCUAGAAUCAUCUUCUUCAUUUUUAUCUCCGCCCAUAACUCCCAACCCUCUCCCUUUUUUCUGCCUUUUCUCCCUCUUUUUCUCAGUACUACCGUCUUCCCCCAAAAAACCCCAACCCCUCCCUCUCAAGCUUAGCAUCACCAAUUUAAUGGCAGCAAUGGUGAGCUUUCCUGUUCAGCUUCCUUUCUCUCUCUUCCCUUUGUUUUUUCGUUCAAAUCCCUCUCUCUCUUCCCUUUGCCUCUUUUAUCGUCAACUUCACUUGUUCUUCCAUGGGUGAGGAUUGAAGUUGCAGACGGCACGGGUGGGUGGGGCUGGGUAUGGGCAUGGGUAGGGAUUGGAGUUGCAGACGGCAAAGGGUGCAACUUGGUCGGGUCGCUAAGAAUAUCGUUGUAGUUCUCUCGGAUUUGAAACGAGGGAAUGGUCUUGGUGUGGUGUUGUGAUCUCGUUGGAGAGAAGACGCAAUGUAGACGAAAAAAGGUCUUCGCAGAGGGAGGACGCCAAGCGGUGCAAAUGAGACGAAGCAAGUCUCAGCAGUCCCGUGGUUUUCGGGGAGCUUCGCUAAGACGACCUAGCGAGGGAGAUAGUCCACACGAGUCUGGACUAGUCUCAUUUAAGUUAGUCCCCAAGCUUACCAAACAUGGGACAAUAAUCCUAGCCAGUCCAGUCCCACUUAAGAAGUGAAACAAACGCACCCAAAAUCUCACAAUAUUAUUACCACGACCUUAUGCAUAAUAGGAACAACACUAUAAUCAUCUGCCUACCAGAAAUUAACUCUUCUACAACAGCAAGUUUAACAACCAACCAACCUUUGAACAAAGAACACACGGACAGGAAGAAGCAGGAUACAUAAGAGGCAAAACAAUUUUCUUACUUCUACAUCAAAGCAAAAGAACAACCAUUACAUAGGUAUGCCAUUAUCAUCUGGGGAACAAAUCCAAUUGGCAGCUUUUACGUACCUACAAUUAUAAGCAAAGUUUGGAAUUCACAAAAAAUAUUGGGCAAAUACCAAGGCUGCCAUUUGAAAAAGCUAAACAAUAACAAACUUUGACAAAUUAACUACAACUAAAUUCAGAUGACAUUCAAUGUAUGAAGACAAUCUGAGAAAUCAAAGGCUCUAAAAUCAAUACCAUAUUUCAUGUGCCUUUUAUUGAUAGUGAACCCAUCAGUAUAACCAGGAUAAAAAUUUGAUUUAGAAUCUUGCUAUCUUUGUCCUUGUAAAUAUGAUAUUUUGGCAUCGGCAAUAUAUCAUAAAAAAAAAACAAAUAUAUCUGAAUUCAAAGAAAAUAUAGAACAAAAAUAAAAAAGCAAAUUAUGAACGCGUAGAAGCUAAUUUCAUUAGCAAUUAAAGCAACCAAGUUCUCUCAACAUCAAGAUUCAGAACCCCCAGGAACCCAGAAAUUUGAUGAAAAUUUUUCUAAUCACUCAAUUGGAUUAGACAAAAUCAUGAAUUUUUUUCUAAAGCCCAAUUAUAUUAAAUCACAAAUUAGAAGCAGAUUUUGACAUGCAAUAAGUCAACAAGAUAGGAAUUGCUUCAGACUAACCUCGAUGGCAAGGCCUCCGGAAUCGCCCGAUCUAAACCAACCAAAAAAAAAUCUAUUCACAUGAUCUUCAACCUAACUAUAAAGAGGAGCUUUAUAACAUAACAUGCCAAAACAACCAAGCCCAACAAAUUAACGAACUAAUUUUUCUUAAUCAAUAAUAGCAUACAUAUUAUCAAAUUAUCAAUCAAUAAUUCACAUAUCGUUAAGGGUUAAACAAAUAUAUGAAGACUGGAAAUUUACUCACACAUCUAAUAUAUCCUUGCAUUUCUAUUUGAAUUCAGAGUACGUGGAAAUCAAAUCAACAAAUCAAAGCCCUAAAUUUUUAUCAUCCUGAAUUGGAAAAAUCUGUAAAAUCUAAAAUUUUUGACUAAAAAUGCUAACUUAGGAAUAUGAGGAAAUUUGCAAAUUAGCUAAACAAGACUAUUAUUUAUCCAAUCAAAUGCAAAUUGGAAUGGUGCAGAACUAACACUACAAAAUUCGUUAAACUAAACAAUGGGUAGAAUGUUUAUAAGAUUUAUAUUUUACACAAAAACUAAUCUUCUGAAAAAGCAAAAAACAUAAAAAUUUUGUUAAGCAAUCGCAUGGAUUAUAAAUGCCAAAGAUUAGAUGAUGGUAGGCGUCAAAUUACCUUUUUCACCGAAGAUGCGAAACCCCUCAUUGCCGACGUGGCGGGGCGAAUCCUCUGUCCUAAAAUCUGAACCAACACAAAGAUUAGGCAGAAAAUCUGAAAGUUCAUAAAUUGCAGAAGUAGAGGGAUUACCAUAGCUGAUGAGCUUCCAGCUCCUACUUUUUGCCUUAAAAUUCCCAACAUCUUUGAUUCUUUCACACAAAAUCACACUGAACGCAAACAAAAAUUAGAAACAAAAUAUGAUCUAAGAACUGAAAAUUUAAGUGAAAGCACUGAGAGAGAUGAGGAGGAAUAACAAAUGAUUUAUUGGAAAUAUGGAAAAAAAAAUCAGAUUAAAAUUUGGACAGAAAUAAACAAUACGAAUUAGGGAUUUGGGAGGGGGGACAAACCGGUUUGGAGGAUUGGAGCGGGGAUCGGAUCGAUGAUGCGAUGUGUAAAAAAUGAGCGUUAAGGAAGCAGAGCAGCAGCAUCCAACACUUUCACGCAGAACUUGUUGAAUCCACAUCCGCCGUACUAAAAGAAAAGAUAAGUAAUAGUUUAAAUAUCCUAACCUCACUCUAACUAACACCGAUGCCUUUUGUGAUAAAAUUUUACACUUGACGGAUUAUGCAAGUGGUAAUUACCAAGUUGGCGAUAGUAUCGAUGUUGUUGGAAGUGGGCCAUAUGGCCCGUCUCUUUGAUAACUCUACAUUGUAUCAGAGCCAAGGAACGAACCCGUAAUGUACUAUCACGUGAUGGGUGGAUCCUCUGGCCCCGUGCGAUAUGGUGGGUCCCUUGGCCCCGCUUAUAGGGUGAGUCCCCUUGGCUCCACGUGGUUGCCAAUGUGUGGGUCUUCCACGUGUGGCCCACUAAUUGAGUCUCACGUGAUGGGGCGUGUUGAAUCUCACAUCGGCCGUAGUAAAAGAUAAGUAUUAGUUUAAAUAUACUAACCCCACUCUAACCAACACUGAGACAUUUUGUGAUAAAACCCUACACCUGACGGAUUGUGCAGGUGGUAAUUACCAAGUUGGGGGACAAUAUCAAUGUUGUUGGAAGUGGGCUGUAUUGCCCGUCUCUCUGAUAAUUCUACAGAACUUACUUGGAAAACCCAGAUCAAACCAACCUAGAUCAAACCAACCUUUAAGUUUCAAGGUUUUUACCCUGGAAUCCAGGCAAAACCCAGAUCAGAUUCUAAAUGGGUUUAUCAAAAAUAAUAAUUUGAUUUUGAUCAGAAAUGCUUAUUCUUGUAGUGGGUGUACAUCUAGUAAUGCUUAUUCUUGUAAAUUGUCGUUGCAAUAAUACAAUAAUACUCAAAAUGAUGUAGUGGGUGUACGGAUUAAAGAGGGUUUUAGGUGAAUGUGAUCAGCUUACCCAUGUGUCUAAUGGAUUAAACUAACAAAAUAGUAUGUGAUGUGAUAUGUUUUAGGUCAACAUAACAAGAAAAUAUUAAACAAUGAGUUGUACAGGAAGAUACAGAUGCUCUUAUGUUCUUUGUGAGUUUUUCCACAGUGAGAUAAUGGGUAUAUAUUACAGAGCCGACUUCUCUGCCCUCCCAUUUCCCAUACACUCUUAUCCCCUUCUAUUUUAUGCUGUCACGGUUAAACCACGUCAACAUUUUAUAUUGAUUUUUUUAUAGAUAUAAUAAAACAAAAAGCAAUAAUAAUAUAAAAUAUUGACGUGGCUUAACCGUGACCGCACAAAUAAGAAGGAAUGAGAGUUUAUGGGAAGUGGGAAGGCAGAGAAGCCAGGUCCACCGUCCAUAUAUUACACUCUGUAUUUGUACCCUUGCCAUGAAUGAUUAAGGUUUCACCCUAACAUUUAAAUAAUGAAUGUAGUGGUCAAGAAUUAUUAAAGAUACAGUAAUUACCCUUCUAAGGUGAAAUCAAGCUCAAAUCUGAUGGGUUUCUUGUAAAUAAGGUGAAAUCGAGGGGCAAAACUUUAACUGUAGCUGAAUGAAUAGUAGAUCAUUCCUCAAUUUUAGAAUAGAUAACUAGAAAGUGUAGCCCGCGCAUUGCUGCAGGAAAUGUGAUUCACGCGUUACUGCGGGAAUGGAAAUUGUAUGACAUAUUUUGAUGAACUAAGUUAGAAAACGACUACAUGUGCAAACAUUGCAAGCAACUAAAUUAGACGAAAGCUAACAAAUUUCGAAUUAACCAAAUUAGAAAAACAAUCACAAUCGAACUAAUCUCUACUUCCCAUAUGAAGUAGAAGAUGUCCCUUGUUUUGCAUCGGUGAACAACGCGGUUUUCACCCUCUACGAACAAAAAGAUGAAAGUAAAAAUGUUUAACAACAUUAUAAAAAUUAUACAUAUAGGAUUAUAUAUGUAUCUGCACAUAAAGUAUAAAGAUUUGCUAACAGAUUCGAGGUUAAAUUUAACAAAAUAAGUAAUUAUGAAUUGAAAUCAAACUAUAUCAUAGUUGUUAAAAAAUACUUUUGGCUAAUUCUUACAAAUAGAAUGAAAGUGUCGCUUUCUUAUCAACUAUUCAAUUGUCUCAGCUGCGGAAAAAAUUGAUUUCAAUGUGUCCUUUACCAAGUGAAUGAUGGAUAAAAUUGUUAAUUUCAAAAUAAACCAAUUUUCAAAAAUCCUAACAUGAUAUGACAUUGUAAAAAACCUUAAACCCUUUAUUGGAACAAACCUCAAAAUGCCCACUAAUUGUUCUGGAUGGGACACACCAAUUUUUACCAUGAGAAAAAUGCAACUCCAAACCAAAAUUAAGCAUUUGAUAAAUCGUAUUUACUGAAGAGAAAUUUUUUUUGAAAGGGAAGCUUACCAGUGUUAGCAAAGUUAAAUUCAAUGUAAGAAAGUGGAAGAAUAUUGACAUAAACAUAGUAGUGGGAUUGAUGAUGGAUUCAGUAUGUUAUUUUGUAUCAAUUCAAAUGGAUGAAAAAUAUUAAAGGAACUAUAGGUCACAGUUUGGAGUAUGCAAAAGUACUACUUCAAAUUUUCAACAUGCUCAGUAGAUCUCUAAAUUUCAAAAAGUGUACAAAUUUUAGAGUACUCCAACUAACGGUAAUUUUUUGGAGUGCUACCAUACCCUCUCCACUGUUUUAUUUCUUCACUCAAAUUAUAAUUUCACUCAUCAUAAAAAGUUAAAAAAUUAAAAUGUUAGUUUCCAACCCACUAUUUUUCUAAAACAACCUCUAAUUAACAAUUGGUGUAAAUGUGUAUGACCGCAUUAUACAGAGCCACCAACAGCGGCUGUGACUUCAUCUACAGUCGCUCUUCAUUGUACCAGUGAAUCCACCUUCACAAAUUCAAGUCCCCUUUUUGGCACAAGCUGAUGAUGGCGCCAUUAGCGCCACCUUAUCCAAUUCCACACCACGCCUUCUCAUCUAACCAAACAAAGACAAAGCUUGCUUAUACCUCCCAUUCUGAGCACACCCCACAAUCAUGGUGGUCCACGAAACAACAUUCCACUUCGAUAUCUCGUUAAAAAUCCUUUGCGCCCCAUCAACAUCCCGACACCAUACAUAGCCCGCAAGCAGCGAAUUCCAACUUGCAACACUCCUCUCACGCAUACCAUCAAACACCAGGCGUGCAUACUCGACACCACCCCCAAACCCACUUACCAGAACCCUCUUGUACACCUGUUCCCCUUCUAUCACCAACCCUGACCUCGCACAAGAACCAAAAGAACAUACGAAUAGGAAAACCCAUUAGCCUCUGCCUCCAAACCCACCAGCCGUUUAUACAAUUCAACAGACUUCCGCAGAAUUUGCUCCAAGCGUGGCUUCUGAUCAUCUGGCUCCAAACAGUAGUAACUGUGUUGUCAACAUUUUUGAAAAUUUUUAGGGCAUGAUCGAGACACUCAAAAGAAACGUAAAAUGUUAAAAUUCGAACAAGAAGGUAGCUUUUUGUGUGAGUCCAUGAAUUAUUAUUUUGGGUGUGAAUUUGGGUGUACUUGCACAUCAAUGGAAGCAAGUAAUUUUUUAUUUUGGUCCUUAUAUGUCAUUUUACAAAAGAGUAAAAUUGACAUUAAAAAAUUAUUAAAAUAGCGGGUGAGAAGAUAAGACUGUAGAGUAGAAUUAUUAGCACUCAUUUUUUAUAAAAUCGCAUUCUAGGAAAGUAGGAAUGGAACUUCCAUUCUUAUUAUAUAUACAAAGUAUGCAGAUGCUCCCUUGCAAUUGGCUAAUGGUGAUAUUUCAAUCAUCCGAGAAAAACUCCGUGCUGAUAUGUAUGAACAUGCAUCAUCUGAUUCUAGUGCAAAGUGGGCAGAAUCGAGUGCCCAUUAUAAGGUAGUGUUCUACCUAAUGUAUUAAAUUUUUUAUUGUCAUAUGGCCAAGGACACUUAUUGAGUUAAUUAAGCUCCAUAGAGGAAUAGAGAAAUUGAAGGGCAAGAUAGAGAGGUCAUUUGGGGGAAGAGGAAGCCGGGAAGGUGAGGCUGCCGGCUGCAGGAUGAUAUGGUUGUAGCAACGAUCAUUCAGUGUUGUUUGAUGACUCGUUUGGAAGUGCUUUGAAAAUGAUUAGAAAUGCUUUUGGAGAAUUUUUUUUUUAGUUUAAAAAACACUUGAAGUGUUUCUUGCAAGAAGUACCAAUUAUGUACUUGUCCAAGAAAUACUAAGUACUUUUACAGGAUUCACUUGCAUUUUUAUUAAUGAGUGAUUCAAAAAACAUAUUCACCAUAAGCACUUUCAGCUAUUUUAAAAACAUUUAUAAACGGACUUGAGUUUCUUUCCGUUUGGAAAUUUUCAUCUUUUAAAUAUUAAAAAAGUAGUUUUUUUUUUUUAAAUUGCAUAAAGAAAACAUAUAAAAUAUCAUUUAAGUUGUAAUUAUCGUUCAGCUUACUAUACAUGUUUGAACCUUUUAUAUGAUUUGAUUGUAAUAAAAUCACGUUUACGGAUGUUGUCCCUUAUGUUCAUUUGUCAAAAGGCAAGUCCUUUUGGCUUGGUAAAGGCCAUGUAGUCGUUCGUCCGAAAAAACAAAGGCCAGGCUGUCCGGUCAAAUUGUGGCAUCAACUCCCUUCUCUCUCUAACCCUCACACGCUCACUACUCACAAUCCUUUGGGUAUUAACUACAUUGAGAAUAAUCAAAGGACAAUGAAUAAUUGAGAAAGAUGAAGAGCUAGAGAGAAAUUUUAAAGAGAAAUAUGGCUUCUGUAUUUCUAAGAAAAUAACUAACUAAUUACAUUUGUCAAUUGCAGUUCUUUAUAUGAUAAAACAAUACAAACUUACUUGUAACUGAUUAACCAGCUAACAAAUCAUUUAAUAGCCUAACAAAUAUUCUAACAACUUUGAUUGACGUGGCAAUGAUUAUAUAACAACCUAUAAUCAAGAUAAACACACAUUUUUUGUCUCUCACAUACUCUCAUUUAGUUAUGUCAAUUGUUUUUUAGGAUAAUUCUUUGUGUCUAGUUUUGGGUAAAUAGAUUAACAAAAAUCAUAGUACUGUCUAUAAUUUGAUGGAGAUGUUGAAUUAUUGUAUUUUCAGUCUCUUCAAACAAAAAUGCUACACUCACUACAUAUUUGUACUAUCAUUUGUACAAUCUAUCAAAUAAAAGUUGAGUCCGCCAACACAUGUAAAUCUCAUAUCAAUUAGAGAGAUGGUACAAAUAUAUUGCAAAUGUAGUAUUUUUGCUAAAUUAAACUAGCAAGUAUAACGUCUCAGUGUUGAGGGAUUCUUAAACAUAUGUAGGUUGAGAAAUGAUUUCCACACAAUCUUUUUUUUUUUUGGUAGUAAACUCCUAUUAUGUUUUGUCUUGAUUCUCCUCUGAUUUAUUCACCUAAAAGUUAGAAAUAGCUUUCGAGGGUGUGUCAAGAAUAUAAGUGUGUAAAAUUUAUUUCCAAGUAUGUAGGCUUAUUUGUGUGUGAGGUGAAUUUUAGUGUUAGUGUUCUAAUAGGCCUGUACUGUUUUGUAGUUCUGAAUUUAUUUGUAUGUCUUAAUCUUGCUUAUGCAUCAUACCAACCACCUUGACGAAGGUGUAACUCAAAACGGCAACUGUUGGAGUCAUAAGCAUUUGAGGUAUAUUGGUUACUCUCUGUCUCUCUAAUUUAACAGAGGCUUUAGUUAGGGGUUCAUUUUCUUAGAAAAUUCACUACCAAAAAACUGGCAUUUGGGUACAAAACUAAGGACACUAAUGAAGAGUUUGUGUCUCUAUGAACACCAAUACAAUGGACCAGUGCCCAUUCAAUAAAGAGCACAAUGUAUUGUGCCCAAUGUAAAAGAAAAUUGACACAAACACAUUAGGCUGACAACUUUUUGAUAAAAAAUACUCAGAAAGGGAUAUUUGUGUCUAUAAAUAGACUUAAGCGCACAAUUGUACGUGUCCUACUUUUAUAAUCGUAUAAGUAUAUGUGUCUUACUAAACAAAUCUGGGACAACUAAAACAGAAGAGCGGGUCAUACUUUUUCUCUCCGUUGUGAGAGCCUUCACUCCGCAGUGAGAGUCUUCCCUCCUGUGUGAGAGCCUACAACAUGAUAACUCCGCCCUCAACUGUACCAUACCAGAUCUAAUAGUGCAUCCCCCUCCAGUUUUCAACCAUUUCCUCCCUUUCCCCAAAUUUUCAAUUGUUCCCAAAAUCGAGUUCAACUAGUCUGGGCGGUUGGGUUUAUUAAGUGCCUGCGCUUCUUACACCUUUCCUCCCUUGUUCAAUUAUUGAUUGUGUCCUCUUCGACCAUCAGCAUUGAUUUCUCCAUCUUUUCCCUCUGCUCAUGCGGUGAGUAGUUGGGUCCAACGGCUGACGAAUUGAAGGCUUUCAAUUCAACUUCAAAUGGGCCAUAAAGGUCAAUUAGGUAUUGCAGAUUGGUUGGUCCCCUUAGUUCCCUUCGUUCCCCUGGGUUCCUUUGUCCCUCCCCUGACGCAUUUAACAGACUACAGAUCUCCGGAUUAUCCUUGCAAAUAUUCAGAUGUCAGGUACAAUUACUCGGAAACUCAACCACCGAUUAAUAACUCAAUUGCUCCUUGGGUAAGAGUUGUGCUCUGGAUCUGGGUAAGUAUUGGUUAUAGGCAUUUUAAACACCUUAAGAAAGCUGGGGGUUUGCCGAGUUACAGUUUCAAACACUGUGAAGAAUAUCACCUACAGGAUAACUUUGUUGAACUGGAGUCGGCCCAAUCUGAAGUAGAGGAUCUAGUGGUGCAGCUGGAGGAAUCGCUUGAACUCUCACAUAUGGAACAAAGUGUGAAGCUGGUAGGGGCAGCUCUGACAAAAAAAAAAAAAAAAACCCUAAAUAAAUGGGGUGUUCGAAAUAUUCUGAGGAGUGUUUGGGGUGAGUUUGGGGAAGUAAACAUAAACUGGGUCUAGGAAAACACGUUCAUCAUUAUAGUAAGAGAUGAGGAGACGGCGAAUCGAAUACUAGAGCAGGUCCCUUGGGCAGUUAUGAGUAAGAACUUAUCUGUCAAAAGAUGGCCUCAAGAACUGGCACUUGAAGAGGUAAUGUUGAGAAAGGUCCCAUUUUGGAUCCAAAUGAAGGGCGUGUUAUUACAUCUGAGCACAGAGGUAAAUGCCAAGAAAUUGGCAUGCCAUAUGGGAGAGGUUAUUAAGAUAGAAGAGCUGUCACUGGCUAGAGGGUUCUUAAGGGCCCGGGUGUUGGUGGAUACAGAUAACCCUCUUAUAAGCGGAUGCUGGCUUCCACGUCCUGGGGAUAAGGAAUCCUGGAUCGAGUUUAGAUAUGAGCGGCUCCAAGAUUUCUGCUAUAGGUGUGGGAGGAUCGGCCAUGUCAUGACGGAGUGUACCUUUGAAAAAAGCAGGAGUGGGGCUGCUGGGUUUGGUGAAUGGACUCGGAUGAAACAACCCAGGCCUCUAUAGGAGUAUGUCCAUCCACUACCAGUAAUGCAAUGCAACCGUCGCCAUGCCGGAAUGAUACGAGAGAAGCGGAACUUAAACUUUCAAGAUAUGGCAGUCUCAACAAGCACGAAGGGGAUUCUAGAUUAGGGAUCAUCUGAACCCCAAAGGCUGGGAAUUGUCUUCCAUGAUCUCGGGAACCAGGGGAGAAUUGGGGGGGGAUUAUUGCUAUGGUGGGACCUCCUGUUAGUGGAAUUCUUCCCCCAGUGCAAUGCGAGAAUGUAAUUCGGCCUGAAGCGGAACUAACAAUCCAAUCCUGGGUGUGAGUGAUGACCUUGGUCUGCUUCCGGUGGAGACCCACACCUUUGAAGAGGGGGAAAGGGAAAGGGGUAGAAGCUCCCACCAAACUUCAAUCCAAGGAUUCUUUAAUGGCUUGGGCCUAAAGAGGAAAACUGAUAGGAAGAUUCAGGGGGGAGGACAAGCUCGGAGUAAAAGAGUGAAAAAAAAAGCAGGCUGCUUAGGAGAAGGAAGAUGACAGCGAGUAGGGGGCGAAAUCCCAGUAUAAGUGGCGGUGGCAUAGAAGGUGGAAUUUCUGUUCUCGUGGAGGCAAAUCUGCUUGAUGUGCCGAUUGGUCAGGGGAAGAAAGUGAGAAGCCUGCGGGUUGGAAGCACAAACCAGGAUUCUAAUGCACCUCAGACUAAGAGGGCGGGGGUGGAACCUUGGGGUGGUGGCGGCUGGCCCAUAACAGUUACACCAUCGCCAUGAUCUACUUAAUGUGGAACUGCCAUGGUCUUGGGUCGGACGCGGUAGUUCGAGCUUUUCAUGGGCUUAUUAGGCGGUACAGACCCUGUGUGAUCUUUCUGUCCAAGACGAAGAUGAAGGAUCACAAAUUAGAAGGAGUUCGGCACAUAAUGGGUUAUACAUACAGAUUCUCGGUCCCAACUAUGGGGGCUGCGGGUGGUCUUAGUCUUUGGUGGAACGACCCUGUCCAAGUGACUAUCCUUUUCUCAUCAAAGAAUCUAAUUCACACAAGAGUCCGAGAUGGGGGUUGUGAUGAUUGGUGUUUUGCAUCAUGGGUUUAUGGUACUCUAUAUAGAGCAGAGAAUAGGGCAUUCUAGAGGUGGAUCUCGGAGGUUUUACAGCCUUGCCCAACCCCGUGGUUUUGUGGAGGAGACCUGAAUGAGUAUCUUUGGGAUAGUGAAAAAGCUCGGGGGAGGGAGGAGUCUCGCUCUCGCCCCCAGUUCCUGCAGGAUUUUAUGUCGGAAAUAGAGCUCGUGGAUUUACAUUUCAGUGGACCAGCAUUCACCUGGAGAGGUUCCCGUAAUGGAAGCUUGGUGCAGGAAAGAUUGGACCGUGGGAUGGUGAAUGGCAGUUGGCAAGAUUGUUGGCCUAAUACUUCAGUCACCCAUGGAACGGUUAUAGCCUCAGACCACUGUUUAGCUUUGAAAUUCUUUCCUCGCCAAGCUUUUCAACAAUUGAUCUGACAUUUAUAAGUGUUAAAUGGAGUAUUAGCGCAGUCGUAUACCAUCCAAUGGAGCAUGAUCAACCAAAGCUGGUAUGUGGUGGUAUGGAUUAAUAGAGUACUUAACUGCAGUUUUUUGCUCAAUAUUAUAUGCACACAAAUAUGUAUGUGUAUCUGUGCCUGUCUGUGUACUUAUGUACAGUUUUUUGCAUAAUUUUAUAAUAUUUAACUUGCAAACAAAGAGCUAAUGACAAGUUGCUUAAGAAUGAUUAAUAGAUCAAUCAGUCACAUUAAAGCUUAUACAGUAAUUUUUUGUUGUAACUGAACUUACUUAUCAUAAUUCUAUGUACUAUUUGCCACAAUGGAAAUCGCAUAUGCUGUCAAGUGACACUAGAAUCUGUGCUAGUGCAGAAAUUUGGAAUGAAAUUGCAGCUGUGUCAGGGGCUGAGUCCUUUAUGACCACAUCGAAAGAAACUACUGCCAGAAUGAGAACCUCAAGCGGUCCAAUUAUAGUCAAAGCUACAGUGCUUUCUGUUGUGUCCAAAACCUAGGGCAUGUUCGUAACUGUCUGGAAACUUAAACAUAAAAAAGGCAUAAAAAAAAAUAUAAAAUGUUUGUGGAAGCCAGACUUGUAGUCAGGAGGAGGCUGAAAUGCCUCUAUGAAUCUUCUUGGCUACCAAAAAGAGUGGAUAACCAUGAGUUGCAACCAGUUGUCCCUCUUUAAAAAAAAAGAAAAUUGAAAAAUGAUUAUAUAGGGUAUUCAGUAUUCUAGUGAGUACAAAGUAUUAUCCUAGAAUUUUUGCCAACUGAGAAAAUGGCGGACUUUCAUGGGGUAAAUUACCAAGUUUGACCUCUUUCUUGGUGAGUAUUUGCUGCUUUGCCAUUUGUUGCAGGGUCUAUGGAAGUAGUAUGCUAGAGAUUUUCCCGUGUAUCGGAAACACAUUUCGAUACAUCAAGUGUAAUAAUACAAUUGAUUGGAAAUUUAAAAAAAAAAUCAACUAAUUAUAUUAUGACACUUGGUGUACUGAGAUGUAUUUUCAGCAUACUGAAAAAUUUCUCAAUAAUAUGCAUACUUUGUCUCUUUGCCUGCACUCCACACCAUUGUACACCUCAUGGGUCCAUGUGUCAAUGGAUGCAUGGUGUAAAUAAUGUCUCACUCGUUGGUUAGCUCUUCUCCUGUAGAAGUUUACGAACAUCACCAUCUUCCAAUCUCAAACCUGAGAACGAUGAUGCUCACAAUUUGAUGAAAUAUAGAUUAUGAGUUUGGAUAUUGGCUUUGCGAUUUUUUCCAUUAAUCUAGUAAUUCGUUCAGUCUACAAUUCGGUUGGACUUGCCAAAGAUUCUUUGCAUACUUUUUUAAUUUAAUUGGAUCCCUCGGUAAAAAGAGGGAUUCGAACUUAAAAAGUUUUGUGAGUUUUUGAACAUUGAAGAUAAUAAAGUCCAUGGUUUUUGUAUUGGUUGUUUGUUUAUUCUUUUUGAUCGAAUGAAAACUAUUGGCUUUGAGAUCUAAGGUUGUAUGUCUAACAGUUAAAAACACUAGGAAAUGUGUUGGAUUUAGCUUUAAAAUUAAGAGAUUUUGGCUUUGAGAUCUAAGGUUGUAUGUCUAACAGUUAAAAACACUAGGAAAUGUGUCGGAUUUAGGUUUAAAAUUAAGAGAUUUUGGACCUUGAAGCUUUUCUUAGGGAAUAAAAUAAAUAUCGGAAUCCUUCUCUUCCUAUUUAAAUGCUAAUUAUUUUAUUGUGAUUUUGUAUGUUUUCUUCAACGCCAGUUAUUCUUAAAUUAAGAUAAUGUUUUUUUGUUAGGGAGUGAAGAUGAAUUUUAGAGACAGAAAAACAAAAUUAGUAACAUAUAAACCUAAAAUUGCAAAUUAAUCCAAAAAUAACAAAUAAUUAGAUAAAAAGUUAUAGCCAUAUACAUUUCUAUAUAAUUUUUGAAAAAAAAUGAAAAAUUAUGUAAUAUGAAUUUGUCUGUCAGAACAUUAUAAUUACUUUAGUCUAAAGUAGGGGAGGUGGCACUGUGCAAUUUUGGGGUACAUUUCAGUUUAUUUACGAAAUUGCCAUUGAAUCUCUCUGCCCCCUGAUUUAAGUUUAUUUGCAAAAUUGCCACUGGGCUUCAUAAAGGGUUUUGGGUCGUUGGGCUAGAAUUUCCGUUCAGAUUGGAAUUUUCGGUUUUGCGAUCCACACGUUGAUAAUCGCUGUGUAGGAUCGCCGACUGUGUGGGAUUUGGUGAGGGGAUGGUUACGUGUCCAUCAUCGUCGAAAGGUCUGCUUCGACUGCAACGUCUUGACUUUUCUUUCCGUUUCAACUUGUCUCUCACAAGCCUCUGCUUCAGUCGCUCUUGAUCGUCGCCUUUUCUAAGGCGUCCGAGGGACAAAAACCGAAAUCUAAACCUCCACCACAAAUGAAGUCACGAACGCCACUCUCACUCACCCUCCACUGUUGCACACGAACCCAAUCAUAAUUCUGAAAUCCAAACAUAACCCAGAUGUUAAUCCUUCAGAGAAUGGCAAUGGCCACUUCUUCUUCCUUCCUCUCAAUCCCUCUCCUAAAGACCUCUUCUUUGCUUUCCCCAAUUAAACACUGCGCUUCGCCACUGAGCUCCGAGUUCAGGGCUAUCCCUCUACGGCGGUAGAAAUGGAGUCUUCACCUCCUCGGCGAUGGCCACGAAAUCAAACACCAGAAGCACAAAGGCGGCCAGUUUCUCUUGCUUCUCAGAGUUAUAGAAAUGAAACACCUCAGCCAAAUCCAGUAACAAGCUCAUUCCCGGAGUCCUCAGUGUCAUCCAAUAUCUCGUCAUCAGAUACCGGCAUGGAAUACUCAAGCCCUCCUUUAAGACAAAGGCGAACGGCAAACGUUGAGGAAGUUGAAUCUUCAUGAUGUAUGAUAUAUGUUUUAGUUACUGCUCAUUUGUUUGUACCAUGUGCAUCAGAUUAAGGUCACUACUCAUUUGUGCCAUGGUUUUCAUUCUUUUUUAUUUUGUUUCUUGUUGUAGUUACUCAUUCUCGGUAAUCAACUGAUAGUAAGGGCUGGUUUGGUAUUGCUGUGCUUUAAAAAAAAACUGGUUUUGCUGUGUUGUGAGAAUAAGCAGCUGUGAAAUAAAGUAGUGUUUGGUAAAUUUUUUUGUAAAAGUGCUUUUGAAAAAAAAAAUAUUAUAAUGUUUUGUAAACUUUUAUGUAAAACAGAUGUGAAAAAAAGUCAGUUUUUCAAAGAUGGGCUUUGUAGCUUCUUGUUUUUGGCUUUUUUUCACCCAAAACUAUGAAAAAAAAGCUGAAGUUGAAUAUUUACCAAACACAAAAAAGCUCCCAACUUUUUUUUUAUACCAAUUUUUUUUCAGAAUCACCUCAGUACCAAACCAGGGCUAAGUUCUCUCUUCUUUUUUUUUCUUGUUAUUUUAGUUGCUUAUAUAUCACUUCUGUUAACAUUUUCAGGUUUUCAACAAUCUUCAAUUACGAUAGCAACUUGAUUCCUAGGAUUUGGAAUAAGAAGGGAGACAUUAGUUGUCACAUUCCAGUCUCGGCUCCGCUGUAGCAUGAUAUUGUCCAUUUUGGGUUCCGGCCACUCUCUCACGAUUUUGUUUCUGGGAACUCAUACGAGAACUUCCCAGUGGAUCACCCAUCUUGGGAUUGCUCUCGUCCGAACUCGCUUAACUUUGGAGUUCCGAUGGAACUCAAAACCAGUGAGUUCCCAAAAGACCUCAUGCAAUAUGGAGGUAGUCAUGUACAUAUAAGACACAUUACCCCCUCUAUGUUGGUCAGUGUGUGAUGUUACAUUAAUACCAUUACGAAGGAUGCUCGAUCCGCUGUAAUUAUUUAGAAACUUAAUGGAUGGAGGUAUAACCUGUCUGUAUUUUGUUUGCGUUUAAACGAUAUCUUAGCAACUUUUUUCUUUUAUAUCUCUUUGAUGCAGUCUCUUAAGAUUUUGUUGGCUAUAGCUGCAAUUCGCUUGAGUGAGAAGCCAAAUAACAUUGAAAAGGUUCUCUUUUCUUUUCUAAUGGAUGGAACUAAAGCCUCUAUAGUCUAUAGAUCCUCUUACAUCAAAACACUUGGGAAGAGGUACUGUGUAUAAGGAUUUUUUUUUCUUUAUCUCCAUAUGGAUAGACUUUCUAUUGUCAAACUAAUUUCUUAUCAAUAAUUAAUUCUGACUAUAAGGAAUUUUCCAUUAAUCUAGUUAUUCGUUCAGUCUACAAUUCGGUUGGAGUUGCCAAAGAUUCUUUGCAUAAAAUUUUAAUUUAAUUGGAUCCCUCAGUAAAAAGAGGGCUUCGAACUUAAAAAGUUUUGUGAGUUUUUGAACACUGAAGAUAAUAAAGUCCAUGGUUUUUGUAUUGGUUGUUUGUUUAUUCUUUUUAAACGAAUGAAAAUUGUUGGAUUUGUGAUCUAAUGUUUAUGUAUAGUAGUUAAAAACACUAGGAAAUGUGUCAGAUUCAACUUUAAAAUUCAGAGAUUUUGGACCUUGAAGCUUUUCUUAGGGAAUAAAAUAAAUAUCGGAAUCCUUCUUUUCCUAUUUAAAUGCUAAUUGUUUUAUUGUGAUUUUUUAUGUUUUCUUCGACUCAUGUUAUUCUUAAAUUAAGAUAGUGUUUUUUUGUUAGGGAGUGAAGAUGAAUUUUAGAGACAAUAAAACAAAAUCAGUAACAUAUAAACCUAAAAUUGCAAAUUAAUCCAAAAAUAACAAAUAAUUAGAUAAAAAGUUAUAGCCAUAUACAUUUCUAUAUAAUUUUUGAAAAAAAAGGAAAAAUGAUGUAAUAUGAAUUUGUCUGUCGGAACAUUAUAAUUACUUUAGUCUAAAGUAGGUGGAAGUGGCACUGUGCAAUUUUGGGGUACAUUUUAGUUUAUUUACGAAAUUGCCACUGAGUCUCUGCCCCCUGAUUUAGCGUUAUUUACAAAAUUGCCACUGGGCUUCAGAAAGGGUUUUGGGUCUUUGGGCUGGAAUUUCCGUUCAGAUUGGAGUUUUCGGUUCUGCGAUCCACAUCAUCGCUGUGUAGGAUCGCCGGCUGUGUGGGAUUUGGGGAGGGGAUGGUUACGUGUCCAUCAUCGUCGAAAGGUCUGCUUCGACUGCAACGUCUCCACUUUUCUUUCCGUUUCAAUUUGUCUCUCACAAGCCUCUGCUUCAGUCGCUCUCGAUCGUCGCCUUUUCUAAGGCGUCCGAGGGACAAAAACCGAAAGCCAAACCUCCACCACAAAUGAAGUCACGAACGCCACUCGCACUCACCCUCCACCGUUGCACACGAACCCAAUCAUAAUUCUGAAAUCCAAACACAACCCAGAUGUUAAUCUUUCAGAGAAUGGCAAUGGCCAUUUCUUCUUCCUUCCUCUCAAUCCCUCUCCCAAAGACCUCUUCUUUGCUUUCCCCAGUUAAACACUGCGCUUCGCCACUGAGCUCCGAGUUCAGGGCUCUGUCCCUCUACGACGGUAGAAAUGGAGUCUCCACCUCCUCGGCGAUGGCCACGGAGGCUCAGAUCUCGACCCAAGACGACAAAUUGAAGGAUGAAGAAAAUAAGAACAUAUGGAAAAAUGGGUGUACAGCAGUAGAUAAGGUGCGAAAAUUUUCAUCCUGUUUUUGGGAAUGUGAGAAGAUACAUGGGUUUCUAUUUUGAUAAAGUGUUGAGGUCGAGCUAUGUUCAUUUUUUUCUGAAUUUCCUUGUAGUUUUGGUAUUAAUGGCGCCUUUUCCGCUGUUAUGGUGAUGAACUAUUUAUAUGUGUUUGACUGCAGUGUGCACACGUGAUGGCCAUGGCUGUUCAAAAGCUCUUCCCUGAUGCAAAAGUGACAAUUGGUCCAUGGAUAGAAAAUGGGUUUUAUUAUGAUUUUGAUAUGGAGCCUUUGACGGACAAAGAGUUGAAGAGAAUCAAGAAGGAGAUGGUAAGUGGAAUUUUAGUAUAAGUUAUCAUGUUUGUAUCAAAGUUUUGGAACCAUGAAACUGUUGAAAACUAUUCAUGAGCAUUUCUUUUGUGAUUUGUAGGAUCGCAUCGUUGGAAGAAACUUACCGCUCAUACGAGAAGAAGUUUCAAGAGAUGAAGCUCACAAAAGAAAAACCGCUCUCAACGAACCAUACAAAUUGGAAAUUUUGGAUGGUAUUAAAGAAGAUCCCAUUACCAUAUAUCAUAUUGGUAAGGGUUUCACUAUAUUCAGGCUCAAUAUAGGAUGGAAGGUGAUGAUUUAAUGUGCAGGAACUGUGCGUAAAGGAAUAAAAAAGAGAGGGCGGGGGUGUGCUCAGGGAAAACAAUGUUGUUGGUGCUCUUUAAAAAUGAGUUAUUGAUAUGCAGAUUGAAAAGGAGACUAAUUUGAAGGUGGGAGGAACCUUUUGGUCAAGCUAACCAAAUUAUACUUAUGUUUAUACAUAUGCAUGCUUGUACUGGGAUUUGAUUGUGUUUUAAACUAGCAUCCUGUCAUAUUAGACUGUCUUUAUGUCAUAAUUCAUCAUAGUAUGCCGAAUUCUUCAUAGGUGAUGAAUGGUGGGACCUAUGUGCGGGGCCCCAUGUUGAAAAAAAACUGGAAAUAUUAACAGAAAAGUUCUCGAACUUGAGUCUAUUGCUGGUGCCUACUGGAGAGGAGAUGAAAAGAAACCGAUGCGGCAGAGGAUCUAUGGCACUGCAUGGGAGAGUGAAGAUCAAUUGAAGGCAUUUCAAAGAGGAAGCUAAACGUCGAGAUCACAGGCGCCUUGGUCAAGUUCUUGACCUGUUUUCUAUACAGGUACUCAGAAUUGCCCUGAAUCUCUUUCUGCUGUUUACGCAGAUUUAUCAGUUAGCAAUCCCAUUAUUUGUAAUUAUGAGGAUUCUUGCAUUGAACAUGUUCAUUGUUGAAUUUUCACAGAAUGAUGCUGGUGGGGGUUUAGUGUUAUGGCAUCCAAAGGGUGCUAUUGUGAGGCAUGUAAUGUAAGAUCUGUGGAAAAAGAUCCACAUAGAAUGUGGUUACGAUCUGCUGUAUACUCCACAUGUUGCAAAGGGGCAGAUAAGUGGUCAUCUGGAUUACUACAAGGAGAAUAUGUAUGAUCAAUGAAUGUUGAGGAUGAACUUUAUCCAUUUCGACCGAUGAACUGCCCCUAUCAUAUCUUGGUUUACAAUAGGAAGCCUCACUCAUAUCAUGAAUUUCCUAUUCGAGUUACUGAGUUGGGAGCCGUAUAUAGACACGAAUUAUCUGGAAGCUUGCCCGGUCUUUUUCGUGUAAGAGGUUUUACUCAGGUAUGAUGUUAGUAUUUGCAAACUGUUAGUCUAUAAUCCUAGGUGUAUGAAGUGGUUUUUUUUUGUUUAACCUCGGGACCUGUUGCAGGAUGAUGCCCACAUAUUUUGUCUAGAAGAUCAGAUCAAAGAUGAAAUUAGGGGUGUCCUAGAUCUUACCGAAGAACUUUUGUUGCAAUUCGGCUUCAGAAAAUAUGAGGUCAAUCUCUCUACGAGGCCAGAGAAAGUUGUUGGAGAUGAUGAUAUAUGGGUGAAACUGUGAAAGCAACAUCUGCCCUUAGAGAUGCUUUGGAUGAUCAAGGUUGGAGCUAUCAAAUUGAUGAAGGUGGUGGUGCCUUUUAUGGUCCAAAGAUUGAUCUUAAGUUGAGGAUGCCCUUGGAAGGAAGUGGCAGUGCUCAACUAUACAGGUUAAUCCUGAACUCAUGACGGGAUAAUUCUAAUGUGUGCUUUGUUUUUUAAUUGGUAGUCUCUCCGUCUAUCUCUGUAUCACUUUGUAAAAUGUUCAUUGGAGAUUUGAGCAUCUUUUUUGAAUUGAGUGAAUUACAUGGAUUUAUUUGAUAGACUAAAGCCACUUAUUAUUGUUAUUUUAAAUUGUUUGAUCUUUUGUAUUUCCCAAAUUGUACAGGUUGAUUUUAACCUACCACAGUGUUUUGACUUAACAUAUGCUGACUCAAAACUCUGAAAAGAAGCGGCCUAUCAUGAUUCAUAGAGCUGUUCUUGGGUCAUUGAAGCGAUUUUUUGGGGUCCUUAGAGAGCAUUAUGCCGGGGAUUUUCCAUUAUGGCUUUCGCCAGUACAAGCUCAUGUUUUACCAGUUACUGACUCUCAGGUUUGUAAAGCAGUUGCAAGUUUAAUUUGUCAAUUAACUCAAGAACCCUCAACACACCUGCACAACGGUUACCUGGGCUACGACCCCCAACUCUCCUCCCAGCGAUUCGACUCCUUUGUCGACUCCGAGUCGCUCAAGGACUCCGCCACCGAUUCCCCAAUCUUCCACAGCUCUGCUGUAGACAACGCUUUCGCCACUCAGCCGGCAUCGGAGGCCUUCUCUCCUCCGUUGAUCUACGCUGAAUCGAACGGCCGGGGCUUUGAUGGAGGGUUUGGCGGGUCCGACGAUCCGAUUUUGCCGGCUCCAUCAGAGAUGCUGCCUGAGGAGGGCUUCGCUCUCAGAGAAUGGAGGGGGUAGGUUCUCGAAUUCUAAUUGUUUUCGAUUGAACCGAUAGUUCUGUAUAGCAAUUAAAUUUUGACUCUUUUGUGCAAUUUAGUUGAAAGUUGUUGGUUUUGAUUUGGCUUGAUCUUUCUGUUGCUCAGAAAUUGAGUGGAAGUUGUUGUUUUGAUUUCGGUAGUUUUCAAGAAUUGGAUGCUUAGUGAUCAGUAAUAGUCUGGCUUUAUCGGGUAAGGAGAUAAAGCAAUUAAAUUUCAAAUUUUGGAUUUAUAGUUCGUAUUUUGAGCCUGAAUUCAUGAAACAAACAUAACCCAUUAUUUAUUAGCGAUUAAUGGUAUGAUUAAUUUAGUUUUUAAUCAUAAUCAAUAGCAUGUAGCUUUAGCAGAAGUGGGGUUUGGGAAAUUGGCUAGCACCCAUGUUACUUUUUGUUUGUCUGCUUUCCAUUUCUCCUUUCUCUUGCCAUCUUCUCUGUAUUUUGGCUGCUUCUCUCUCCCGCACUCCCUUUUUUACUCUUGGUUCUGUGGUUCUCCAGCCGCCGUUAGGUUUUUGUGGUCGGACAACGAUGGAAUCCGAGGACGAUGACUACUGCAGCAGCGACGAUUACUACUAGAAAUUUUUAUUUUGAAUUCGUAUCCCCUAAUCGCCGAUCUCCUUAGGUUUGCCCCAAGCUGGCAAAGGAAUAAGGGGAACGGAGCUCAGACUAUCAGAGGUAUAAAUUCACAUCCCUAAUUUUUUUUUUUUAUUAAUUUCAACCGGAUCUGAGUAAUUCUAAGUCAUGGAUCUAUGAAUAGUGUCUGUUGAGUCUCUGAGCGUCUCUAUUUUUUUUCAUCAAAUGGUCUCUGUAGUGUCUCUCUGUAUUUGUGCAUCCAUAUGGGAAUAUGAUAUUUAAAAGCUCAUUAUUGUCCUGGGAAACCUCCUAAAUUAUCGAUUCCUUGCUUUCUACGUACAAUGCUUCAUAUUCUGUUUUCUAAUUUUCUGAUUUUGGGGUGGAGGGAGUGCUAAUAUGGUAAUUUUCGGGGAGUUUGGGUCUUUGCGGGAUUUUUUUGGGUAAAUUUGUGAUUUGCAGUUGAUUUAUGGGUUUGGUUUGAAUGCACUGACAAAAGUUAUUGUUUCUGUUAAUGCAGAUGAUGAAAGGUAAGUUUGAACGGAGAAAGGGUUGAAGUGGUGUCUGGUUAGAAGGAGAAAGAUCCAUGGCAGUUGGCACGACCAUGGCCACGGCCACGAAGUGGAGACAUUGUUGGCGAUAUCGAAGCUUCUCAAGGAAUUGACCAAGGAGGAGGACAUGAAAGUACAUAUUUGGAUUUCAUCAGCUUGACCAAGAUCAUGAGCAUUUUGAUUGUCUGCAGCUCUCAGUUCUUGGUAUUUCUUCUUACACAUUUAACCUGGUUGAAUUUUUUAUUUUGUGGGUUUGGAAAUUCAAGUUUUUUUUUUCUGCAAUUUAUAUUUCCAUUGAAGUUUUUGAACUGUUCUGUUUGGUUGCCAGUAUGAUUACUUAUAGACUAUUUCGCCAUAUGCAUUUGCUACAAAAUGUAAACUUAUUUUAAAUGAAACAUGUUGAAGUCUUGCAUAAGCUAUUGUGUGUUGUUAAAAGAGAGGGGGCAUCUAGCAUACAACACACACGCCAUGGGUGUACAACUAAGUUUGCCAUGGAAGGAUUUCUAGAUGUCUUCGAUGCCUCUCCUUCAGCCAAACCUCUGCAUUUACAUGAAUUUUUAGAUUGCAGAGUCUGACAGCAUGAAGCAUGUAGACCGUUAGCAGCUAUAGAUUUAUUUUUCUAAACAUUUUGGAUAGGAAAAUAAAUGGUUGGUAAAGGUAAAACUGAAAUUGAUAAACACUGAGGUUAAACAUGUACAGUUGAAACCGUAUCAUUUGUAUAAUUUUUUCCCAUAAAAAAAAAGAAAUUAGGGUCACAUGGCUUCGCCAAGCUCACAGCACACACGCCAUGAGAAGAAAUUUAAUGACUAUUGUCUGUUGCUAAAAGAGAGGAAAGGUAAAAGGUAAUGGAAUAAAUCUGUUCUCAAAAUCUAAAACUAAUAUUCUCAAUGUGUUUGAAUUCUCUUCUUUUCAUUGUCAUUAUUUGGCUUCCUUCUUUCAUUGUUUGUUCAUUAUACAACUGUUUUACUUACCAUUAAAAUCCAACUGAUAUAGUUUGAUAUUACAGAUAUGAAUCCCAGAAAUUAGUUAAACAGUUUAUAAUCUAUUCAAAUUAACAAGAAAAACAUAUGUUCCCAUGCAUAUAGAAACUCAGUGGAGAUAAAACUACAUUUGUAAAUGGGGCAGAGCACCAAUGAAGUGAUUAUGGUGCAUGCGUUGUGUGGUCUAAUAUAGGAAGUAUAUUAGUUGUACGAGUGAUAAUGCGACUUAUUGCAUGUAAAUUUAUCAUCAAAUUUGAAAGAUAUUGUACAUUUAUUUUGGUGAUCGAUAUAUCAUUGUUUGAUUUCAGUCUUUUGUUUUUACCUUUUCAAAUAGUUGGUCUGCAUCUCUAUAUUUUCCCAUUGCCUCCACGCAAAAGGUCAAUUUUCUUUUUUGUCAUUAAAAUGUUCUUAGAUUCUGGUUAUGUGUUUGGUUUUUUGCUAUUGUAUCUUUUGAAGUUUGCUUAUUUGUAUAUUUGUUUGCAUCUGGUUUUGCUUGGUUGGUCUAUAGGUGGCUUGGUUGUAUCUUCCCCCUUCCUUUUUAUAAAUUUAUUGCUUGGCAAUGUUAAUUUGUAACUGCAAUGCGCAAAAAAACUAGGACUAGCAAGAGAGUGGAUGAUACAAGAAAGACAUAAUAUCCUGCUUUAACUGGUGUACAAGUGUGUAAUGACAAUAUUUAUCAUGCUAACAAUGUGGAAAUCAACCUGCAUUAUUAGCUUUUACUACCCUCAUGUAAAUUUGUAAUCAGUCAUUGAUUUCUGUUCUUUUAUGCACAGUUUUGGGUUUGUGGUAUUGUGUUGAUUGAUGCUAUUGGGGCUGGAGAAUGUUAAAAUCCCAUGUUGGAAGCUUAACUAAAUGAAAAACAAAAAGAAAUGAAUGUUGGCAAUGUUAAUUAGUAGUGAGCCGCUAGACCGCCUCUAGAAUGAUGGCUGGCUGGCUAGCCCCACCAAUUUUCUCUUUUGUGUUUCCAUCUAAUUUGGUGUAUAUUUUUGGCAGAUGGAUUCGGGAGAUGCCGAUUGCUAGCAGAUGGAACAAUUGCUUCUUGGGCUCUUCUAACUAACUGACAUUCAGUAUCAUGUAAGGAAUUAUAAUGGCUUCGAUUCUUCUGUACUUUUCCUUUAAAGUUUAGUGUUGUAGUACUAAGUUUUAUGGAUGUCACAUUGAGUCAUGUGACCAUCGUAUUCUCUCACAGCUCACAACGACGAAAUCGCGCAGGGCUUCGUUGAUUUCUGUCAACUCUGACCUCGACCAGCAUCGGGUAACCUAUUGACCACCCCCUCUCCAUCUUCUUUUUCUUCUUCCGCUUCUCCCUGUGCAUUCCAGUUUGACUGUCUAUGAUCGAAAAGGUCAGUCCAUCUAAAUUCAGCAAUUGACUCUCAAACUCUGAAUCUGAUUUCAUCUCCUUCUGCUGUUCUCCUCCAUUCCCCUCGUCUCUCUCUUUCUUCUGUAAAUUUAAUCAACUAAUUCAAUUAUUCAUUUUUUUUAUAGAACAUCUGUUGCUCCACGAAAGAUUGGGUUUUUGCUUGAUCAUUGUCAAACGCUGUAGCAACUGUAAGUUUGUCAAAAUUUAUAAUCAUGGUUAUUUGUUGCUGGAAUUUUGAUCGUAGUGGUCCAGAUUUACUUGCUCAUGAUCUUUUUAUUGCUUUACUGUGAAAAGAUGGGAUAAUUUACUGCAAAAUAUGCUUAAUUUAAUGGAGAUUUGCUAGGUUUUUAAUACAGUUAUGUUAAUUGAAUAAUGGAUAUUGGAGAUUUUCUCUAAAGGAUUAUAAUUUAUAUAGAAUUUAUAAAUUUUAUCUCUUUCGGGUUACUUUAUGUUUCGAAUUAGUUGGAUUUAGCAUUCUUCUCAAGUUUUGAUAAUUGUUUAGUUUCUGAGUUUUGUUCCUUGCAUGGUUGAUUUUCUUUGAUAAUUGUUGAAUUCUAUAUUUGCUUGGUACUUAGGAUCUAAAGCAUUUUGCCUUUUGAAAAGCAGCAGGGAAAGUAUGAGGUACCCUUUUCUUCUUUGUGUUUUUUUUUUUUAAUUUUAAAUUUCUAAUUUUUAUGCAAGACAUGAAAUAUUGUGGGAAUCAAAUGUAUGAUUGUCACCAAAUAUAUAUAUCUUUUGUGGAAUAUUAUUGGUGAACAUCGCUUGUUGGUGAUGGAUGUACAUAUCAAACGAGUGAGAAAAAAGAACAAGACUUGGAAGUGCCCAAGGACUAGAUGGUGGAAUCUAAAAGAACAAAAACAAGCCAUUUUCAAAGAGAAAGUAAUCACCCAGUGUGGGAUAGAGAGGGGGAAGCUAACCAAAUGUGGGAUUCCAUGGCUAGUUGUAUCCGAAAAGUAGCAAAAGAGGUAUUAGGAGAGUCCAAGGGCUUUGCCCCACACCAAAAGGAAUCUUGGUGGUGGAAUGAGGAGGUACAAACAAAGGUGAAGGCUAAGAAGGAAUGUUGUAAAGCCUUAUACAAGGAUAUGACCGAUGAAAAUGGUGAAAGGUAUAGAAAAGCGAAGCAAGAGGCGAAGAAAGCUGUGAGAGAAGCUAAGUUAGCGGCUUAUGACGAUAUGUAUAAGCGACUAGAUACCAAAGAAGGAGAGUUGGAUAUCUAUAAACUAGUUAGAGCAAGGGAAAAGAAGACAAGGGACCUAAACUAAGUGAGGUGCAUCAAGGAUGAGGAUGGAAAGGUUCUUGCUACAGAGAACGCGGUAAAAGACAGAUGGAAAGGUUAUUUUCAUAAUCUUUUCAAUGAAGGACAUGAAAUGAGUGCUUCUUUAGGGGAGUUGAGUAACUCAGAAGAGUGUAGAAACUACUCCUUUUAUCAUAGAAUCCGAAAGGAAGAAGUGGUUGUAGCUUUGAAGAAGAUGAAGCAUAGAAAAGCAGUAGGCCCAGACGAUAUACCAAUCGAAGUGUGGAAAGUUUUGGGAGAGACAGGUAUAACAUGGCUCACUGACCUUUUCAAUAGGAUUUUGAAAACGAAGAAGAUGCCAAAUGAGUGGCGAACGAGCACUUUGGUGCCUAUCUACAAGAAUAAGGGCGAUGUACAAAAUUGCAUGAACUAUAGGGGUAUUAAGCUAAUGAGUCAUACAAUGAAGCUCUGGGAGAGAGUCAUUGAGCAUAGAGAUAGAUUAAGGCAAGAGACACGGGUUUCGGACAACCAAUUCGGGUUCAUGCCAGGGCGCUCAACCAUGGAGGCAAUCUAUCUCUUACGAAGAUUGAUGGAAAGAUAUAGAGAUGGGAAAAAGGAUUUAUAUUUACACAUGGUCUUUAUAGAUUUGGAAAAAGCGUAUGAUAGGGUCCCAAGAGAGACAUUCUUUGGAGGAUUUUAGAGAAGAAAGGAGUACGAGUAGCAUAUAUCCAAGCUAUACAGGAUAUGUAUGAAGGAGCAAAGACUGCCGUAAGAACUCAUGAAGGACAAACCGAAAGCUUCCCCAUAACUGUAGGAUUACAUCAAGGCUCAUCCUUAAGUCCUUACCUUUUUGCGUUGGUAAUGGAUGAGUUAACAGGACAUAUUCAAGAUGAUAUUCCUUGGUGUAUGCUUUUCGCAGACGAUAUAGUGUUGAUAGAUGAAACUCAGGAAGGGGUAAAUGCAAAGCUUAACCUUUGGAGAGAAGUGUUGGAAUCUAAAGGUCUUCGCCUAAGCUGAUCAAAGACAGAAUAUAUGGAGUGCAAGUUCAGUGCAAAUGGAGGCCAAAACGAGUUAGGGGUGAGGAUCGGAGAUCAAGAAAUACCAAAGAGCGACCGUUUUCGUUACCUAGGAUCUAUCUUGCAAAAGAACGGAGAAUUAGAUGGAGAUCUCAACCAUAGAAUACAAGCUGGAUGGAUGAAGUGGCAGAGUGCAUCCGGCGUGUUGUGUGACCGCCGUAUACCACUGAAGCUCAAGGGAAAAUUUUAUAGGACGGCAAUAAGGCCGGCGAUGCUGUAUGGCACAGAAUGUUGGGCGGUGAAGCAUCAACACGUACAUAAAAUGGGUGUAGCGGAGAUGAGGAUGCUUCGUUGGAUGUGUGGGCACACGAGAAAGGAUAAGAUUAGGAAUGAGGAUAUCCGGGGUAAAGUAGGAGUAGCCGAAAUUGAAGGAAAGAUGAGAGAAAAUCGGUUACGGUGGUUUGGACAUGUGCAAAGAAGGCCUACUGACGCUCCGAUUAGAAGAUGCGACUAUGGGACAGAGGUUCAGGGCCGAACGGGUAGAGGAAGACCUAGGAAAACUUUGGAAGAGACCCUAAGAAAAGACUUAGAGUACUUGGAUCUAACGGAGGACAUGACACAUGACAGAACACAAUGGCGUUCUAAGAUUCAUAUAGCCGAUCCCACUCAGUGACUUGGAUUUUCCAAGUAUCCAACCGAGAAGUUUUCCUCACUCGGGAAAUUAAGGGAACACUACCUCAACUUACAUGCUCCACUCACAAAGCUUCAACAUACAAGCUUCAACAAAAGAAAAUUCAAAGAACCUAGCGAAGAAGGCUUUGGUGUAUUUAACACAAUACGUUGAAAUGAAGGAAAGCUUAUUUAUUGAUAUCCCCGAUAAGUUACAAAUAUGUACAUAUACUUGAGUCAAAAUAAACAAACAAGAGGGAGCCUUUACAAAGGUUGCUUAGGAGAAGUCUCAGCAGUCGGUAGAGCCCCAGAAAGAGAAGGCAUCGGAGGGGGAUCAUUCGGAGCCUCAGUACUGGACAGAACCCUAGAAGGAGGAGGCAUCAGAGGUUGAUCAUUUGGAGCUUCAUUACGCGGUACAGCCCCAGAAGACGAAGGCAAUAAAUGCCUUUGGAACAAACCCACAAAUCUCUGAUGAUCAAGUAAAACCUGACCAUCAGAUUCCUUCAUCUGGUCAAGCUUCCUCUUCAUGUUUGUAGCAUAGUCAUGUGCGAGCCGGUGCAACUGUUUAUUCUCAUGCUUGAGCCCUCUAAUCUCCUGUUUGAGACUCAUCACUUCAGCCGCCAAUGAUUCAACUUGGCUAGUUCGAGCAAAUAGGCGUUGGGCCAUAUUAGACAUAGAACCUGCACACUGAACACUAAGAGCCAGAGAAUCCUUAACAGCCAACUCAUCAGACCGUUUGGAAAGUAGUCUGCUAUCUUUGGGAGUGAGAAGGUUCCUGGCCACUACCGCAGCGGUCAUAUCAUUCUUCAUCACGGAAUCCCCAACGGUAAGAGGACCAGUAGGGGAGACGAAGGAUGGGCGCCAUAUGUUGUCUGGAGAAGGCGGGGCUGCCUCUUCAACAAGGUUCAAGUCAAAACGACGGUCGGAGGGGCCAGACAUUUUCAAAGGUGUUGAAGAGAGAAGAGGUCGGACAAAUCAAGAUCUUAGAAGUGCAAGAAUGGAGCUUCUACUGGUGGAUAUUCAAGUGUGCUUUGGAACUUAAUGUCUGCCCCUAUAAAAAUCUGCACUCGAUGAAGCUUCAGAAAUCGAAGAGGCGCCUGCUCAGAAAUCGAAGAGGCGUUUGCUUUCUCAAAAGCUGGGUUGCUCAGAGACCACGAGGGUCGAUCUCAGAAAUCGAAGAGGCGUUUGCUUUCUCAAAAGCUGGGCUGCUCAAAGACCACGAAGGCCGAUCUCAGAAAUCGAAGAGGCUUGCUUUCUCAAAAGCUGGGCUGCUCAGAGACCACGAGGGCCGAUCUCAGAAAUCGAAGAGGCACCUACUUUUCCAGCCCUGUCAGCACCUGUCACACGCACACUCAGCUUUGUGGAAAUUAUGGGCAUUCUGUCGAAGAUUUCUGGCGAAGUAGAAAGCACAUGAAUCGUACUGUUCAAUCACCCACUUCCUACACGCAACAGUAGCUCAUGGGUACCACAUAUAACUUUGCCAAAGUUCUCUGACAAAGUUGAGACACGUGAAGCUUGCAGCUCCCACUACAUCGCUCUGACCAAGAAGGGUAAAAGAUUAGCAAAGAAACAACACUAACAAAGUUUAGACACAUAAAUUUUGAAGGUCUAGCUACCAUAUUAUUACCCACAAGGGUAAAGGAACAGUACCACUGCUGGAUAAUUGGAAAGUCCCGGUGUGUCAACCUCUGUGCUUCGUGGCAAGGUAGACUAGCAAACAUGCCCAACCUUUACUCACAUUCGAGAAACACUCCCAACAAGAUUGCUUGCUCCAAAAUCGAAGAGAGGCACCGCCAUCCGAAUCUCGAGAGCCAGACUCCCAACAUGAUUACUUUCUCAAAAAUCGAAGAGAGGGUAAAGGAACAGUACCACGACUGGAUAAUUGGAAAGUCCCUGUGUGUCAACCUCUGUGCUUUGUGGCAAGGUAGACUAGCAAACAUGCCCAACCUUUACUCACAUUCGAGAAAACACUCCCAACAAGAUUGCUUGCUCCAAAAUCGAAGAGGCACCGCCCUCCGAAUCUCGAGAGCCAGACUCCUAACAUGAUUACUUUCUCAAAAAUCGAAGAGAGGGUAAAGGAACAGAUCUGUAUGUCAACCUCUCUGCUUCGUGGCAAGGUAGAAUAGCAAACAUGCCCAACCUUUACUCACAUUCGAGAAAACACUCCCAACAAGAUUGUUUGCUCCAAAAUCGAAGAGGCACCGCCCUCCGAAUCUCGAGAGCCAGACUCCCAACAUGAUUACUUUCUCAAAAAUCGAAGACACCGCUCUCCGAAUCUCGAGAGCCAGACCCUCAGUGGGAUUGCUUUCUCAAAAAUCGAAGAGGCAUCGUUCUCCGAAUCUCGAGAGCCAGACCCCUAGUAGGAUUGCUCUCUCAAAAAUCGAAGAGGCAUCACCGCCCUCCGAAUCUCGAGAGCCAGACUCCCAACAUGAUUACUUUCUCAAAAAUCGAAGACACCGCUCUCCGAAUCUCAAGAGCCACACCCCCAGUAGGAUUGCUUUCUCAAAAAUCGAAGAGGCAUCGUUCUCCGAAUCUCGAGAGCCAGAUCCCCGACAGGAUUGCUUGUUCGAAAACCGAAGAGGCACCACUUUCCCAACUUCAAGAGCUGGAUCUCCUUGGAUAAAGCUUGUCUGUAAUCUUCACACGCAACAUCAGCUUUCCAGAUACCACAGACCACUUUUUCAAAGUGCUCUGACAAAGUUAAAACUUGUGAAGCUGGCAGCUCCCACUACCGUGCUAUGACCAAGCAGGGUAAAGGAAUAACAUUAUUACUUGAUGUUAGGGAGACUCCUAUAUAUGUCGACCUCCAUCCCCAACGGACAGGCAGACCUGCAAAAAUGCUUAACCCUUCCUCUUAUCUGAGAGGGCACUCCCAACGAAGCCUUUCGAAAUAUUCAGCUUUCUUUCCCCCCGAUAAUACCUCUGUAAACAAGCUAUACUAGAGCAAGAAUAUCUCAUAUCAUCAGGGUUAAAAGCAAGAGUAUCCCAUAUCAUGCUUUUUCCCUGUUUUUUCCUUUGGCCUUGUUCUUACCUGCAAGACAAGGAGAAAGAGAGUAAUCAGUCAGCACUUGGAAUCAAGCUUCCAGCCAGGAACUGACUGCCUGGAACCCUUUACCUGAUUACUUACCUGGCAUUGCUCUCGAGUACUCAUCUUCAACACCUUAUGCUUCCAGGGAAGAUCCCGCAUCUGCCUGAGGAACAUAUAGGGCAAGUGAGAAGGAUACAAGGAAGCAUGUGGAGACAAGCGUAACAGCACCGAUACAUCCAUUACUCUGUCAAAAGCAAAAGUAUCCCAUAUCAGCAGGGUCGAACGUACUCUAGAUUUGAUGGACUUGUUUUGACCCUCAAAUUCUUCAGUCGGCCUUAUCUCUGGAGGAAACCAGAAAACCCUCCAGCCCAGUUCAAGAAUAAGCCUGUGGAAAGUUACUUCUUCAAAAGCAAAAGUAUCCCAUAUCAUCUCUUCUCAUUUUUCUUCUCUUUAUCCUCCAUGCUACCUGGAAGAUAGGGAGAAUGUGAACAAUCAGCCGGAGCUCUGAUUGCUUACCUUGUCUGUCACCUCUUUCAGCAGAUCCCCUAGCUCGGCGACUUGGGGGACUCCUACUACAUGGUUUGUAUCGCGCUUGACCAAGCCUGAAACUACAAGUAAGCUUCAAGUGACAUUGAUACAUUACCUUGUGCAUCUCCACCAGUUACAGAUACCACCCCUGGAUGGAGGAAGAGUACUUCCAGAGAAGAUGCCACAUCUACCUAUGAGACAGAUAAGGAAAGCCAAGACAAUACCACACUCCAGUACUUAGAAGUUUCGUGGUUACUAUAUCAUUCACUUGUACUCACUAAAGGAGAGCUUGAACCUAUGUACUUGUGUAAACCCUUCACAAUUAAUGAGAACUCCUCUAUUCCGUGGACGUAGCCAAUCUGGGUGAACCACGUACAUCUUGUGUUUGCUUUCCUAUCUCUAUCCAUUUAUAUACUUAUCCACACUAAUGACCGGAGCAAUCUAGCGAAGAUCACAAAAAGUGACCGUUUUCGCUACCUAGGAUCUAUCUUGCAAGAGAACGGAGAAUUAGAUGGAGAUCUCAACCAUAGAAUACAAGCUGGAUGGAUGAAGUGUAAGAGUGCAUCCGGCGUGUUGUGUGACCGUCGUAGGCCACUGAAGCUCAAGGGAAAAUUUUAUAGGACGGCAAUAAGGCCAGUGAUGUUGUAUGGCACAAAAUGUUGGGCGGUGAAGCAUCAACACGUACACAAAAUGGGUGUAGCGGAGAUGAGGAUGCUUCGUGGGAUGUAUGGGCACACGAGAAAGGAUAAGAUAAGAUUGGGAAUGAGGAUAUCCGAGGUUUGGACAUGUGCAAAGAAGGCCUAUUGACGCUCCGGUUCGAAAAUGUGACUACGGGACAGAGGUUCAAGGCCGAAGGGGUAGAGGAAGACCUUGGAAAACUUUGGAAGAGACCCUAAGAAAAGACUUGAUUUUGGAUCUAACGGAGGACAUGACACAAAACCGAGCGCAAUGGCGUUCUAGGAUUCAUAUAGCCGACCUCACUUAGUGGGAAAAGGCUUUGUUGUUGUUGUUGUUGUUCCUUAUCUGCUAUGUUGUAUGUGAAAUUCUGAAAUGAUGGCAUUUGUUAAUCUGUGUUUUGGGUUGUGAUUUCCAUAUUUUACUUCCAAGUUCUGCGUCAUUUAUCUGACCUGAAAAAAAUAUUCGGUCCUACUCCUAGGCUAAACAUUUGUUGGUUUUAUUUUUAUUCCUUAUAGAAAUUCAAACAUCAUCCUGCAAUCAAAACACCGCUGGAAGGUGGGACUGUUCCCUAUAAGUAUGCUGUCAGCACUGAAUGAAAUGUUUAUUGAAGAGUUAAGGUAUGAGGCUUUAAGAACAGGGUUUCUCAUAGCUCGAGUUCUCAUUGUUGUCAAUCAUAGUGAUUUCAUGUAAGAUGUAGUUCAAGCACACUACAAGCAGAAGUAGACAAUCUGUUGCUUAUUGAACUACCCUUGUUAUCAGUUUUGACUCAAAAAAAUAUUUGAUGAUGACAUGCUGAAUUGAAUAUUGGCUAAAAUUAUAUUGAAAUUUGCAGGCCGAAGCAGAUAUCGUUAAAAGAGCUCUAAGUCACCCUCUGAAAUUAAUUGCCAAAAGUGUAAAUGGAAGCAUUGUCAGUGAGAAGGCAUUUUUUUUUUCGUUUCACUUUAUAUACUAUGCUCACUAUCUGUUUAAUAUGUUUCAUCGUAUAAAUUAAAGUCUCAUUUCUCAGGUGCUUUCAAGUGACAACCCCAAUUAUGGAUGCAUGUUGCCACUGGAAACUAUGAAAAUUUAAUAGUUGCUGGGAUCACUGAUCCAACUAAAGUGGGUUUCUUUAUCAAGUACUUCAUGAAUAGAAUAUUUCAGAGAUCCAAUCGCUGGGACAGAUUGAAGAAGGUGAAGAUCACAGGGGUGGGAUACUGGGGAGGGUGGUAGGGUUAUGGGGAGUGGGCUCUGGUUGGUUUCGAUUUGACCGAGGCCUUGGUUCGAUGGAACCGAGGUGAUGGGGACUAUUCAUGAUAUCACAGCCAGAAGAUAUAGGGCCUAUGCGUGGGGUUUAGGGGUUUCACGGGGAGGGUUACAGAGGGAGGGGGUGCACGCGUGAAUUGCAGAGGGAGAGGGAGAGAGGGAGAAAGAGGGGGAGUAGGGUUGCUAUAUUCAAGUUCUCUUUUUUAUUUUUACUUGAAUUUGAUUUGAUUUGAUUUAUUUGAUUUUUUUUUUUUUUUUGGUGACAGGUUGAGAAUGCCAAAGCUCUGCUGGAGGUGUAGGUGAGAAUUUUAAUUUAAUUCAUGGUAUAUUGUUGUUUUUUUUUUUUUACUUUAUUUUUGUGGGAUUGUGCUGUUUUUGGGGAAAUCAAUAUUAAAUUGAAGUAAAGUUUAGAUAUUUCUGUAAUUGGGAUUUAGAGUAAGAGAUGAAGAACUGAACGUGAUUGCAAAAUUAAAAGUUUAGAACUUUUUUGGUUUGGAAGCUAAUUUUAAAUUCAGUUAGCUGAUUAAUUAAUAGAGAAAUGUAUAAUGAAUGCGUGAUAUGUUUUUCGAUGCGUAUGAGCAGACAUGGGUACUGCUUCAGCGGCAGCAGCUGCUAUAUGAUGGUAGAUGAGGAAUUCUGAGAUGCUGAGUGCUCUUAGUGUCAGAGAUGAAGACUUGAUAAUGAUCGUAUCCAAUUCUGCCUCAAGGUAUACUUGAUAAUAUUGUCCUUUAUGUGCUGUAUGAUGUUCGUGCCUUUAAUGGGCCUGUCAAAAUAUUUCAGUGCACCCACAAAUUGGUUUUAUCAUCAUACAUCAUUCGUGAGAAAUGGGAUGGUGAGUUUCUCAAUACAGUUUUAAUUUUUGUGCAAAUAAUGUUCGUAAAAAGUCUGUUUUUAUUUAGUUCAUUGCAGAUUCUUAUUCUUUUAUUUAGUUCACCAUUCAUGCUUUUAAAGAUAAGAAGUGCAAGGCUCUCUCAAAUGUUAGUUUUGGGUGGCAAUUGAAAGAUAGGAGGAUAAACAAAAAUACCGACCAAUUGAAAGGAUAAAUUCAGUUGAAAUUAUUUGGUUCAUCAAUUAUUAUAGUUUGAGCUUUCUGCAUUAAAUAUCCUGUUUUCGGGGGAGAGUGAUUCAUAUAAUUGGGUUUUAUUAAAUUUUUCUUGAUUUUAUACAGUUUUUCGUUUAAACUUGUGGAUUUGGAAACACUUUUAUGAGUGUUAAAAUCUUAUUGUAUGUCUAAAAUUUGUUUGGAAUUUGGUGGAUUCUUCAAUUUCAUCACCACCCAUUCUCACAACUUCAUCUAAAGUGUUUCGCAUGUACAAGAUUCGUGUUCAUUGAGGUCAUUUCAAACAGAUUUCAAGCUGAGCUGCAGAAAUUUGAUUCAAAUUGGUGGAUUUGGGUAAGAAACUAAGAAACCAUAAUCUUUUCUUUCGGUUUUAAGAACUAAAUUUCAUGGUUAAGUUUAUGUUUCAAGAUUAUCUUCCUUUCUCCUAAAUGCUGAGUUUUAUGAGAUUACAUUUGGUAAGUCUGAAAACGAAUUAGAAAUACUGAGUUUUAUGAGAUCUAUUUGGCAAGUCUGAAAGCAGAUUGCGUAUGUUUAUAUCUUCCUUUCUCCUAAAUACUGAGUUUUAUGAGAUCACACCAUCUUAUGUUUAUUGUAUAAUCUUAUGCGGUCAGAAGAAUUAUCAUCUUUUUCCUUUCAGAUUUCAACAUACUUGGAAAUACUUCAAAUUUUUUGUAGUGCAGUUUUUAGUUAACAUGAUUACGUAAGUUCUGUUUCUUUAGUAAAUUUUUAUGCAGGAAAGAAAGUCAUUUCUCAGUUUGUAGUUAACAUGAUUACAUAAGUUCUGCUUAUCGACCUCAUUCACUUAUGUUUUCUUCUGUUCAUUCAUAAUUGUGUUAAGUUUAUUUAGGUUAAAUGUGUCUUAUUCAUGCAGUUACUCAUGAAACAGUUGUUCACGCCGCAACAUGCGGGCGUAUUUUCUAAUUGAUACUAUUAUUCAAGACUCAAAAGUUGGAUCUUAAUUCGUUGACCGGUAUGCAACUAUGAAUUUUUUUAGAUGCUAUAUCUACGAAUUUUUCUAGACGCUAGAAAAUAUUAAAGUCCCAAUUAAGACGUUAUGCUAGCAAAUAUAUAGACCGAGAGAAAGCAAGUUGUUUACAUACGUACAAAAUUAUCUCAGUCGUCCCGAUUAAGACUUUACUAGCAAAUAUAUAGACCGAGAGAAAACAAGUUAAAAUUACCUCAGUCGUCCUAAUUAAGACUUUACUAGCAAAUGUAUAGGCUGAGAGAAAGCAAGUUGUCUACAUCCAUAGAAAAGUAUGUCAAUCCCAAUUAAGACGUUGCCAUUGAAUAUAUUAAUUGAGAGAAAUUGAGUCGUUUACCUACAAGUACUUUAGUCGUCCCCAAUUAAGACGUUAGUAGCAAGUUGUUUACGUACAUACAAAAUUAUCUCACUCCCAAUUAAGACGUAAGAAAUUUGAUAAACAAAAACAAGUCAUCGGAAUAAUUAAGCCAAGGUGGUUGGAUGGUGGUGGGUUCAUACGUGGUAGUGUGACUUUCCGUCAUCCAAAACAUAGGAAUUGGAUUUCAUCAGUGCGGUUAGAAAUUAUUUGAUUUUUUCAUUUAAAAUUAAAUACAAAUAGUAUCUGACAAAAACUGAUCGUAUGGUAUACGAUGAACGGCUAAGAUGUAAGGAUAAAGUGGAUAUGGGGAAAAUCCCUUUCUCAAAACAUAUCCUCUUUUGACUUUUCUCGCUGCAUCAUUCAACUCAACUUGCAUAUAUUUUCAUCCCGAUCGAAUUUUCAGUUCAACCACAACUUUUGAAAAUUCCACCUGAGAUUUUUUAUUUUUUAUUUUUAAAAGAAAUCCCACCUUUGUUUUUCUUUGAAAAAAUCCACUUCCACUUAUCUAAAAUUCAUUUUAUCGUUGUAUUUAUACGUAAAAUUAUGAAUGAAAUAUUAUUCUUUACCAGACAAACUUACAAUAUACAUGUAAUUUUAGCAAUAUUUUAAGCUAAUCGUCAAAGUCUUGAGUUCGAUACUUUGUAACAAGGUCAUUGGUAGGUAGGGUUCAAUUUUCAACUAGUCUCUUCUGAAUCCAAAAAAGAUGGAUGAUCGUAGUUCGACACUAGUGUCCAUCUUUUUAGAAAGGAAAAAAAAACUUAUCGAAUAGUGUGUCAUGUUUCUUGUUAGACAUAAUAAUGUGAUUAGUUUAAGAAUUGUCACAAUGACAUCGUGGUUUGAUGUCAUAUCAAAAUCACCAACUAACAAAGAAUUAAUCCUUUGUUCUUUCGCUAUCGAGAAAAAUCCCUCUCCAUAAUUACAGUAAUUGACCAAUUGAGCAAGAAUGUUAAUCCAUAAGUCAAUCCCUUAAUUUUUAAACUAGAAAAAUAUUAACAAUCUAGAACUGUACAUAAAUAUUUUAACACUAAAGCAGCUCAAUGUGCAAUAUUACAGUAUACAAUUCAACUAAUAUGAUCAAAGUCUUGGCCAACUCCAGGUGGGAAAUUAAAAAAGUGGCCGCCAUUUGAUCAUGCAACUUGGACAAAAUAUAUUAUAGGAUAAAUUACAUAAAAUCACCUUAAUUAUCGGUCGAACCACAAUUUCAUACCUCAUGUUUUAAAUAUUUCAAUGUCAUACCUUAAUAUAUGAAUUCGUUGCAAUGUCUAAAUUUUCUUAAUUUAAUUGUUAAAUGAUGAAGUGGUAGGAGUGGGACCCACUCAUUAAAAAAAAAUUCUCUUCGUUUCCCAGAAAUCGUCUCCUCCCCCUACUCCCUCCUCCGUCCCCCUUCUUCGUUUCCCAGAAAAUCGUUUCUGGGUUUGUAUUUGUGUUUUUCGUUUUGGGUUUUGUUUUUGUGGGGUUCUUCGUUUUGACUUUCUGGAACUCUACCUUUGCAAUUUUGUUUGGUGGUUUUUCUUAGAAAAAUGGUGAAGAAGAAGAAAUUGAAGAAAUGGCAGUGGGGCGAAAGCCCCAGUCGGUGAUGGGAUAUGAAGAGAGGGAAAAUGAUAAGGGGAUGGUUUCUAAUUCUCAGUUUUGCGAAAUCUUAGUGAACUUAUGAUGAAGAAAUCAAAUUAGUUUUAUGUAAAGACUGUUGGAGCAAGAUGAAUUGGGUCUGGUUUUGGUUUGCAUCAAUUCCCACUUAUUUGGGGUCUGGUUUUGGUUUGCCAUCGAAACCCACCUGCGUUUUGCGAUUGGCGGUGUAUCAGUUGUUCCCGAAGGAGGACGAAAAUUAGCUGCGUUUAAGGAGGACGAGGAAGAAGGGGAGCGGAGGAAGGAGUGAUUGGAGGAGGAACGGGGACGAUUUCCAGGGAACAAGGAGGAGAGGUUUUUUUAAAAAUUUUUAAAGUUAAUAUUAAUUGUCAAAUAAAAAUAAAAAAUAUAUUAAUUUUUUAUUCGAGUUGGCAAAAAAGUGGGUCUCAUUUCUGCCACGUCAUCAUUUAACAGUCAGAUUAACAAAAAAUUUAAUGGUGGUCUGACAUUGCAACGACUUCAUAAGUUGAGUUAUGACAUUGCAAUAUUUAUAUACAUAUACGUUGUCAAUAUAUGACUAAAAUCUAAUGGUCUUCUUCUUCUUACAUGCAAUGCAUGAUUCAGCCAGUCGGAAUAUAAGUGUUGGUCGUUUAAGUUCACGCCGUCGAGGAGAGCAAGUUCUGCACAUGUACAAUAUGAAGAUGAAGUUGCUGAUGAGGAUACUAUUACUCUGCUUCCUCAGCUGCUUCUGGUUUCAGCUGUCCUUUGCUCAAAAUGCUACCACUGAUCCAUCUGAAGGUUCUCUCUCUCUCUCUCUCUCUCUCUCCCCCCCCUAUCCCUAGACACACACACUUUGCCACAUUUAAAUGUUUUUGACCAGGAACUGGGCUUUUUUCCCUCAACAAAAUGACAUUUUAAGUGUUUUUCGACUAUAUGAAAUGAAGUUUCGAGGAACUUAUUUGUAUAGUCUUUUUUCUUUCCAUAUACAAAACAUCCAAAUUAAGGGUAAUUUUCCUUUGUAAUAAUCAAUUUGAUCUCUCAUUUGAUUCGAGAUAGUCUAGUAAGGGGUAACACAAGUCAAAUUAUGGUGUGAUAUAUAAUACACACAAGGACUGAAUUAACUGAGAGUGCAGUGAGGGCGUUGAACUCAAUAUUUGAACAAUGGGACACACAAGUGCAGUGGAAGAUCAGUGGAGAACCCUGCAGUGGACCUGCCAUCAACGACAACAACCCAGCCAUCGCUUGCGACUGUACUUACGACAACAAUGCUACAUGCCACAUCACUAAACUGUAUGUUAAACUACUCUCUUUAUGAACAAGAUUUCUAUGCCAAUGCUGAUUUUUCACUUGCUACCUAUGCAUGUUAACGUCAUAAUUUGACUGUGUCGCUCCAUUUUAUGUAGUUCUAAAUGUUCAAUCUUUUUGCUUUCCAGGAGCAUGUAUGCUCUUAACAAACGAGGGGUGUUUCCAGAAGAAUUUGUGGCUUUGAGAUAUCUCACAGAUUUGUAUGAAUUUUUUCCAACUCCCUUCUCUGUUUUUGGUUCAUCAAAAUCAUAUAUUGGAUAUUAAAAAUGUAAAACGAAUGAAAAUGGUUUGAAAACUUUGAGUUUUAACGAAAAUGACAAAAUAAAGGGUAAAUUGUAUAGUAUCAUGAUUGACUUUUUAGUGUUAAAAUGUGGUUUUUCGUUAAAGUAAACAGUACCGGGAGCUUUUUGUUAAAGUUCCCUAAUAAAAAUUGUAGAAUUAUCAGAGAGACGGGCCAAAAACUCACUUCCAAGAACAUAGAUACUGACCCAACUUGGUAAUUACCACCUGCACAAUCCGUCAGGUGUGGGUUUAUCUCAAAAAGCCUCGGCAUUAGUUGGAGUGAGAUUUGGAUAUUUAAACUCUUCUUUCUUCAUUUCUCUAGCCGAUGUGGUAUUUCAACAAAAAUAUGGUGAUGUUGUACGAUUAAGAGUUAACGAUUACACUUCCUUUCAAUUUUUGUAGAAGGAUCGAUCGGAAUUAUUUCACCGGUCACCUACCCGCAUUCAUUGGCAAUAUGUCUGCAUUGACUACAUUGUAAGUUGUGAGAGAACAUUUCUUUUAAGUACUCAUACUUUUGAUGAGACCCGUAGCAAUUUGUAUACUUCAUUUUGAAUAUCAUAAUCUACAGUUAUGUACUUUACACCUUUUCGCUACUAUUUAUGCCGUAAUCUACAAAAAAUCGUUAUGCUUUUAUUGAAUAAUGCAGAACUAGUUUCCUGUUAUGUAAUGUAAUUAAGUUUAAUGGUGCUUAUCUUUCACUAACUGACAUCUCUAUUCAGGACAAUUGGCGUCAAUUCAUUCUCUGGGCCCAUCCCCAAGGAGCUUGGAAACCUUAAGAAGCUAGUCCUGCUGUAAGCCAUAAAAAAUGAGAAAGCGUACAGUAAAAUUUUGUGUCAUAAACAUUAGAUACAGAACCUUUCAAUAAUUGCUUUCAAGUAAUUGUUUGCCUGUUCAACAUGACUUGCAGGGCGUUCGGAUCAAAUAAUUUCUCCGGAACACUCCCACCAGAACUUGGUAAUUUAGUCAAGCUUGAGAAACUGUAAGUGGUUAGUUAAAUCAUCAAAUUUGAAUUGCAUGUUAAUUCCUUACGGAUGAGCAAAAAUUGCACUUUAUCGUAUGAAAUGGGUAUUAAUCAGUUGCCUUAUGAUUUUCACAGUUACAUGGACGGCUGUGGACUCGGUGGUGAAAUUCCUUCAACAUUUGCCAAGCUCACCAACAUGCAAACCCUGUAAGAACGGCUCUUAAAUCGUAUUUUAGAUUUGUUAGUUUAUCCAGUACUUUGAGAUUGCUUUUCUUGGAUGAGCUUAGUAUAUGUCAACUUUUUGAAUUUUAGCUGGGCAUCGGACAGUCCUUUCUCAGGAAAGAUACCUGAUUUUAUAGGGAAUUGGACACAACUCUAUGAUUUGUAAGUAGAGAAACCUUUGAUCUUUUGCAGUUUAUGAAAGCAGACCUGAGAUGGAUAAUUUGUUCACAAGCUUCUUAUAUGUUUCUAUAGGUGAUUUCAAGGGAACUCUUUCGAAGGCCCAAUACCAACCAGCUUUUCUCGACUGACCUCAUUGAACACUCUGUAAGUACAAAUGUUUCAUAAAUUGUAAUUCUCUCCGAAGAGGGGAUUUCAGUUUAUUUUGCAUAUAAUGAUGUAGGCGAAUCAGUGAUAUAUACAAUGGGAGCUCCUCUCUUGAUUUCAUAAAAAAUCUGACAAGCUUGACUCAUUUGUAUCAUUUGUAAGUGAAGAUUCUCAUCGAUCCAGAUACUGUCAUCUAAUUUCUUUUGUAAGUGAAGAUUCUCAUCGAUCCAGAUACUGUCAUCUAACUUCUUUUUCCUUUUGAAAUUUGAUCUACUUUUUAUCAAAUUUUAUGUUUUUGGAAUACAGAUAUCUACGAAACGCAUUAAUCACUGAUACCAUCCCAUCUGAUAUUGGAGAUCUAUAUCUAGGCACUAUACGUACCAGCAAAUACAAGCUUGAGUCCCAGCGAGACCAAUUAGUUUUCUUUCAUUCUGAUUGCUCCUCUCAACUUAUCGUUGGUGUUGUAGGGAUCUGAGUUUCAACAAUUUGACAGGCCAACUCCCAAGUUCUUUGUUCACCAUGAGUUCUCUUACAUCCUUGUAAUCCCCGUCCUUAUUAUUAUCUUUUUCUUGCCUUAUCAUACAUAAGUUAUCAAAUCUUUAACAUUCCCUACUUUGAUUGAAGAAUAUCUCGACUAAUCCUUCUAGAUUUUGUGUAGAUCUGACCUUUUUCUUGCUCAUCUCUUUUUCUUUUCUGGGUGCCUUCUACUAUAAUCGAAAUGGCCAGGAUUCUUGGAAACAAUAGUCUCUCCGGACCUCUUCCGAGCCAAAAGAGCUUUCAACUUCAGACUAUGUAAGUCCUCGUUUCUUAAAGUAGUCAUAUAGAAUGCACGGUGCAUGUAUGUGUUUGUGUAUAUUCGUAAGCAUUCUAAUCCUAUCUUACACAAGUUCUUGAUAACUUUCAUGCAUUUUGUGUCUUUUGAUUCUAUUUUGUUAUUUGCAGAGAUUAGUCUUACAAUUUUUUAUCAGGAAGCUUUCCCCAGUGGGUGACCACAAUGUCACAAAUGUACGUGUCCUUUUAUCUUUCACCUUCAUUUUACAGUUUAAAUCACCAGAAUACGUUUGGACAAAAAAUUGCCGCUGAGAUUUGUUUUCACAGUUCUACUUGCCUACAAAGUUUUGAUCUUGUACAUGGAAUUUUCAUUUGAUAAAGAUAUAGUUCUUCAUAUGUUGAUUGAUUAAUGAUUUUAUGCAGGAACUUAGUGGUCAACAACUUCACAUUUGACAGUUCAAACAUAACGUGAGUUGAAGUUUCUCUUACUCGUUUUAGACGAGCAAUACUAUCACAACUCUUCCACUAUAUGUUUCUAUCGGGAUAACUAAUAAUUGUUCUCUGUGUUUGCAGUCUUCCUGGAUUGAAUUGCCUCCAGAGAAAUUUUCCAUGCAAUCGAAAUGCUCCACGAUGUAAUCUGCUCUUAUGUCACCCAUCAUUUACUAUUUUAAUGCAACGUCAUGUCAGAGGAAAAGGCAUUGCUUCUCUAGUUAUGUAUACAUAUGGAUAUAGAUUGCAAGCAUGUUUUCAUAAGUUCAGUAAUACGCAUAACUGGUCAGAAAUAUGUGACUGAUGAACAUUAGCAUGAGUCUUCAAUUUGACGUUUCAUCGCUAAUCAUGGCUGGCUUCUGGUAUUACAUGAAACUUUACAGAUGCAAACUUCUCAAUCAAUUGUGGUGGAAAACAAAUGACGGGAAGUGAUGGCAUAUUGUAUGAGACUGAAGACUCAGCUCUUGGCCCAGCAACAUUCAAUGUAACCAGUACAGAGAAAUUGGCUGUCAGCAAUGCCGGUUUGUUUUCUGAGAGAAAGGACCCAUUUUCUGGUAAACACCCUUGCACAAGUCACUAGAACAGAUGUGACCCCGGAGCUUUUCCAGACUUCAAGAGUGUCCCCAGGAUCACUGAGAUACUAUGGCAUGGGCCUUGAGAAUGGGCCUUACACUGUAACAUUGCACUUUGCAGAGACGGUUUAUGAAAGUCGCACUUCUCAAAAAUGGGAAAGUCUAGGACGGCGUGUAUUUGAUAUCUAUAUUCCGGUAAGACUACUUAUAGAAUAAAAAUCUAACUUAUUUGAAGUAAACACCUCAUUGGACAGGUUUUCGAUGUUUUAAGCUACCUCUUCAUUUAAAGGAGACUAGAAUUAUCACCUACCUCUUCAUUUGGUUGCUAGGGUACCCGAAGGACGAAGGACUUUGACAUAUCCAAGGAGGCAGGUGGGGCUAAACUAGGAAUUAUGAAAAGAUUCAAUGUUAGCGUGUCAGAGAAUUAUCUUGAAAUUCAUCUAUUCUGGGCUGGUAAAGGGAGUUGUUGCACACCUUCGGCAGGUGAUUACGGCCCACUAAUAGCAGCCGUCCAUGCUGCUUCAGGUAUAAUUUGUGUUAACUAAUAGAGAUUUCCUGUGAAUGGUUUAAAUGUAUUUUUCUGCUGUUAAUUGACACUGAAGAAUUCGUCUGUUUUAUUGCUCAGAUUUUACACUAACAGUUUCUGGGCUUCCACCAACUACUCCAGGAAAGAAGAGCAGGAAUGGGUUGAUAGUUGGAAUUGCAGUUCUUGUUGGAGUUGUGAGCUUACUAUUAAUAUUUGCGAUUCUAUAUACGAGGGGGGGGGGAAAUCAGAAAAAAGGACGACGAAGGUAAAUGACCAUAUUAUUAGUGGUAUUCAAUUCAAGUUUCUCUACUCUGACAUUAACACACACAAGAAUGCUUUCAUGAAAGUAAAACUUAUGUCACACUGUUUCGUGAAUGUGCAGAUAUUUUAGGAUUAGGCCCUCAACCAAAUAUUUUCAGUUAUGCUGAGUUGAGAGCUGCAACCGAAGAUUUUAAUCCUUCAAAUAAGUCAGGAGAGGGAGGAUAUGGCCCUGUUUAUGAGGUGAAAUCCGUAUUACAUCAAUAUCAUGUACUUGGAAGUAAUGACAAGAGAAAUGGGGAGAGCGAGUGAGCAAGAGAAGAAAAUAAAGCUUUUUUUUUCUUUCCUUUCAUGUCACUAAAUUGUGUUUCUGUGUACAUUGUAGGGUACACUUUCUGAUGGGAGAGUAGUGGUUGUGAAGCAACUUUCAGUAGCAUCUCACCAAGGGUAGAGUCAAUUUGUAUCUGAAAUUGCUACCAUAUCUGCUGUGCAACAUCGGAAUCUAGUGAAAUUGUAUGGAUGCUGCAUCGAAGGCAGCCACCGCAUUUUGGUUUAUGAGUAUCUUGAAAACAAGAGCCUGGAUCAGGCACUUUUUGGUACAAACCUAUCUACUUUUAGGUUGCAUAGAAACAACAAUGUCUGCAGUUUCAAGCACUCUAAAAUUGUUAAGAAAUGUUUUUGAUUGGAUAUGUUCACUAAUAUUUCAGGAACAAGUAACUUGCACCUUGACUGGCCUACUCGAUUCAAUAUAUUGUUGGGAACAGCAAGAGGACUUGCUUACAUUCAUGAGGAGUCAAGGCCAAGGAUUGUACAUCGAGAUGUCAAAGCGAGUAAUAUUUUGCUCGAUGCAAAACUCUCCCCAAAAAUAUCAGAUUUUGGACUGGCAAAGCUUUAUGAUGACGAAAAAACCCACAUCAGCACCCGGGUUGCAGGGACAAUGUAAGCCAUCCUUUAUUGUUUUUCCAGAGGUUACAUACAUUAUGGCCACACACAUUUAUACUUGCAUGAAAUUUUAACACACAUGUUAAUAAUGCCUCUAAUGAUCUCAAGCAACAAUGCCUCUAAUGAUCUCAAGCAACAUUGUGCAACCAUUUGAUUAUCUUGCAUUGUAGAGGCUAUUUGGCACCGGAGUAUGCAUUGUUUGGACAUUUGACAGAGAAGGCUAAUGUGUUUGGUUUUGGAGUCGUCGUUUUGGAGAUCCUCAGCGGGAGACCAAAUUCUUACAAUAACUUGGAUCCAGAAAAGAUUUAUCUUCUUGAAUGGGUAGGAAUUGCGUUCGCCUAGCUUCAUUUAGGCAUUGUUGUGAAAAACUUAUUUAUACGUACCUUUGACCGUGGCAUAAUGUUUUUCAGGUGGGACUCUACAUGAAAACGACCAAACUCUAGGGCUGGUGGAUCUGAGAUUGACAAAGUUUAAAGAAACUGAAGCAACUAGAUUGAUAAGAGCAGCUCUUUUGUGCACACAGGGAUCACCGAUGGCAAGGCCAUCUAUGUCACGCGUGGUUGCAAUGCUCUCUGGAGACAUUGACAUAGGCACUGUUAUGUCGAAGCCAAGCUAUUUGACAGAUUAUAAUUUUAUAGAUGUAACAACAUUUUCAACAGGUUGAUUUUUGGUGGAGGAUGAUACCCCAUCAACUGCGUCCAAGCAUAGUAAUGUUCGCCUCAACUAUCAGCCUGAAGGCAACAAUGCAAGUGGUGCUAACACCCCUGGGGUUAAGCCUGUGCCUAGCACACCCCUGGGGUUAAGCCUGCGCCUUCUCCAGUAAACGUCACUCAAUCACUGCUCGUUGGCAUUGUAGGAGAAGGAAGGUGAUAAAUAAUGGGAAAUGAUUUCCGAAUGCCUUUUAUCCUUUUGUGCACCCAUGUGCUUGUCCUUGGGUCUUUUCUGCCCUUAAGGUUUUGGCUAUGACGAUGUAUAUCUAAAAUAAGAUACAAUUUUAUAGAUAUUUGAGUCAAUUUUGUGUUAGUAUGUUACAGUGUAAAUCUCCUCUUUUAAUCAAAAGGAAAAAAAUGGAUGUUUCUUUUCUUAUAGUUGGUGCUAUUCACACUCCCAUUUUAACUUCUCACAUAAUUUUUCUAUAAUUUUUGUCUUUUGAUAUUUUUUAAUUAAUUCGAUCCGACGGUCGAAAAUUGAGAAGGGUGGGUGGAGGUAAAAAUAGGUGUGAAUAGCACCACGCUUUUCUAUCUGAUAACCAAGUAUGUAUAAUAAAACUUUGUUAAUUGUUGGUCGAUCAAUCUCAACGGUGGGGCCGGGUAAAACCAAAAUGUAGGGAAGUUCAUGCUCACCAAAGCAAAUCUCAGUUGAAAAGUAAACUCGAAUCAAUAAAAAAUUCCAAAGCAAGAUCAACCCGUUUAAGGCUAUGGUGCUCGUCUAGUUAUCUUUGUGCCUUUUUUCUUUACAUUUGGAAGUGCCAGUGCCAGAUCACUUGAGGCAACAAGUCCAGGCCCCACAUUUUAUUCGUUCCUAUUGCCUCCAUUGAAAGUGACCGUUAGAAUUUGAACGUUAUAAGCCUACCGUUUUCCAGUCCCACUUUUUUAGUUCUUGUCACUCACUUUGCUCUUCUCUACAAAAGUAUUAGUUACACACACACACACACUUAUUAGCAGCAUAUAUACACCUAUAUAUAUACUCUCUCUUAGUCUCAUCAGAACUCAAAGAAUGAGAGCUUUGGAGAAGUAGUAGUAGCAGAAACUAGAAGAAGAAAGGGAGACAUCUUAGUCUCCCCCCAGAAGCUGAAGUUGUUGCCUGUCAAUAAGUGUUUGUAUGUGGUCAAGGCAAGCACCUUCUUGACCAUCUUAUCUGGCUUCAAAUUCGCAUUCACUGCCUCUUCUAGAAUCACAUCGAACACCUUCCCGAAAUCAGCCAUCCAGUCCUGGCUUUUGAUCAAAGUCUGUGAUAAACCUAGUUCGGAAACCCUAAUGAACAACCGGUCCACGUCAACAUCACCAAACCUUCCCGCUGCAAUCUGCAACAGAAAGGAUCAUAACUGUUAAACCACUAGUUGUACACCCUGGACAAAAGGAAUGGUGCACAUGGACACAACAUUCCUUUACAGCUUGUCUACCACAUGGUUUCUGCACUUGUGUUGUGAUUGCUGCAUCGUGGGCAUCGUGGGCAGCAAGAACAGCACUUGCUGUGCAUUUGUUUAUUGCAACAUCACUUGCUGUGCAUUUGUUUAUUGCAACAUCACUUGCUGUGCUUUUGUUUAAUGCAUGCGUGUCCUUAAAAGGUCGUACCCAGUGCACAAGGCUCCCGCUUUACGCAGGGUCUGGGAGAGGUGAAUGUCGGCUAGCCUUACCCCCAUUUAUGGAGCGGCUGCUCCCAAGUCUCGAACCCGAGACCUACCGCUCAUGGGCGAAGACACUUGUCAUCGCACCAAGUGCGACCUCUGAUGUCCAUUGUAAGAAGUGCAUAUAAAUAUAAACUCUGAUGUCCAUUGUAAGAAGUGCAGUGUAAUAAUAAACCAGUUUCGAAUACCAAGUUUUUCAUGGUAUCUAAGAGCUGACAGUCUAAACGACCAAAAGCUUUAUUUUUUUUUCUCUCAUGGCGUCCAGUUCAAGUUCCUCCAAUCCCAUUACUUUUUCCUCUCUUCCAAAUGCUUCCAACUUUCUGACUAUCAAGUUGGAUCGUACCAACUAUCCCCUAUGGCAUGCCCAGAUGUUGCCCUUGCUUCGUAGCAGGAAUUUGGUGUCUUUUGUUGAUGGAACCAACCCAUCUCCUCCUGCCUUCUUGAAGGAUGAUGCUGGCCAACUCACUGAUAAAGUCAAUCCUGACUUUGAUGCAUGGAUUCAGCAAGAUGCUAUGGUUCUCUCUUGGAUCAACAGUUCAGUCCAUCCCACAGUUCUUGCCUCUCUUAUUGGUAAGACAAGUUCUCUUUCUGCAUGGACUUGUUUACGUGACAGGUAUGCCUCUCAGUCUACUGGCCGUCUCCUCCAAUUGCGUAGUGAACUUAUGAAUACCCAUCGUGGUGAUUCCUCUAUUGCUGAGUUUCUUGAUCGUAUUAAUUGUCUUGCCGACACUCUCUCCCUCUCUGGUUCUCCUAUGACUGACUCUGAUCUUGUUGCCAUUAUUUUAAAUAAUGUUGGGCCUGCUUAUGAGAGUACUGUUGCUUCUGCACAAGCACGGGAUGAGGCCAUUACUUAUAGUGCUUUGGAGGCUCUUCUUCUUGGUGCAGAAAGACGUCAAAAGAUUCAUACAGUGUUUGAAAAUGGGCUCACUGCCCUUGCUGCUGGAAGAGGUCGUCCAGGACCUUCCCGUGGUCGCGGUGCUCCUCGCGGAGGCCGUGGUCACUUCAAUAGUGGCCGUGGCCAAUUUCCUCCUCGUCCUCAAAGCCAGGAACACCAUGCUCCUCCACACCGACAACCUCAUGAUGGCGUUUUUGGUGCUCCUCCUUCUCCAACCCAAUCUGGUGGCCGUAUCCAAUGCCAAAUAUGUCGUCGUCACGGCCAUUCUGCAAUCGAUUGUUUCAAUCGUCUGAAUAUGGCCUAUGAAGGACGUGUUCCUGCUCCACGUCUCCAAGCUUAUGCUGCUACUGCACCGUCUCCGGCAUCCGCCUCUCCCUCUGGCAUCCACAACUGGCUUUUUGACUCUGGAGCCAAUGCACAUAUCACCAAUGAUUUGAAUCAAAUUUCAAAUCCUCGUCCCUACAAUGGCACUGACAAUGUUAAUGGCGUGGUGGACGGAUCAGGUUUGCACAUUUCUCAUGUUGGCACUUCUUUUAUUCACACACCCCAUCACUCCUUUACCCUUCCCCACACCCUUCACUGCCCUAAUGCUUCUACUAAUGUUAUUUCCAUUAAUCAAUUUACCAAAGACAACCAUUGUUCACUGACCUUAUAUCCCAAUUCCUACCGUGUUCAGGACCUUCAAACGGGGAAGAUGCUUUUGCAAAGCCGGAGUAAAAAUGGUUUUUAUCCAUUUUUCAGUUCUUAUGUGGUCAACCAUGGAGUCUCUGCAUUUGUCGGUGUUAGAGUGUCGGAUGCUAUUUGGCAUUCUAGGUUAGGACACCCUGCAAGUUCUGUUUUGCAUAGUCUAAUUUCCCAAAAUAAAUUACCUUUAACUAGUAAUGCAACCUACGACUUUUGUUCAUCAUGUCCCCUUGGCAAAAGUCAUAAGUUGCCUUUUAAUUUAUCUUCUUCCCAGUCAUCGUUUCCUUUGGAAUUAAUACAUUCCGAUGUAUGGAUUUCUCCUUCUUAUUCAAUUAAUGGUUACAAGUAUUAUGUUGUUUUUGUGGAUGAUUUUUCUCGUUAUGCAUGGCUCUAUCCUUUAAAAUUAAAGUCUGAUGUUUUUCAAACCUUUGUUAAUUUCAAAAAGCUUGCAGAAAAUAUGUUCAAUACCAAAAUUAAAUUUUUUCAAUCUGAUGGUGGAGGAGAGUUUGUCAAUUCCUCUUUUAAACACCUUUUCUCUCAACAUGGCAUUCAUCAUAGACUUAGUUGUCCUCAUCAUCCUGAGCAAAACGGUCUCGCAGAACGCAAACAUCGUCAUCUUGUUGAAAUUGGCUUAACUUUACUUGCUCAUGCGUCUCUCCCUCACACUUUCUGGGAUGACGCUUUUCAAACUGCAAAUUAUCUCAUUAAUCGUCUUCCCACCAAAAUUUUGAAUGGCGUCUCUCCUUUCCAAAAACUGUUUUCAAAAUCCCCCCAGUAUGAUUUUCUCAAAGUAUUUGGUUGUGCUUGUUUUCCCUAUUUACGUCCUUAUACUGAUUCUAAACUUAAGUUUCGAUCAAAACAAUGCAUUUUCUUAGGCUACUCAUUAAAUUAUCAAGGUUAUAAAUGUUAUGAUCCUACCACUGGCAAGUCUUUUCUGUCUCGUCAUGUUGUUUUCAAUGAAAAAAGUUUUCCAUCGAAAGAACUUGCUCCUCCGACCUUGUCAAACUCUCGUCCGUUGGACCAUGUCCUUGACAUUGAUACCUUCCAUUACACCCAACCACAGUUGACCCCUCUGAUCCCUCCUUCCCUUCCAACACCGAUUGUCGCCACCUCCCCACCUCAAUCCCUACCACUACCUACCCCAGACUCCCAUUCUCCCAUCAACUUCCACUACUCAAGUGAAUAUAGAACCUGCCAACACCACUUCACAUACUGUUCCUUCCACUCAUCCCAUGAUCACGCGUGGUCAACAAGGAAUUCGAAAACCAAAUCCCAGAUAUGCUUGUAUCACUAACGUUACUAAUACUUUGGUUAAGCCCACAUGUUUCUCACAGGCAAAUAAGUCUCCACAAUGGCGCCAAGCCAUGGCAGAUGAAUUCAACGCCUUACAGCGUACUGGCACUUGGACUUUGGUACCCUACAAGUCUUCUAUGAACGUGUUACCAAAUAAAUGGGUGUAUCGCAUCAAAACAAACUUUGAUGGUUCCAUCGAGCGUUUUAAAGCUCGCCUAGUUGCCAAUGGUUUUCAUCAGCAAGAGGGCAUUGAUUUCUGCGAAACCUUCAGUCCGGUGGUCACACAUGCCACAAUUCGGCUCAUUCUCUCUAUUGCUCUUCACUUUCAGUGGCCUAUCUGCCAACUUGAUGUUCAAAAUGCCUUCCUUCAUGGCACGUUGAAUGAGGAAGUUUAUAUGCGUCAACCUGCAGGGUUCAUUGAUCCACAGUUUCCCUCUCAUGUGUGUCGACUUCGACGGUCUCUCUAUGGUUUGAAACAAGCACCCCGUGCUUGGUUUCAAUGUUUUUCCCAGAAACUAGAACACUUGGGCUUCACUGCUUCUCAAGCUGACUCGUCUCUCUUCACCUAUUUUGAUGGCUCAACAAUCAUUUAUCUUCUCAUCUAUGUGGAUGACAUUUUAAUCACAGGGAACAACAAUGCUCACUUGUCUCAGUUUAUCACGCAGCUUGGCACUCAUUUUGCAAUGAAAGAUCUUGGGCCCUUACACUACUUCUUGGGGAUGGAGGUUUCCCGGACGCCUUCUGCUUUCUAUCUUACUCAAUCCAAGUAUAUUUUGGAGCUUCUACAGAAAACUAAUAUGGCUGACGCCAAGCCCAUCUCAACGCCAGUUCGCAGUGGUAAACGCUUGAGUUUAUAUGAUGGUGAGCCUUUCUCAGAUGGAUCUUCUUUCGCAGUGUUGUGGGCGCCCUUCAAUACCUUCUAUUUACACGUCCUGAUAUUGCUUAUGCUGUCAACCAAGUGUGUCAGGUCAUGCACUCUCCAACUACUGCACACUGGGCUGCAGUCAAACGCAUCCUACGGUAUUUGAAAGGCACACAUGAUCACGGCUUACUUUACAAACCCAGUCCUCUCACUCUCACUGUGUUCCCUGACGCUGAUUACACUGGCGACCCUGAUACCCAUCGUUCCACUGGCGGUCACUGCAUAUUUCUUGGCAAUAAUUUAAUCUCCUGGAGUUCGAAAAAGCAACGUGGAGUGUCACGGUCUAGCACAGAGGCGGAGUAUCGUCAACUUGCCUAUACUUCUGCUCAUCUCUCAUGGUUUCGUAAUCUUUCCGUGAUUUAUAUCUUCCAUUACAGCCACCUCGUCUCUGGUGUGACAAUAUCAGCGCCAUUGCUAUUGCUUCCAAUCCUGUUUAUCAAGCUCGCAUGCGCCAUGUUGAAGUGGAUUAUCACUACAUCCGGGACAAGGUCAUUUGCAAGGAAAUAGAAGUUGGUUAUGUAGCUACCACAUACCAAAUUGCUGAUUUUUUAACCAAGGGUUUGUCCUCUGUCCGCUUCCAUUAACUUAUCUCCAAGCUUCCUGUUCGUCAACGCCCCGUCAGCUUGCGGGGGCGUGAUAAACCUAGUUCGGAAACCCUAAUGAACAACCGGUCCACGUCAGCACCACCAAACCUUCUCGCUGCAAUCUGCAACAGAAAGGAUCAUAACUGUUAAACCACUAGCUGUACAUCCUGGACAAAAGGAAUGGUGCACAUGGACACAACAUUCCUUUACGGCUUGUCUACCACAUGGUUUCUGCACUUGUGUUGUGAUUGCUGCAUCGUGGGCAUCGUGGGCAGCAAGAACAGCAUUUGCUGUGCAUUUGUUUAUUGCAACAUCACUUGCUGUGCAUUUGUUUAUUGCAACAUCACUUGCUGUGCUUUUGUUUAAUGCAUACGUGUCCUUAUCAGUGUAUAUAAAUAUAAACUCUGAUGUCCAUUGUAAGAAGUGCAGUGUAAUAAUAAACCAGUUUCGAAUACCAAGUUUUUCAGUCUGCACAUAUUUGGCCCUCGAAUUAAGAUCCUUGCCUUGUAUCGAAUGCAACUGAGGGUUUUUACUUUAGGUGACCACCUUUCCCUUCUAUGGCUCGUCACUCAAUUGAGGCAACAAAAGCCCCAAAGACAAACUCGCCUACAAGGUGUUGUCGACAUCACACAACCAACCAAUUCUUCAGCUUCCCCUGCUUUGAGUAAACCUCCACCAUUUUCUUCCACUUAACAUCAGCCUAUUGCUCGAGCUCAGGAUACUUGAUAUAGCUUAAUAUGUCAUGCGGAAGCAGCGCGGCAUCGCUAGGAUCAAUCUCAUUGGCUGCAGCCAGUUGCUCUCUUGUACUCCGCUCUAUAAAACCUCAUUCCUCAGUUGGUCAAUACAACAAACAUUACCAUCCCCUUCUCGGAGGCAUGAUUCUGGUGGGAAAACCUUCCUUGCAAUGUUUUCGAAUAACAUAAGAUGAUCAACGGUGGUAGGCAAAGAGUAGCCACUUGGGUAAUCUCCAAGCAGUAAUCAUCAUGAUGGUCAUGGUCAUGGUCCUUGUGAUGAUGAAAAUUUUCAAUAUUAGACUUGAAGCACUGGGCAAAAAUAUCUGAAACACAGUCGUGCAAGAAGCAGUAAUCAGCGUUGCGCUCGUAUCUCUGAACCGCCUUGUUGGCCGUGUGGAUCGCCUUCCUCCUCAACAAAAAUUCGCUUGCCUUUGACUUGGCGUCCUUUUCCUUAACAUUCACCAUUCCAUUUGAAUCGGCCUCCUCCCUCGUCCUCCCAAUAAAUUUCAAGUGAGCUUCGCCCCGUACAACCUGCGAGAGAAUGCAGGGAAGGUCUAGGUCCGAAUGAGCCGGAAAUUGGCACGAGAUUGUAAGCAAGGGUUUUGGGGUGGUUCUGGUGGAGCCAAACCGCCGCCGUGAAGAAAGCUUAGUCUUGGUUGCGUUUUCCACCGUCGCCGCGUCUGUCUAUGAAGUUGCAGAUGAGUUUGAGGGUGGUUAGAGGAUUGUGCGACCAGGCCGAGGGAAGUACUUAGUUCAUCAGAGUUUCGUGGAAUUCCACUGUCGACAUGGCGUCUUGUCCCUUGAUGCAGUGGAAGUACAGAUCAAUGUAAGGGUUGUUGAUGUUGUGGAAGCCUAAUUGAGGUUGUUGUUUGAAUUUGAACUGCUCGGGCAACAGCAAAGAGGGCGGAGGCGGAGCAAUUCUUGUGAAUUGCGGCCAAACAGCCUUGUUUCGGCAUGCUUCCAGAAUCGAUAUCAGUAGUAGGAAUGCCCGCACUUUGCUACGGAUUUUCAAACCAUGAAUAAUAUUCAUAGAAAAAUUAACUAAAAUGCUACAAGAGUACAAUCAUAUUCUUAAAUCUAGCAAUUCAGACAACACACAUUUUACAUGAGCAACGCUCACAAAACCAAACAUUUACACAAUUAUCUCCAAAUGAAAGAAAAAGCAAGAGAUAGGUGAAUUGAUCCAUAAAAUAAGCAGUUCAAUUUACAUUGCUACUCUCUUGUAACUUAUUAGAGCUUCUUUGCAGAUCAAUCAUAGUGAUUUCUUCAUUGCUUUCACCAGAUAUUUCUAUAGUACUACUCUAGUAGUCUAGUUGACAGAACAAAUAGCAAUUGCGAUUUUAUUCGCUGAAUUGAAUGUGUUGUAAAGAUAAUACCACCAACUAAGGGUCGCAAUUGAUUCUUGUAAUAACAGACUAUAAAAGUAAAGGUAUGAAUAAAAAAGAAAAUGCGUCCUUUGAAAGAUAUAGAACAAACCUGAAAUUCAAUGAAUUGUUCUUUCACAAAGCGCAACACUAGACUUGAUUUCCCAGCUCCAACAUCCCUAAGAAGCACCUGAAGAAGAACAUCAAACAUGACUGUGGUGAUCACGACAUGCAAUACCCAAAGAAUAAUAAUUGAAGAAAAAAUAAACCUAUUCAUCACAUAACGCUAAAAUACAUAUGCCUACAUAUCCAUAAUUCCUAUGUUUACGGAACAUCUUUCAAUAAAUCACAACCUUCAUUUUAAACGGACUUUUGUAUUUGUAUUUUGCUUGUGAGUAUGGUCUUGGUUAAAAUUUAGCAUUCUAGCAUUUACUUAUAUGAUAUCAUAUAGGAAGAAAGCUAUGAGACCUGAGUCACAGUAUAUUGUAUUCUCGGAGACCCUCAAAAUACCAGAGCUAGACCGAGAUAAACAACAACACGAAAGAGUAAAACUUCUACUUUAAAUGUACACUGACAUUUGCAUGCGCAAAGCUCUCUUUCCUCCUUUCCUUUCUUUUCUUCCUCACCUUUCGGUUCUUUCUCCUCUAUCUAAGGAGAUUGUUGUUUUGUUGUUAGUGGUUGCCACCAUCUACACAUUCAAAUCAACUUUAGUUAAUAUAAUUAACUUUAAUAAUUGUAAUAGGAAGUAAUGAUUAUGUCCAACCUUUGGGUCAACAUUUGUGGCUAUAUCUACAAAAAAGUACUAAAAAAGUUUAAACACAAAACCCCAAAAAUUAUAAAAUCAAAAUAUAAUGUACUACCCCUUUUCUCCCGUUUUUCUCUCAGAAUAUGAUUCUCUACUCUCCUAUUCUCAUCUCAUUCCAUCUCUUCCUCUCACACAUUAUUUUUUGUCUUAUUAUUUUUAUAAAAAAUCAAUAUAAAAUGUUGAUAUAAUUUAGCCGUAAUCGUUCAAAUAGGAGGAGAUAGAAGGGUAGAGAAAUUAGGAGGGUAGAGAAUCCUACUCAUUUUCUCUCACCCUCCACUUCUACAAAUCACCAACCUCCCACUCUCCCUAUAUACUCCCUACCUCUCUCAUAAUAUCAAAACUCUCAAACCCAAUUCAGUGCCUCAUUACCUAGGUUUUUUUUUGUAUUAUCUUUUUCAACUAAACCCUAAACAAUGUAUUGCUGCAAGCAACAUAACGUCCACUUUGCAGAUUUUUGUGGAACCACUUGGCAGAUUUUGUGGAACCACUUUAAAAAUUCAAAUCUUUAAGCACCUGAUGAUCAGAUUGAAAUUUAAAACUUCAAUAGGUAUCCCUCCUUACCACAUAUAUAUAGUUUUAAAAAUAAAACCAAAAGGAUUAGAUCCAAUUAACAUAUACUGGAAAACUACCAAAGUAAUAUUGAUUAAUUAAACUACUUUUUUAAAUAUACCCAGCAAGGUAAAUUUUGGGUUUGACAAAAAUUUUAAACCUACGAAUGGAUAUAUCAAAUCAAUUUGUGAGUAUGAUAAAAGUCCCUAUGAUAGUAUCAAAACAACUAUAAUCACAAAGAAGUUGAGAGAUUACUUUCUGAUUAUCAAAACCACUACUGGAUUUAUAUUGAGAGAUUACUUUCUGAUUAUCAAAACCACUACUGGAUUUAUGUAGACAUAAAAUCUCACAAUAUUAUUACCAUGACCUUAUGCAUAAUAGGAACAACACUAUAAUCAUCUGCCUACCAGAAAUUAACUCUUCUACAGCAGCAAGUUUAACAACCAACCAACCUUUGAACAAAGAACACACGGACAGAAAGAAACAGGAUACAUAAGGGGCAAAACAAUUUUCUUACUUCUACAUCAAAGCAAAAGAACAACCAUUAUAUAGGUAUGCCAUUAUCAUCUGGGGAACAAAUCCAAUUGGCAGCUUUUACGUACCUACAAUUAUAAGCAAAGUUUGGAAUUCGCAAAAAAUACUGGGCAAAUACUAAGGCUGCCAUUUGAAAAAGCUAAACAACAACAAACUUUGACAAAUUAGCUACAACUAAAUUCAGAUGACAUUCGUUAUAUGAAGACAAUCUGAGAAAUCAAAGGCUCUAAAAUCAAUACCAUAUUUCAAGUGCCUUUUAUUGUUUGUGAACCCAGCAGUAGAACCAGGAUAAAAAUUUGAUUUAGAACCUUGUUAUCUUUGUCCUUGUAAAUAUGAUAUUUUGGCAUCGGCAAUAUAUCACCAAAAAAAAAAAACAAAUAUAUCUGAACUCAAAGAAAAUAUGGAACGAAAAUAAAAAAGCAAAUUAUGAAAAAUUAAUCUUCUGAAAAAGCAAAAAACACAAAUUUUUUGUUAAGCAAUCGCAUGGAUUAUAAAUGCCAAAGAUUAGAUGAUGGUAGGCGUCAGAUUACCUCUUUCGCCAAAGAUACGAAACCCCUCAUUGCCGAUGUGGCAGGGCGGAUCCUCUGCCCCAAAAUCUAAACCAACACAAAGAUUAGGCAGUAAAUCACAUAAUAAUAAAUUAAUCAAGUGUUUUAUAUAAUGAAAGUUCAUAAAUCGCAGAAGUAGAGGGUGUGCCAUAGCUGAUGAGCUUCUAGCUCCCACUUUUUGCCUUAAAAUUCCCAACAUCUUAAAUUUCAGUGAGCACUUGAGAGAGAUGAGAAGGAAUAACAAAUGAUUUAUUGGAAAUAUGGAAAAAAAAAUCAGAUCAAAAUUCGGACAGAAAUAAACAAUACGAAUUAGGGAUUUGGGAGGGGGGACGAACCUGUUUGGCGGAUUGGAGCGGGGAUCGGAUCGACGAUGCGAUGUGUAAAAAAUGCGUUGUGGGAGCGGAGCAGCAGCAGCCAACACUUUCAUGCAGAACUUGGAAAACCCAGAUCAAACCAACCUUUAAGUUUCACAGUUUUUACCCUGGAAUCCAGACAAAACCCAGAUCAGAUUCUAAAUGGGUUUAUCAAAAAUAAUAAUUUAAUCAGAAAUGCUUAUUCUUGUAGUGGGUGCACAUCUAGUAAUGCUUAUUCUUGUAAAUUGUCAUUGCAAUAAUACAAUAAUACUCAAAAUGAUGUAGUGGGUGUACGGAUUAAAGAGGGUUUUAGGUGAAUGUGAUCAGCCUACCCAUGUGUCUAAUGGAUUAUACUAAUAAAUGGUGUGUGAUGUGAUAUGUUUUAGGUCAACAUAAUAAUUAAAUUUUAAACAAUGAGAUGUAAAGAAGAUACAGAUGCUCUUAUCUUCUUUGUGAGUUUUUCCAGACAAUGAGAUAGUGGGUGUAUAUUACACUCUGUAUUUGUACUCUGCCAUGAAUGAUUAAAGUUUUACUCUAACAUUUAAAUAAUGAAUGUAGUGGUCAUGAAUUAUUAAAGAUAGAGUAAUAAAAUAUUAAAUAAACAGUGAUAAUUUGGAGGAGUUCUUACCUUUUCCGAUGGAUUUUCCCCAAACAGUGGGGAUGGCAGCGGCGAUACGGGGCCUGCUCUCGGUGAGCUUCUCAGCACCGGCACCACUCGGGUUGAGUGAGAAUCUGAUAGUCCAAGUCUACAGGUUCCGUUGGUGGCGGCGAUUCCUCGCGAGCUUCAUUUCCUGAAACCAAAAACCGAAUCAAAUUAGACAACCACACGCAAGAUCGUAACAUAGAGACAUAACCCCCAAAAUCACAGGAAAAAAAAUUCAAACAUCCACCUGCAAAUCGAAAACCACAAAAAUGAAAUUAAAUUAGGCACACUUAAAAAGCCUUAAAAUCACCAGAAGAAAUUAAAUUACGCGUGUUAGUCAUCUGGGAAAGGAAGAAAGGUGGAAAAGCAGAGCCUUUUCAUUUGCUUCCACAGAUUUCUCGAGCUCUCUCUCAAGCCCGGAACCCUAGCCUCCGCAAGCGAAUUAGGUUUGUAUCUCGCUCUUUCUCUCUCACGUAUUUUUUUUCAAUUCGGGACUGAAUUUUGAUCAUCGUUGGAGCUCCUGCUUCCACUUCUUUUUCGUUUUUCUUUUCCUUUCGUUUCUCUCUCUCGCUCUCCGUCACGAUUCUCACCUUCUUCAAAUUUUCAAUUUAAUUCGAAGAAAAUGUUACCCAAAAAAGCUAGGGUUUCCUGGUGAGUCUUAUCUCGACAGUAUACUUUGUUUGAAUGUUUGAUUUGAGUUGUUUGAAUGUUUUAUUUUACUUGAACUAGAGUCUCUGUGUUUCCCUUUGCUGAUCGUUGUUUCUUUCGAGCAAAGGCUGGGUGGAUUUUGGGAAAACAAUCUGUUGUGUUCGCCUUUUUUUUUUGUCUGGGAUUUUCAAUUUCUAUCCGAAUUUUUGGUUGAUUUCCAGCUCAAUUUGGGGGUACCUGCCUACUACUUAAUUAAUUUUUUAUUAAUUUCACUUUAAGCACUAAUUAUUACAAUUCUUCCAUUUUUGCUGGUGAAGGUACAAAGAAUAGUGUGGACUAUGAAGGAAGCGUGCUUUGUGUUGGAAGUAUGUUGGUGUCUUGGGCUCCCAUCGAAAUCUCUGAUAUCAUUCCUGAUAGGUAUUUGCUUUGCACUUUUUUCUCCCUUCAUUUUUUUCAAAUGUAUACACGAAAACUUUGGGAUGUCAAUAAUAACGUGUCUAUAUAAUUGUACCAACACAAUGUACCACUAUUUUAUUUCGAUGCAUUUGCUACAAAUUUACGAUUUAGAUAGUGUAAUGAUUGAGAUAAGGGUAUGAUGUGGCUGAUAUGAACUCAAUCCACUUCUUGGCUUCAUAACGUGGAUGUUGAAUGGAUGCACUUUUUAAAUUUUAUAUGCAAACAAAAUCAAAUCUUCUAUUUGCUUUUGUUUUUUUACUUGCUUCUGUUUUCAAAUUUAUUUUAAUAUAAUUUUUGUUUUGGGAUUAAUUACAUGCUUAGAGUUUAGUAGAUUUGGAUUAAAUUUUGGUUGAACAGAUUGUGCAAUUGCGAAUCUUGAUCUAAUGGAUAGGAUUGUAUAAAGAAUUCGUGGAUUUAUCUCAUCUAAAAUUAUUUAUAUUUUUAAGAUUUUCAAUUGUUUUAUGAUGCCAAGUUUGGUAGAAAGAAAACGACUGAGCCGCAGCAGAACGGGUAGUCCACUGAUGGAGCUGUGAGUAAUGGGAGUAGUAAUUCCUGCGUGACAGCAAAUGGGAAUAUGUGAAGAGAAAACUGACUUGGUCAUCUAUGAGCAAUUUGAAAACCAGGUUGUGGAUUUGAUCUUAUCAUAUGAUGCAUUGCAUUUGACUCAUUGCAUAGACUAUGUAGAGUUGGAUUCAUUAGCAUUUGAUUUUCUCGGAUUUUUUACAUGUAUUUGCGGUGACACAGUGGACGAAUUCUAGGAUGGAGGUGGAAGGAUUUGGAAGAAUCAGAUGUGCCUAUUCGUUUGCAAGGUGAUUGUUUUAAAGCUUAAAAUACCGUGCGAAUUUAUUUCACUAACAUUACAUUGGUUUUUUAAUUUGAUAUGUUGUUUUGGUGUGUGAAAAUCGAAGAACUUUUAAAUGUUUGCGAAUUUGGUUGACACUUUAGUGCAAUUCAUUUUGGUCAAGGCUUUGGUUUGUGGCCAAUUGGAAUUCAUUUUGCUAAAAUAAGAUACAUCUCUUUUUGCAGCCUGCAAUUGCCUUUCAAUUAGAGAACUGUACGAGGUUAAAUAUUUUUUUUUGUUCUUUGACCAAAAGCUUUAAGAGCUUUGUAUUAACAGAGUCCUUAGGGAUUCCUUUGAUUAUUUUGCUUGAGAUGAGCCGUGUUUUGGAAAUUCUAUGAAUAUAAUUUACAUGGAUUCUUGAAUUUAUGAGUGUUCAGUUAGGUUCUACUGAAUUAACUAUUUUCGAGAAUUUUUCUUUGUCUUUAUUUUUUUGAGAUGUGAUGGUGUUUUUCUUUGGCCUGAAUACCUUUGAUGGUUCCUAGAGUAUAUCUCCAACAUUCCUUAGAAGUGGUUGCUACUGUGUCAUAAUAUAAAUUUUACAGAAGGAAAGGUUUUUUAUUUUCUAUUCUUGCUAUAUUGUCUUCGGUUGUGCAAACUAUUCAUUGUAGGGGAUCCCUUCAUAUAUAUUAGUUAAUUCUUGCUAAGAUUUGUGCAAACUGUUUUUGUUAUGUCAAAGUUGAAACCUUUUUUUAGGGUUGUAAAUAGAUUUCACAUGUAUGUAAAUACUAUAUGUACACAUUAUAACUUUCUACAUAUUUUAUACGAUUUUAAAAUCCACAGCAUCGCGUAUGCAUUUUUGCUAGUUAAACCUAAAAUCAUGUAAUUAUGUAUGUAGUGGAGAAUAAUGCAGAAAGAUUGUUUUUUAUAGUGCAGCCAAUGACAAUUCAUUUCUCAUGAAACAAAGAAAAGAGAAACAGAGGUAUAAAAGUAUAUUAUUUUUUAUAGUUGCAAAUAUUAUGAAUUCUGAAAAGAAAAAACUACAUAUAACACUUCAAUCACAGACCUAAGCAUCUGAAACGCGGCGGCCAAGAUACCAUUCAAGACAGGCUCAACAUAAUGGAUGAACUAACCUAUCUGUGUCCCUGAGCUCACUGCAUGUCAUAUACACCCGACCAACUGGGCAUAGGAGCAUAAUGAGGAAAACUUCUGUAUCCUCACUUAGAAGAAAACAAUGCAUGCAUAAUAGCCACAUAAACCUCGCGUAUAUAAAUUGUUGUGACAAUAAUUUGCAAUAGAAAACGUAGUUAUAAAUAAGAUAUACGAAAUACCAACAUUACAAUGGUUUUUUUUUUUCUUCAUUCGAUUGUACUGAAGCAUGCAUCUUAGUGGAGAACAAUUAAGUACUACGUGAGGUCUCUAUAAUGAAAUGGGAGAUUGAUUACACUUGAGGAAACUGAAAAUUCAAAUAUGCACACUCCAUAGUGUAUCUUCACAACCAACAGAAACAUUUAUGUAUACGACAUAUGUUUGACAUUGUUUUUCCCCACUCAAAUCGUCUUGAGAAAUUUUGACUACAUUGAGAAUAAGCAAAAGAGUACUUUUUACUACCUAAUUUACUAAGAUCCACCAAAUCUAAGAACUACAAAACUUUGAUUAAAAAAUCAAAUAGAAUAGCAUGAGAAAGUUAUUAAGACACCAUAUCUAAAUUUUUUGCAUAUAAAAACACCUGUAUUUCACCUGAUUUUCGAAUGAAAUACAGAUGCUUGUAUUUCACCUGUACAUAGCUGCCUGACAUUUGUUGUCUUCUUCGGGUUCAAGAUCCUUCUAUUGUCUGAGAUGUGAAAGAAUCAGAAAUCGUAAAGAGUUUGAUAAAUAAACAUGUAAUGUGAUUAUGUGACCACCAUGCACUCAUGUCUCAGACAGAUAAACAAAGAUACCAAAAAACAUAGGGGCAAUGUUAAGAUAAACAGUGAGGCAAUGUCACAUUGUUUUGCAUGAUCUUGAAAAUUGGGGAUAAGGUCAUCUCUAACCGAAGGGUUCAGAGGGCUGAAAAUAGCCCUAAAACCGUCUCCAACCGAGGGCUAGGCCAGAGGGCUCUGGAAUCUGGGAGGGCCCCACGGAAUUUCAAAGGGCCAAAGGGCCAAAGGGCUAGCUGCUUUCGGCCAGCCAGCUAGCCCCAGGCUAGCUAUUUUUUUUUAUGGUUUUCCCAUUGCUGUCGAUUAUAAUCGACAACAUUAAAGAAAGAUUUUUUUAAUACUGUCGGUUAUAACCGACAAUAAUAGUUAUUCAAAGGCAAAUUUUUUUUUAAUUACUAUUAGUGUCGGUUAUAACCGACACUAAUAAUUUGAAAAUUUUUCAAUAUAACGGCUAGUAGACGUUGUAUUAACUUUUUUUUUGUUUUUUUAUAUGAAUUUAAACUUCUUCUUUUUUCCCUUUUUUGUCCUUUUCAUAUGAAUCAAAUUUGAUUUCAUAUUUUUUUUCAAUUCUAUUUUACAAAAUUUGUUUCAUAUUUUCGGUAUGCCUCUUGGUGUAAGGUAAACAACUUUUCUGCGUCAUUCUUAGGGUUUGGAAUUGUUUGGACAAGUGUCGCCCACUUUGGGUAGAUGCCAUCUGCCAAGUAAUACCCUAUAUUGUAUUCACGGUCGUUGAUGUAGUAGUCAAGUUGAGGUGCUUUACCUUUCGUCAAGUUAUUGAAGAGGGGUGAACGCCCAAGAACUGUAAUGUCAUUUUGGGAUCCAGGGACUCCAAAGAAAGCAUGCCAGAUCCAUGUGUCAUAUGAGGCAACUGCCUCUAACACAACAGUUGGCUUUCUCGACCUUCCGCUAAAGCCUUUUUGCCAUCCAGUGGAACAGUUCUUCCAAUCCCAAUGCAUGCAGUCUAAUGACCCUAUCAUGCCCAGAAACCCACGGUCUUCAGCUUUACGAAGGAGCCGAUUCAGAUCUUCUUGAUUUGGCUCUUGGAGGUACUCGUCUUUGUAAACUUGAACAAUUGUGUUGCAAAAUUCGUCAAGAGUAUUAAGGCAUGUAGACUCAGACAUACCAUGGGUUUCAUCCAUCGAAUCAGCUGAGGAACCAUAGGCCAUUAUUCGGAGUGCAACAGUAACCUUCUGAUGAGGUGAGAAACCAGGGCGGCCUGCUCUGUCCCGCUUCUGUCGAAAGUAUGGAUUGACCUGCUGGACAUCACGAAGUAAACGAUCGAAGACAUGACGCCUCAUCCGGAAGCGACGUCUGAAAUCCUCUUCUAUGUACACCGAGUUGGGGUUGAAGUAGUUGUUCAUCAGAUUGGCAUGCGCCAUUGCUCUGUUUCGUGGUUUGUAAGAGCGACCAGCAACAGAGCCACCCCAUUGAGGUUGUUCCUCAGUUGGCUGACACACCAUAGCCGCAGCCAUGUUUUGUUUGUUGCGCCUUACUUGAACUUCUUCAUCAGACCCCUCAUCUUUUCGUCUCAUUUGCACCCAUUUUGCUUCCAAUUUGGAAUUGGAUGAGGACCCCCUAUUGGAAUUGGAUGAGGAUCCAAAGUUGGAAUUCAUUGCAAACUUGAAUUGAAAGAGAUUGAAUUGAAGUAGAUUGAAUUCAAAGUUGUGUGAAUUAUAGCCUAAUAUCCACCCUAUUUAUAGCAAAAAAAAUUCAAAUCCAACGGCUAGCUGACGUCAUGUUGACGUCACUUAGCCGUUGGAUUUGAAUUUAAAUUAUAGUUUUUAAUUAAUAAAUUAUGUUUGGCCCUAUGGUACUUUGGCCCUCGGUUGGAGACGGUUUUUUGUGACAGGGCUAAAACGAGCCCUCUGACCCUUUGGCCCUCGGUUGGAGACGGAGGCAAAUAUGGCACUGUAAUGUUCAUUAAAAUAUUAAUAUCUUGGGGAAUCUUGGAGGGCCAAAGGGCUAAAACGAGCCCUCUGACCAGCCCUCGGUUAGAGAUGGCGUAAGGUAUUCAAAGUGCUAACAAAGACGUGCAAAUGGUAUUGAAAUGCUAAAAAGGGCAUUUUGAAUAAUUAUAUUAUGCGGCAGCAAAAAGACAAUUGACUUUCAAACUACAAAAAUAAAUGAUAAAAAACACAUACUUGCACCCAAUGCAUUGUUUUUUUUUUUCUGUGCAGUAUAAGAAUAAAAAAAAGAUAACAUUCCCCUGAAACCAAAUUCAUCCCCCAAUUUCUUGCAACAAAUUUCAGUAAUUACGAACGCAACUAAAUCUUAAAUAAACAGAGCUGUUCAAUUAUAUUAAACUACAUAUAGGGAGGGGGAAAGAGAUAAAAGAGAGAAAAGAGAGACCUGGAACUACCUGGAUCCUCAAUACUGACCAGAGCAUAAUUCCGAUUGGGUUUCAAAAGUGAAGUGUACAUCAAAUGCUAUAUCAGUGUUGUCGGAUGCUGAAAAGUAACUGCAAUCCAAGGAACAAUUUCAUUUAUAAGUAUAAUAAAAAUAGAAAGAAUCAGGGAAAAUCUGUGAUGGUGGAAAACAUAAAAGCCAAACCAAAACUCUAAACCUAUAUUAGAGGUUUAUUAAAUCCAAUGUUGAAAACCAUUUAAUAGUAUUGUUUGAAACCUAAAAAAGGAUUGAAUAGUCUUGGUAGAGUGGAGGUAAAAAAAGAAGCAAGCCACUAUAAAAUUACAAGCAUCGUCCAGCUGAGAACAACAACAACAACAACAAAGUAUUUUCCCACUAAGUGGGGUCGGCUAUAUGAAUCCUAGAACGCCAUUGCGCUCGGUUUUGUGUCAUGUCCUCCGUUAGAUCCAAAUACUCUAAGUCUUUUCUUAGAGUCUCUUCCAAAGUUUUCCUAGGUCUUCCUCUACCCCUUCGGCCCUGAACCUCUGUCCAUUAGUCACAUCUUCGAACCGGAGCGUUAGUAGGCCUUCUUUGCACAUGUCCAAAUCACCGGAACCGAUUUUCUCUCAUCUUUCCUUCAAUUUCGGCUACUCCUACUUUACCUCGGAUAUCCUUAUUCCCAAUCUUAUCGUUUCUCGUGUGCCCACACAUCCCACGAAGCAUCCUCAGCUCCGCCACACCCAUUUUGUUUACGUGUUGAUGCUUCACCGCCCAACAUUCUGUGCCAUACAACAUCGCUGGCCUUAUUGCCGUCCUAUAAAAUUUUCCCUUGAGCUUUAGUGACCUAUGACGGUCACAUAACACGCCGGAUGCACUCUUACACUUCAUCCAUCCAGCUUGUAUUCUAUGGUUGAGAUCUUCAUUUAAUUCUCCGUUCUCUUGCACGAUAGAUCUUAGGUAGCGAAAACGGUCGCUUUUUGUGAUCUUCGCUAGAUUGCUCCGGUCAUUAGUAUGGAUAAGUAUAUAAAUGGAUAGAGAUAGGAAAGCAAACACAAGAUGUACGUGGUUCACCCAGAUUGGCUACGUCCACUGAAUAGAGGAGUUCUCAUUAAUUGUGAAGGGUUUACACAAGUACAUAGGUUCAAGCUCUCCUUUAGUGAGUACAAGUGAAUAAUUUAGAACAAAUGACAUUAGGAAAUAUUGUGGGAGAAUGAUCUCGUAAUCACGAAACUUCUAAGUAUCGGAGUGUGGUAUCAUCUUGACGUGCCUUAUCUGUCUCAUAGGUAGAUGGGGCAUCUUCUCUGGAAGUACUCUUCCUCCAUCCAUGGGUGGUAUCUUUAACUGGUGGAGAUGCACAACGUAAUGUAUCAAUUUCACUUGAAGCUUACUUGUAGUUUCAGGCUUGGUCAAGCGCGAUACAAACCAUGUAGUAGGAGUCACCCAAGUCGCUGAGCUAGGGGAUAUGUUGAAAGAGGUGACAGACAAGGUAAGCAAUUAUAGCUCCGGCUGAUUGUUCACAGUCUCCCUAUCUUGCAGGCAGCAUGAAGGAUAAAGAGAAGAAAAUGAGAAGAGAUGAUAUGGGAUACUUUUGCUUUUGAAGAAGUAACUUUCCACAUGCUUAUUCUUGAACUGAGCUGGAGGGUUUUCUGGUUUCCUCCAGAGUAUAAGGCCGACUGAAGAAUUUGAGGGUCAAAACAAGUCCAUCAAAUCUAGAGUACGUUUGACCUUGCUGAUAUGGGAUACUUUUGCUUUGACAGAGUAAUGGAUGUAUCGGCACGUGUGCUGUUACGCUUGUCUCCACAUGUUUCCUUGUAUCCUUCUCCCUUGCCCUAUCUGUUCCUCAGGCAGAUGCAAUUUCUUCCCUGGAAGCAUAAGAUGUUGAAGAUGAGUACUCGAGAGCAAUGUCAGGUAAGUAAUCAGGUAAAGGGUUCCAGGCAGUCAGUUCCUGGCUGGAAGCUUGAUUCCAAGUACUGACUGAUUGCUCUCUUUCUCCUUGUCUUGCAGGUAAGAACAAGGCCAAAGGAAAAGACAGGAAAAAAGCAUGAUAUGGGAUACUCUUGCUUUUAACCCUGAUGAUAUGAGAUAUUCUUGCUCUAGUAUAGCUUGUUUGCAGAGGUAUUAUCGGGGGGAAAGAAAGCUGAAUAUUUCGAAAGGCUUCGUUGGGAGUGCCCUCUCAGAUAUAAGGAAGGGUUGAGCAUUUUUGUAGGUCUGCCUGUCCAUUGGGGAUGGAGGUCGAUAUAUAUAGGAGUCUCCUUAACAACAAGUAGUAAUGCUAUUCAUGUACCCUACUUGGUCAUAGCACGGUAGUGGGAGCUGCCAGCUUCACAUGUUUUAACGUUGUCAGAGCACUUUGAAAAAGUGGUAUGUGGUAUCUGGAAAGCUGAUGUUGCGUGUGAAGAUUACAGACAGCUUUAUCUAAGGAGAUCCGGCUCUUGAAGUUGGGAAAGUGUUGCCUCUUCUGUUUUCGAACAAGCAAUCCUAUCGGGGAUCUGGCUCUCGAGAUUCAGAGAACGAUGCCUCUUUGAUUUUUGAGAAAGCAAUCAUGCUGGGGGUCUGGCUCUCGAGAUUCGGAGAGCGGUGUCUCUUUGAUUUUUGAGAAAGUAGUCAUGUUGGGAGUCUGGCUCUCGAGAUUCGAAGGGCGGUGCCUCUUCAAUUUUUGAGCAAGCAAUCUUGUUGGGAGUGUUUUCUCGAAUGUGAGUAAAGGUUGGGCAUGUUUGCUAGUCUACCUUGCCACGAAGCAUAGAGGUUGACACACAGGAACUUUCCAAUUAUCCAGCAAUGGUACUGUUCCUUUACCCUCUCUUCGAUUUUUGAGAAAGUAGUCAUGUUGGGAGUCUGGCUCUCGAGAUUCGGAUUACGGUGCCUCUUCGAUUUUGGAGCAAGCAAUCUUGUUUGGAGUGUUUUCUCGAAUGUGAGUAAAGGUUGAGCAUGUUUGAUAGUCUACCUUGCCACGAAGCACAGAAGUUGACACACAUGGACUUUCCAAUUAUCCAGCAGUGGUAUUGUUCCUUUACCCUUGUGGGUAAUAAUAUGGUAGCUAGACCUUCAAAAUUUAUGUGUCUAAACUUUGUUAGUGUUGUUUCUUUGCUAUUCUUUUACCCUUCUUGGUCAGAACGAUGUAGUGGGAGAUGCAAGCUUGACGUGUUCAACUUUGGCAGAGAAUUUUGGCAAAGUUAUCUGUGGUACCCAUGAGCUACUGUUGCGUGUGGGAAGUGGGUGAUUGAACAGUAAGACUCAUGUGCUUUCUACUUCACCAGAAGUCUUCGACCGAAUGCCCAUAAUUUCCGCAAAGCUGAGUGUGCAUGUGACAGGUGCUGACAAGGCUGGAAAAGUAGGUGCCUCUUCGAUUUCUGAGAUCGGCCCUCGUGAUCUCUGAGCAGCCCAGCUUUUGAGAAAGCAAGCGCCUCUUCGAUUUCUGAGAUCGGCCUUCGUGGUCUUUGCGCAGCCCAGCUUUUGAGAAAGCAAACGCCUCUUGGAUUUCUGAGAUCGACCCUCGUGGUAUCUGAGCAGCCUUACUUUUGAGAAAGAAAACGCCUCUUGGAUUUCUGAGCAGGCGCCUCUUCGAUUUUUGAAGCUCCGUCGAGUGCAGAUUUUUAUAGAGGCUGGCAUUAAAUUCCAAAGCACACUUGAAUCUCCACCAGUAGAAGCUCCAUUCUUGCAUUUCUAAGAUCUUGAUUUGUCCAACCUCUUCUCUCUUCAACACCUUUGAAAAUGUCUGGCCCCUCCGACUGUCGUUUUGACUUGAACCUUGUUGAAGAGGCAGCCCCGCCUUCUCCAGACAACAUAUGGCGCCCAUCCUUCGUCUCCCCUACUGGUCCUCUUACCGUUGGGGAUUCCGUGAUGAAGAAUGAUAUGACAGCUGCGGUGGUGGCCAGGAACCUUCUCACUCCCAAAGAUAACAGACUACUUUCCAAACGGUCUGAUGAGUUAGCUAUUAAGGAUUCUCUGGCUCUCGGUGUUCAGUGUGCAGGUUCUGUGUCUAAUAUGGCCCAACGCCUAUUUGCUUGAACCCGCCAAGUUGAAUCAUUGGCGGCUGAAGUGAUGAGUCUCAAACAGGAGAUUAAAGGGCUCAAGCAUGAGAAUAAACAGUUGCACCGGCUCGCACAUGACUAUGCUACAAACAUGAAGAGGAAGUUUGACCAGAUGAAGAAAUCUGAUGGUCAGGUUUUACUUGAUCAUCAGAGAUUUGUGGGUUUGUUCCAAAGGCAUUUAUUGCCUUCGUCUUCUGGGGCUGUACCGCGUAAUGAAGAUCCAAAUGAUCAACCUCUGAUGCCUCCUCCUUCUAGGGUUCUGUCCAGUACUGAGGCUCCGAAUGAUCCCCCUCCAGUGCAUUCUCUUUCUGGGGCUCUACCGACUGCUGAGACUUCUCUUAAGCAACCUUUGUGAAGGCUCCCUCUUGUUUGUUUAUUUUGACUUAUGUAUAUGUACAUAUUUGUAGCUUAUCGGGGAUAUCAAUAAAUAAGUUUUCCUUCAUUUCGACGUAUUGUGUUAAAUACACCAAAGCCUUCUUCGUUAAGUUCUUUGAAUUUUCUUUUGUUGAAGCUUUGUGAGUGGAGCAUGUAGGUUGAGGUAAUGUUCCCUUAAUUUCCUGAGUGAGGAAAACUUCUCGGUUGGAGACUUGGAAAAUCCAAGUCACUGAGUGGGAUCGGCUAUAUGAAUCUUAGAACGUCAUUGUGCUCGGUCAUGUGUCACGUCCUUCGUUAGAUCCAAGUACUCUAAGUCUUUUCUUAGAGUCUCUUCCAAAGUUUUCCUAGGUCUUCCUCUACCCCUUCGGCCCUGAACCUCUGUCCCAUAGUCGCAUCUUCUAAUCGGAGCGUCAGUAGGCCUUCUUUGCACAUGUCCAAACCACCGUAACCAAUUUUCUCUCAUCUUUCCUUCAAUUUCGGCUACUCCUACUUUACCCCGAAUAUCCUCAUUCCUAAUCUUAUCCUUUCUCGUGUGUCCACGCAUCCAAUGAAGCAUCCUCAUCUCCGCUACACCCAUUUUGUGUACGUGUUGAUGCUUUACCGCCCAACAUUCUGUGCCAUACAGCAUCGUUGGCCUUAUUGCCGUCCUAUAAAAUUUUCCCUUGAGCUUCAGUGGCAUACGGCGGUCACAUAACACGCCGGAUGCACUCUUCCACUUCAUCCAUCCAGCUUGUAUUCUAUGGUUAAGAUCUCCAUCUAAUUCUCCGUUCUUUUGCAAGAUAGAUCCUAGGUAACGAAAACGGUCGCUCUUUAGUAUUUCUUGAUCUCCGAUCCUCACCCCUAACUCGUUUUGGCCUCCAUUUGCACUGAACUUGCACUCCAUAUAUUCUGUCUUUGAUCGGCUUAGGCGAAGACCUUUAGAUUCCAACACUUCUCUCCAAAGGUUAAGCUUUGCAUUUACCCCUUCCUGAGUUUCAUCUAUCAACACUAUAUCGUCUGCGAAAAGCAUACACCAAGGAAUAUCAUCUUGAAUAUGUCCUGUUAACUCAUCCAUUACCAACGCAAAAAGGUAAGGACUUAAGGAUGAGUCUUGGUGUAAUCCUACAGUUAUGGGAAAGCUUUCAGUUUGUCCUUCAUGAGUUCUUACGGCAGUCUUUGCUCCUUCUUACAUAUCCUUUAUAGCUUGGAUAUAUGCUACUCGUACUCCUUUCUUCUCUAAAAUCCUCCAAAGAAUGUCUCUUGGGACCCUAUCAUACGCUUUCUCCAAAUCUAUAAAAACCAUGUGUAAAUCCUUUUUCCCAUCUCUAUCUUUCCAUCAAUCUUUGUAAGAGAUAGAUUGCCUCCAUGGUUGAGCGCCCUGGCAUGAACCCGAAUUGGUUGUCCGAAACCCGUGUCUCUUGCCUCAAUCUAUGCUCAAUGACAUAAUGGGUACACAUAUCUUUCAUUAAGUAGAUAUAGAGGGUAGGACAAUGAUACACAGAGACCUGAAAGAUGCGGGAGAACAUUUAUUGUCAAAGAAAUUAUGUGAUAAUCAACCAUAAGAUGCAUUUAUCUGCAUGUAGGUGUUUCAUUUAAGAAAGUAAUCAUGCUCCUGCAUGUUAUCGAAUGUUAAUGAAACUGAAAUUUUACCUCGGCAGCCAGCCACCAUUUUUGGCAAAGCAACAACAAUUUUGGGAAAGGGUUCAGAAUCCUGCUGCUGAUCAUAAAUUAUACUCCUCUUCUGCACCAUUUCAAUUCUGCACCAUUUCUUACAUGGCCGGUCCCAAGCCCGGAUAAAGGAGGAGGGGGAGGGCGUCAGGUAGUCGACAGCCGGCACUCCAUGAUCACGUCGAAUCCUUAUGAAAAUGAAUCCAGAACAAAAUCGCGCUAAAGCUAGGGCGUCACCCGUAAGUGGCGCGCUGUGUGGCCUGAGUACAGUGAUAAGUGAGCAAGGGUCGCUGUAUCUCCAUCGGCACCCGGAUGCAGUGUUAAAUGAGCAAGGGGGCCAUAGAAACUUCUUUUCGAACGACUCCACUCAAAGUUGUUUGGGAGCAUAUGCUCCUAUCAACUUUACCCGGGACACACAAAAGAAGUACUUUGAUCCUAUUAGACGGGGGAGGGUGAAGAAGCUAGGACAGAAGGGUAGAGUUCAAGAGAGCAAAAUGCGUUUAGGAACGUGGAAUAUAGGAACCUUAACGAAAAAAUCUAUGGAAGUAGUGGAAGUUAUGGUGAGGAGAAGGAUAAAUAUUAUGUGCCUACAAGAAACUAAGUGGGUUGGUAGUAAGGCAAAGGAUCUAGAAAACUCAGGGUUUAAACUUUGGUAUUCGGGCACAAAUAGAACGAGAAACGGUGUUGGCAUCAUCGUGGACAAGACCUUGGUACAAGAUGUUAUAGAUGUCAAGAGGGUAGGAGAUAGAAUCAUGGCAAUCAAGAUUGUAAUAGGACAAGAACUUAUCAAUGUGAUUAGUGCGUACGCACCUCAAGUAGGGUUGGAUACGAGUUCGAAGAAGAAAUUUUGGGAAGAUCUUGGAGACUUGGUGCAAGGAAUUGCUCAGACGGAGAAGUUAUUUAUAGGAGGAGAUUUAAAUGGACACGUGGGCAGGGAGACAGGCAACUAUGGAGGUUUUCAUGGUGGCCAUGGUUUUGGGGAGAGAAACGAGGAUGGGGAAGCUAUCUUGGAUUUUGCAAUGGCAUAUGAUCUCUUCUUAGCCAACACCUUCUUUAAGAAGAGAGAAGAACAUGUGAUCACCUACAAGAGUGGGUCGUCAAAAACACAAAUAGAUUUUCUUCUAAUGAGGAAAGGGGAUCGUAUAACUUGUAAGGAUUGCAAAGUUAUACCAGGAGAGAGCGUGGCUAAUCAACAUCGCUUGUUGGUGAUGGAUGUACAUAUCAAAAGAGUAAGACAAAAGAACAAGACUUGGAAGUGCCCAAGGACUAGAUGGUGGAAUCUAAAAGAAGAAAAAACAAGCUAUUUUCAAAGAGAAGGUAAUCACCCAAUGUGUGUGGGAUAGAGAGGGGGAAGCUAGCCAAAUGUGGGAUUCCAUGGCUAGUUGUAUCCGAAAAGUAGCAAAAGAGGUAUUAGGAGAGUCCAAGGGCUUUGCCCCACACCAAAAGGAAUCUAGGUGGUGGAAUGAGGAGGUACAAACAAAGGUGAAGGCUAAGAAGGAAUGUUGUAAAGCCUUAUACAAGGAGAGGACUGAUGAAAAUGGUGAAAGGUAUAGAAAAGCGAAGCAAGAGGCGAAGAAAGCUGUCAGAGAAGCUAAGUUAGCGGCUUACGACGAUAUGUAUAAACGACUAGAUACCAAAGAAGGAGAGUUGGAUAUCUAUAAACUAUCUAGAGCAAGGGAAAAGAAGACAAGGGACCUAAACCAAGUGAGGUGCAUCAAGGAUGAGGAUGGAAAUUUUCUUGCUACAGAGAACGCGGUUAAAGACAGAUGGAGAGGUUAUUUUCAUAAUCUUUUCAAUGAAGGACAUGAAAUGAGUGCUUCUUUAGGGGAGUUGAGUAACUCAGAAGAGUGUAGAAACUACUCUUUUUAUCGUCGAAUCCGGAAGGAAGAAGUGGUUGUAGCUUUGAAGAAGAUGAAGCAUAAAAAAGCAAUAGGCCCAGACGAUAUACCAAUCGAAGUGUGGAAACUUUUGGAAGAGACAGGUAUAACAUGGCUCACUGACCUUUUCAAUAGGAUUUUGAAAACGAAGAAGAUGCCAAAUGAGUGGCGAAUGAGCACUUUGGUGCCUAUCUACAAGAAUAAGGGCGACGUACAAAAUUGCAUGAACUAUAGGGGUAUUAAGCUAAUGAGUCAUACAAUGAAGCUCUGGGAGAGAGUCAUUGAGCAUAGAUUGAGGCAAGAGACACGGGUUUCGGACAACCAAUUCGGGUUCAUGCCAGGGCGCUCAACCAUGGAGGCAAUCUAUCUCUUACGAAGAUUGAUGGAAAGAUAUAGAGAUGGGAAAAAGGAUUUACACAUGGUCUUUAUAGAUUUGGAAAAAGCGUAUGAUAGGGUCCCAAGAGACAUUCUUUGGAGGAUUUUAGAGAAGAAAGGAGUACGAGUAGCAUAUAUCCAAGCUAUAAAGGAUAUGUAUGAAGGAGCAAAGACUGCCGUAAGAACUCAUGAAGCACAAACCGAAAGCUUUCCUAUAACUGUAGGAUUACAUCAAGGCUCAUCCUUAAGUCCUUACCUUUUUGCGUUGGUAAUGGAUGAGUUAACACGACAUAUUCAAGAUGAUAUUCCUUGGUGUAUGCUUUUCGCAGACGAUAUAGUUUUGAUAGAUGAAACUCAGGAAGGGGUAAAUGCAAAGCUUAACCUUUGGAGAGAAGUGUUGGAAUCUAAAGGUCUUCGCCUAAGCCGAUCAAAGACAGAAUAUAUGGAGUGCAAGUUCAGUGCAAAUGGAGGCCAAAACGAGUUAGGGGUGAGGAUCGGAGAUCAAGAAAUACCAAAGAGCGACCGUUUUUCGUUACCUAGGAUCUAUCUUGCAAAAGAACGGAGAAUUAGAUGGAGAUCUCAACCAUAGAAUACAAGCUGGAUGGAUGAAGUGGAAGAGUGCAUCCGGCGUGUUGUGUGACCGCCGUAUGCCACUGAAGCUCAAGGGAAAAUUUUAUAGGACGGCAAUAAGGCCGGCGAUGCUGUAUGGCACAGAAUGUUGGGCGGUGAAACAUCAACACGUACACAAAAUGGGUGUAGCGGAGAUGAGGAUGCUUCGUUGGAUGUGUGGGCACACGAGAAAGGAUAAGAUUAGGAAUGAGGAUAUCCGGGGUAAAGUAGGAGUAGCCGAAAUUGAAGGAAAGAUGAGAGAAAAUCGGUUACGGUGGUUUGGACAUGUGCAAAGAAGGCCUACUGACGUUCCGAUUAGAAGAUGCGACUAUGGGACAGAGGUUCAGGGCCGAAGGGGUAGAGGAAGACCUAGGAAAACUUUGGAAGAGACUCUAAGAAAAGACUUAGAGUACUUAGAUCUAACGAAGGACAUGACACAGGAUCGAGCACAAUGGCGUUCUAAGAUUCAUAUAGCCGAUCCCACUCAGUGACUUGGAUUUUCCAAGUCUCCAACCAAGAAGUUUUCCUCACUCGGGAAAUUAAGGGAACACUACCCCAACCUACAUGCUCCACUCAGAAAGCUUCAACAUACAAACUUUAACAAAAGAAAAUUCAAAGAACUUAGCGAAGAAGGCUUUGGUGUAUUUAACACAAUACGUUGAAAUGAAGGAAAGCUUAUUUAUUGAUAUCCCCGAUAAGCUACAAAUAUGUACAUAUACAUGAGUCAAAAUAAGCACACAAGAGGGAGCCUUCACAAAGGUUGCUUAGGAGAAGUCUCAGCAGUCGGUAGAGCCCCAGAAAGAGAAGGCACCGGAAGGGGAUCAUUUGGAGCCUCAGUACUGGACAGAACCCUAGAAGGAGGAGGCAUCAGAGGUUGAUCAUUUGGAGCUUCAUUACGCGGUACAGCCCCAGAAGACGAAGGCAAUAAAUGCCUUUGGAACAAACCCACAAAUCUCUAAUGAUCAAGUAAAACCUGACCAUCAGUUUCCUUCAUCUGGUCAAGCUUCCUCUUCAUGUUUGUAGCAUAGUCAUGUGCGAGCCGGUGCAACUGUUUAUUCUCAUGCUUGAGCCCUCUAAUCUCCUGUUUGAGACUCAUCACUUCAGCCGCCAAUGAUUCAACUUGGCGGGUUCGAGCAAAUAGGCGUUGGGCCAUAUUAGACACAGAACCUGCACACUGAACACUGAGAGCCAGCGAAUCCUUAACAGCUAACUCAUCAGACCGUUUGGAAAGUAGUCUGUUAUCUUUGGGAGUGAGAAGGUUCCUGGCCACCACCGCAGCGGUCAUAUCAUUCUUCAUCAUCACGGAAUCCCCAACGGUAAGAGGACCAGUAGGGGAGACGAAGGAUGGGCGCCAUAUGUUGUCUGGAGAAGGCGGGGCUGCCUCUUCAACAAGGUUCAAGUCAAAACGACGGUCGGAGGGGCCAGACAUUUUCAAAGGUGUUGAAGAGAGAAGAGGUCGGACAAAUCAAGAUCUUAGAAGUGCAAGAAUGAAGCUUCUACUGGUGGAGAUUCAAGUGUGCUUUGGAACUUAAUGCCAGCCCCUAUAAAAAUCUGCACUCGACGAAGCUUCAGAAAUCGAGGAGGCGCCUGCUCAGAAAUCGAAGAGGCGUUUGCUUUCUCAAAAGCUGGGCUGCUUAGAGAUCACGAGGGUUGAUCUCAGAAAUCGAAUAGGCGUUUGCUUUCUCAAAAGUUGGGCUGCUCAAAGACCACGAAGGCCGAUCUCAAAAAUCGAAGAGGCACCUACUUUUCCAGCCUUUUCCAGCCUUGUCAGCACCUGUCACACGCACACUCAGUUUUGCGGAAAUUAUGGGCAUUCUGUCAAAGACUUCUGGGGAAGUAGAAAACACAUGAAUCUUACUGUUCAAUCACCCACUUCUCACACGCAACAAUAGCUCAUGGGUACCACAGAUAACUUUGCCAAAGUUCUCUGCCAAAGUUGAGCACGUGAAGCUUGCAGCUCCCACUACAUCGCUCUGACCAAGAAGGGUAAAAGAAUAGCAAAGAAACAGCACUAACAAAGUUUAGACCCAUAAAUUUUGAAGGUCUAGCUACCAUAUUAUUACCCACAAGGGUAAAGGAACAGUACCACUGCUGGAUAAUUGGAAAGUCCCUGUGUGUCAACCUCUGUGCUUCGUGGCAAGGUAGACUAGCAAACAUGCCCAACCUUUACUCACAUUCGAGAAAACACUCCCAAUAAGAUUGCUUGCUCCAAAAUCGAAGAGGCACCGUCCUCCGAAUCUCGAGAGCCAGACUCCCAACAUGACUACUUUCUUAAAAAUCGAAGAGAGGGUAAAGGAACAGUACCAUUGCUGGAUAAUUGGAAAGUCCCUGUGUGUCAACCUCUGUGCUUCGUGGCAAGGUAGACUAGCAAACAUGCCCAACCUUUACUCACAUUCGAGAAAACACUCCCAACAAGAUUGCUUGCUCCAAAAUCGAAGAGGCACCGCCCUCCGAAUCUCGAGAGCCAGACUCCCAACAUGAUUACUUUCUCAAAAAUCGAAGAGACACUGCUCCCCGAAUCUCGAGAGCCAGACCCCCAGCAUGAUUGCUUUCUCAAAAAUCGAUGAGGCAUCGUUCUCCGAAUCAAUCGAAGAGGCGCUCGCUUUCUCAAAAGCUGGGCUGCUCAGAGACCACGAGGGCCGAUCUCAGAAAUCGAAGAGGCACCUACUUUUCUAGCCUUGUCAGCACCUGUCACACGCACACUCAGCUUUGCAGAAAUUAUGGGCAUUUUGUCGAAGACUUCUGGUGAAGUAGAAAGCACAUGAAUCUUACUGUUCAAUCACCCACUUCCCACACGCAACAAUAGCUCAUGGGUACCACAAAUAACUUUGCCAAAGUUCUCUGCCAAAGUUGAGCACGUGAAGCUUGCAGCUCCCACUACAUCGCUCUGACCAAGAAAGGUAAAAGAAUAGCAAAGAAACAGCACUAACAAAAGUUUAGACACAUAAAUUUUGAAGGUCUAGCUACCAUAUUAUUACCCACAACUGUAAAGGAACAGUACCACUGCUGGAUAAUUGGAAAGUCCCUGUGUGUCAACCUCUGUGCUUCGUGGCAAGGUAGACUAGCAAACAUGCCCAACCUUUACUCACAUUCGAGAAAACACUCCCAAUAAGAUUGCUUGCUCCAAAAUCGAAGAGGCACCGUCCUCCGAAUCUCGAGAGCCAGACUCCCAACAUGACUACUUUCUCAAAAUCGAAGAUAGGGUAAAGGAACAGUACCAUUGCUGGAUAAUUGGAAAGUCCCUGUGUGUCAACCUUUGUGCUUCGUGGCAAGGUAGACUAGCAAACAUGCCCAACCUUUACUCACAUUCAAGACAACACUCCCAACAAGAUUGCUUGCUCCAAAAUCGAAGAGGCACCGCCCUCCGAAUCUCGAGAGCCAGACUCCCAACAUGAUUACUUCCUCAAAAAUCGAAGAGACACUGCUCUCCGAAUCUCGAGAGUCAUACCCCCAGCAUGAUUGCUUUCUCAAAAAUCGAAGAGGCAUCGUUCUCCAAAUCUCGAGAGCCAGAUACCACAGACCACUUUUUCAAAGUGCUCUGACAGAGUUAAAACAUGUGAAACUGGCAGCUCCCACUACCGUGCUAUGACCAAGCAGGGUAAAGGAAUAGCAUUACUACUUGUUGUUAGGGAGACUCCUAUAUAUGUCGACCUCCAUCCCCAACGGACAGGCAGACCUGCAAAAAUGCUCAACCCUUCAUCAUAUCUGAGAGGGCACUCCCAACGAAGCCUUUCGAAAUAUUCAGCUUUCUUUCCCCCCGAUAAUACCUCUGCAAACAAGCUAUACUAGAGCAAGAAUAUCUCAUAUCAUCAGGGUUAAAAGCAAGAGUAUCCCAUAUCAUGCUUUUUCCCUGUCUUUUCUUUUGGCCUUGUUUUUACCUGCAAGACAAGGAGAAAGAGAGCAAUCAGUCAGCACUUGGAAUCAAGCUUCCAGCCAGGAACUGACUGCCUGGAACCCCUUACCUGAUUACUUACCUGGCAUUGCUCUCGAGUACUCAUCUUCAACAUCUUAUGUUUCCAGGGAAGAUUCCGCAUCUGCUUGAGGAACAGAUAGGGCAAGUGCGAAGGAUACAAGGAAGCAUGUGGAGACAAGCUUAACAGCACACGUGCCGAUACAUUCAUUACUCUGUCAAAAGCAAAAAGUAUCCCAUAUCAGCAGGGUGGAACGUACUCUAGAUUUGAUGGACUUGUUUUGACCCUCAAAUUCUUCAGUCGGCCUUAUACUCUGGAGGAAACCAGAAAACCCUCCAGCUCAGUUCAAGAAUAAGCCUGUGGAAAGUUACUUCUUCAAAAGCAAAAGUAUCUCAUAUCAUCUCUUCUCAUUUUUCUUCUCUUUUAUCCUUCAUGCUGCUGCAAGAUGGGGAGAAGGUGAACAAUCAGUCGGAGCUCUGAUUGCUUACCUUGUCUGUCACCUCUUUCAGCAGACCCCCUAGCUCGGCGACUUGGGGGACUCCUACUACAUGGUUUGUAUCGCGCUUGACCAAGCCUGAAACUACAAGUAAGCUUCAAGUGAAAUUGAUACAUUACCUUGUGCAUCUCCCACAGUUAAAGAUACCACCCCUGGAUGGAGGAAGAGUACUUCCAGAGAAGAUGCCACAUCUACCUAUGAGACAGAUAAGGCAAGUCAAGACGACACCACACUCCGAUACUUAGAAGUUUCGUGAUUACGAGAUCAUUCUCCCACAAUAUUUCCUAAUGUCAUUUGUACUAAAUCAUUCACUUGUACUCACUAAAUGAGAGCUUGAACCUAUGUACUUGUGUAAACCCUUCACAAUUAAUGAGAGAACUCUUCUAUUCCGUGGACGUAGCCAAUCUGGGUGAACCACGUACAUCUUGUGUUUGCUUUCCUAUCUCUAUCCAUUUUAUAUACUUAUCCACACUAAUGACCGGAGCAAUCUAGCGAAGAUCACAAAAAGCGAUCGUUUUCGCUACCUAGGAUCUAUCUUGCAAGAGAACGGAGAAUUAGAUGGAGAUCUCAACCAUAGAAUACGAGCUGGAUGGAAAGAGUGCAUCCGGCGUGUUGUGUGACCGUCGUAGGCCACUGAAGCUCAAGGGAAAAUUUUAUAGGACGGCAAUAAGGCUAGCGAUGUUGUAUGGCACAGAAUGUUGGGUGGUGAAGCAUCAACACGUACACAAAAUGGGUGUAACGGAGAUGAGGAUGCUUCGUGGGAUGUGUGGGGCACACGAGAAAGGAUAAGAUUGGGAAUGAGGAUAUCCGAGGUAAAGUAGGAGUAGCCGAAAUUGUAGGAAAUAUGAGAGAAAAUCGGCUCCGGUGAUUUUGAACAUGUGCAAAGAAGGCCGACUGACGCUCCGGUUCGAAGAUGUGACUACGGGACAGAGGUUCAGGGCCGAAGGGGUAGAGGAAGACCUAGGACAACUUUGGAAGAGACUCUAAGAAAAGACUUAGAGUACUUGGAUCUAACGGAGGACAUGACACAAAACCGAGCGCAAUGGCGUUCUAGGAUUCAUAUAGCCGACCCCACUUAGUGGGAAAAGGCUUUGUUGUUGUUGUUGUUGUUGCUGUUCCCGUGACCUCCCCCAUCCUCCCCUAUUGAAUUACCAAACACAAAAGACGUAACAAAUUAAAGUAAUGCAACUUAACAAAAACAAGGACAUCUGAGCUGUUCAAGAAAUAAAGUAAAAACAUUACCUCAAGAAUUCCAUGAAACCUGGAUAUAUCGUCAGGGGCAAUUCUGGGGGAAUAGUUGAUAAAGAAAUACGGCUCAAAUCCAUGAAAAUGGCAGCAAACACUAUGUCCUAGGAUGAUGCGACAACUUAUCAAAGUUAGAAAAUGUAUUAUCUCAGUUUAUAUUAGUUUAGUUUAGUUUGGUAGCAUAUAUGAUCCCCGUGCAGCAACAUAGAAUACCUAGUAAAAGUUGCAUUUCUGAGAACAAAUAACCAACAUGCUUGGCCGAAAAGACAAUGUGGAUGUUUUAGUAAUACAAAAGUACAGUUUUAUUCAGGUUUCUCAGUCACCAACCAAACAUUGUCAUAGCAGAAAAAUAACCCUAAAAGAAAUUUGGAGCACAAACUAACCUUCCUUCAUUGAGCAGCAAGGAAGAGGGGGAGAAAAUUGAUUCCACAUAAACCAAGGCAUAAGAUGCUUACCAAACUUUUCAAAUGGCUAAAUUGUUCAUUUAACUUGACAACUUCUUCCUGCAAUUCACAAGUAAGAUCAUUAGAUGCGGUAAAUAAAACAUCAUACUUCAUCCAUGGCAAUCUAGCAGAGAAACCAAUUACAUUCAGAUGGAGCCUAAUCUGUGGAAGUAUAGCUAUAUGCACUGAAAAUGCAUUAUCAUAUUGUCAUAUUUAAAACUGAGGUUUAUGCAGUAUGCUUUCUCUAGCGUACACAAUUUUUGCCCUUCAUUUUUGAAGUUCUGCACUUCAUAAUUCAUAUACUUUCAGUUUCCUUUCUAAUGAAGGUAUGGACUGCUUUCCAUUGGAAUUUUCAUAAGACAAUGUUAUGAUAUUCCUAAUUUAGAAUGUGUUCCCAUUCUAAAGAAUGCAAGAACUAAAUCAUAAAUAUUGUACAAUUAGCUCUCAAUUACUCUGAUGUGAUUGUGGCAAGGCAUGAGAAUCAGAACCACUCCAUGUUCUCCCCCUUCGUGAUUUGGUCAUUAAAAAAUACUUCAUUCCCUCCAUCUUUUAUCACGUCUUCUUGGUGAUGACUUGUUUGUCUUCGAACUGUAUCCACAAAAAAACCACAAAUUAAUCCCAAAAAAAUCAUUCCCUCCUCGUUUUGCACCUUGGACAUCGAGAUUUAAACCAAAAACCAAAAUCAAACAAACAUCAAUUUUAAACAUACAUUAAGAGGAAUCAAAUUCAAACUGAAAUUUGAAAUUUGGAAAAUUCCAACUUUGAUAUGCUAUCGCUACUUGUGUUCAUUAAAUUUGAUGGCACUGUCAGUGAAAAGUAACCUUAGGGCUACUAAUAUGUUCACUAAACGGCAAGGAAAUCAAUUUAGUGGGAUAAAUGGUCCCAUAUCACAAAACAUACUAUCGGACCUCUGGACAAUCAAAGGUGACACAGACAACCAAGAAUGAGAAACAAAGCAUAGAGCGGACGAAUAAUAUAAGCCGAAAAAACCAAACAAUCAAUUAAAAAAUCAUAAAAUUGCGCUAUCUAAAACGGAAAGCAUGGAGAAACAAUGUAUAGAAGUUCAGGACAUACCAAAGCCUUGAUUCAAACGUAAUGGCUCAAAAUCCCUAGAUCAAAAGCAGCAGCAAGAGCAGAUUAUGAUGCUGUGAUGAGAGCCCGAUCUAAACUACAAAAAAUCAGUGAGAUUACAUUGAAUCAAGGCAAGAUCGGGCUCUCAUCCCUAGAUCAAAGGCUGCAGCAAGAGCAGAUUAUGAUGCUGUGAUGAAACCCCAUUCCAAUCGAAGCGUAAACAAACGAACACAAUAAAAGUAAUUGAAACUGUGACGGUGCAAUGGACUCAAUCUAUGAUAGUGCACCAAACAAAGGGUAAGUCUCAGAACAUCAAUUUUCACUUCGUCCCCUACACUUGACCAAAGAUAAACGCACAAAUUUCCAAACAAAGCAUAGAAAUUGAAAUUGUGUCAUGAAAACUAUUGAGACAUCUUUGCUUGGUGCUUGGCAAUGCUCUAACCCACUAUGGGGUUUUAAAUUAUUCUAUCCAAGUACAAUGAUGGGGAUCCACUGCCAGCUAACGACCAGUCAUUUAUACUUGAUAAUGUUCUCAAUUACCAUCCGGAAAAAGCUGUUAAAUGCGUUCUGGAAUCGGUCAUCUCACAGGAUGCUUAUCUACCCUGUUCUUGCUUAACUGCAUUUUAUUUAGAAUUAUGUUUCAGCGCACUUUUGAUGCAUUAUGCUAAGAUUCUGUGAUUGAUUUCAUUGUUAUAUUGGUUAUUGUAAUGUUCAUUUCAUUGUAGGGCAGACAUGAAACAUUAAAAUAGUAAUGAAGCUCAGAAUAUUCCCUAAACACCAAAAUCCACAACACAUGCCCUCUACCCAACAAAGAUAAAAUAAAAACUACAAUUCAAUGUUGAAAAACUAAAGUGGCCAGAAACCAAAAAAUCUUAGUGACAACUUGUACAGACGUUACAAAAAUGCAGGACGCAAAACACAUUAAAACGUCUAGAAACUCGAAGUUAUCGCUAUUUGGUUAUGAAGAUAGAUAUAUAUCACCAGGAAACCAAAAAAAUGGCAAGGAUUUGCCAAAAUUUGUAAAUCAAACACAGAUGUUUGAACUCCUUUUCCUCUGUUAGUCUGUUAUCAUCUCACAUGCCACACUAUUCAAGACUGGAUCAAUUCGAUCACAACCAAACUGCCAGUAUUAAACUUAACUAAGUACUGGUCAAAUGAUCUAACCAUUGUUUAUUACAGAUCCAAAUCAACAGUGGUAAUAAAUAAAAUAAUUUCAGUUGCCAUUUGCAAUUAAAAUUGAACAAUGCUUACUCCCAACGAAUAUCAUCUAACAUUGAUUGCAGCAAUCACAUGUAAUCGAAUUAGCUAUGUAUUUGAGGAUUUGGGAAAGGUUUUUUGAGAGUAAACAAACGUUAAUUAUUAGCUAUGUAUUUGCUUAACAAACAGUAGAUGAAAUUGCUAUGUAUAUUUUAAUGGGGAAUUUAAAAACCAAUCCCAAUUUGUCAUUGCUCAAACAAAUUGGAAUUUCAGAACCAAUCUCAAUGAUCAAAUUAACAAAAUAUUCAAUUUUAUGAAAACUCUUAAGCUAAUUUAGAAAGGCAAAUUGCAAGAUUUUGAAGGAAUUUUAAAAAUGAGGGAGAAAAAUUAGAAGGUCUUGCCUUAUCUCCCUCACAAAAUCAAUCGCAUAAAAACCAUAGCUUUUGAUGGAAUUUCAAAACCAAACAAAUCUCUAAGAUGAAUUUGUCAUGUAAACAUGUUUAACACAGAUUUCUCAAUUAUAAACACUACUCUUUCUCAAUUAUUAAAAACAUAAAGAUCAAAGUCAAUUGGGUGUAUAAUAAUAUACCUCAUCAUGUCAAGCAAAGCAACCAACUUCUGCCUCCAACGACCCAAAAUUCUGAAAAUUCCAAAAAAAUUAAUUUAAAAACAAAACAACAUAAGAAAGAUAAAACUCGGCAUAAGAGAAAUCUACAAAUCGGAUGCCAGAUCAUCAAAGAUUAAAAACCACUCAGAAUCUAUUAGCAUUUGAGUCUAAAUAUGAGAAAUUGUGAACUUUGUUCCAUAGGAUAGUUAACAGGAUACUAUCAUAUCAAAACCAACGCUGAAUAAAAUCCAACAAUGAGAUUACGUUGAUAUAACGUCAUUUCAUUAAAGCUGCAUAUACUAACCAAAAAAAGAAAAUAUGGGAAGAAUAGACUGCCUCCAUUGGCCCUUCAAGUCUCCUAACCACCAAACAACCCGUCUAGAUGCAUUUGCCUGUUCUUUCCCACAAUUCUUAGAGAUCAAAUAGAACCCUCGGAUUGACUGGGGACAAUAUGGAAAUCCUUUUUGAUACCGUAAUACGGGAAGACAUGAAUAAUUUUGACAGAAAGACACAAACUGUUAAGGGAGGAUGUGAAGCUUCUGUACGGAAGGUUUCUACUCUUGUGCAUCUAAAAAAAUUAAAUGAAGCAAGAGAAAUUCAACAAAAAAACUUGAAAACCCUUGCCCAAAAAAAAACUCACUAAAUUCAAAGCAUAGCAUCUACACUGAGUCACUAACAUACUGCUCAGUUAUACUCAUCAUCUCUGAUCAAUGUAAUCAUAUAUUUCAUAGCUACACUCCCCAUUGACAUACACUGACAUAGCAUCUACUUUUUUGCUGACUUUAUUUGCUCAGUUAAGCAAUAACCAACAUACACAAUCUGACAAUCAUAGCAGCUACACCAAUCAUCCAUAAAUGGGCAGAAAUACAAAUAUUAUUAUAUUGGGGUUUGGAACAAAUAAAUCAAUCAUCCAAUUCAAAUGUCGUAAACAAAUACACCAACCAUUCAAUUGGAAUGGGGUUUGGUACAAAAACAUUUUUCCAUUAAUUGGAUAUUCAAUUAACUGGGAUUAAAAAAAGAUUACCAAACAAAAGCCAAUUUUCUAAAGAAAAUUAGUGUUUUAUACCUGCCAAUUCCAAAGGCCUGUAUGAGCCCAAAAUUGAGGGAUGGUGACAUCUGCAAUUUGUAGUUGGGGAUCUGCAUUUCCUGCAAUUCCAUAGUGUACAACAGCUUUCACCUUGAAUAGGGUUUGUAGUAAUUGAGUUGAGAUGCCUGCAUUGAGCUUUUCACAGGUUUCUACAUCAAUUUUUUUUCCAGCAGGUUUCUACAGAAAAUACUUAAAGAAACAGAAAACUUCCUCUGUAAGUUUUCAAUUGUAUUGACUGAAUGAUAACUUUACACAUUGUGUAGGUAUAUAUAGCCUUUUUGGCUAUUUACAUUAAUACCCCUAGCUUUCUAACUAUUCACAACUAAUUACAUUCAGUUAUUUAACAAUAACAGAAUUGUUAACAGUGACAGAAUUGGAUGACUUGUCAUUCUCCCUAAUACACCCCCUCGAGCUAGAAGGGAAAUCAGAAAUGACUCCAAUGGGAAGCUUGGAGCACAGAUAGGUGAAUAUGUUUUUAGAAAGGGACUUGGUGUGAAGAUUUGCUAAUUGGUCUUCACUGCAAACAAACUGUACUUUGAGGAGUUUUGCUAGAACCAAUUCUCUAAUAUAGUGGUAAUUGAUCUCAACAUGCUUUGUUCUCGGAUGAAAGACAGGAUUAGAUGCUAAUGAUAUUACUGAUAUGUUGUCACCAAAGAGUAGGCAAUGUAGAUAGAGGAUAGUGUAGAUCUUUGUGAAUCUUACAAACCUAAGUGAUUUCAGCAGCUGUGUGAGCUUAGGAGCAAUAUUCAGCCUCUGUAGAUGAGCUGAUAAGAUUAGAAUCCAGGAAGACACAAUAACCAGUGGUUGAUCGCCUGUCAAAUGUGCAGCCAGCUCAAUCAGCAUCAGAGUAUGCUGAAAGGUAGACAAGACCUUUAGUAAACCACAAACCAUGUGAAAUAGAGCCUUUGAGAAACCUGAGAACCCUUUUUGCUGCCUGAAGAUGUUAUUCCCUGGGAGCAUGCAUGAAUUGCCAGAUUUAGUUCACAGCAAAGGCAAGAUCCGAUCUAGUCCAAGUGAGAUAUUGUAAACCACCAACAAUGGAACGAUAUUCAGUGGGAUUGGACGAGAGAGGCCCACUGUGAUCUAGUUUCUGAGAACCAAGAUGAGUGCAACAAGGUUUUGCACCCUCCAUGUUUGUCUUCUUGAGAAGAUCCAAUAAGUACUUGGUUUGGUAGAGAAAUAUGCCCUGUGAAGAUCUCUGUACCUUUAAACCCAAGAAAUAAUGUAGAGGACCAAGGUCUUUGACUGGAAAUUGGGCACUUAGUUGCUGAAUAAAGUGUUGACAAAGUUGAGGAGAGGGUCAAGUGACAAGAAUAUCAUCAACAUAGACAAGAAUAAUGACUAACUGAGGACCAUUGAGAACAAAUAAAGAAGCAUCUGAUGAGGAUUGUGUGAACCCAAGAGAGUGAAGAGCUUGAAACAGUAUAUCAAACCAAGCUCAAGGAGCUUGUUUGAGGCCAUACAAGGAUUUCCUCAACUUACAAACAGAGGUAGGAUGUAAGGGGUCAACAAAACCAAGGGGUUGUUGCAUGUAGACAUCAUCCUUUAAGUCUCCAUGAAGAAAGGCAUUACUAAUGUCCAAUUGAUUUAGAAACCAAUUAUAUUGCACAGUUGUGGUUUGAUCCUAAUUGAAGAGGCAUUUUUUUUUCCUUCUGGUUUGUUCACUGUUCAGUUGUGGUUCAGUUCUCCACCUUUUGGUUGGAGUACAACAAAUGCUUUUAAAUUAUUAAAUUAGGAGAGCUAAGAAAGAUAUUUUGUGCUAAUUGCUAUUUGAUAACUCUGGUUUUCUCUUUUGGCGACCACCUUGCUCUCCAUUUUUCUUUUUCCUCUUGCUCUGCUGGUUUUUCAGUGUUACAACCUCUCUACAAAAACCACACUAUAUGUGUUUUGCAUGUUUGUUCAUGCUUCUAUUGUUUGUUGUUGUGGUGGUAACCCUGUGAAUGGAAUUCUCAGUUAUCUAUUCCUCUAGAAUACAUGAUGCAUCUGAUUUUUGUUCAUUGACAGAUGACGCCACAUGCUUGAGAUUUUUAUGCCAUCACUCUUGGUUCUUUUGUGAUUGUUAUUGUUUGUUUUAAAAUGUGUAUGUUGAGUGUGAUGCGUUUAAAUUGAGCAGAGGCCAUAAUUUUUUUUAUCAAAGAAGGAAUCAUUGAGGUCACUUUAGAAAAUGGAUGGGUGUCUGGUUAUUUUGUCAUUUGAGUGGUGUAGCUUUGUUAUGAUCUCUAUUCCGGCACUGUGUGAUUAGUGUUAAUGGUUUUUCAACACUGUUUGUAACCUAUUUUCGUUGUUGUCAUGUAACUUAGUACUGAUGGCUGUGUUUGUGAUUUUCAGAAAUUUGGAUCGUUAGAGGGAGUCUUAGUAUCACCAUUCUGCAAUGGAUUAAGUUCAUGCCACGGCCUCAAUGCAUUUUAUGGGUGGGGAUGAGUGGUACAAAUUUUUUGUUUUAGCAUGUUUUUGUGUUUGUUGGAAGGUCUCAAUUAUUAUUUUUAGAUAAUCUAUCAUCUCAUAUGGAAGAGUUGAAUGCAAAAAAGGUCAUGAUGACAAAUGAUACCUUCCUGUUAUUAGCUGCUUUUCUUUCUUGAAAUGUAAUUCUGUUCUAGAUUAAGUUUGUUGCACUGUCACAGAUUGAGGUAUUUUCCUGUGUCCGUUUAUUUGCGCUUUGAACUCUUACUUUGAAUCUCAUUGAUUUUUUUGUAGUUUAGAUCGGACUAUCAUCGCAACAUCAUGAUCUACUCUUGCUGCUGCCUUUGAUCUAGGGGUCCGGAGCGAUUGCACUUGAAUCAAGGCUCUGGUAGUGAACUUUCUCAUUCUUCCCGAAGUGCUUUAAUAUGCGUUGUUGAUAACUGCGCUCUCUCAACGAACCAUAAAUAUUUUUAAACAAAUCACAACUUCCAUAUUUAAGAAAAUGAGUGGCUUUUUAACAAUGCAUGAACGUAGCUUACAUGUUCAGCAAAAUUCAUGGAUAUUUACAUUCAACCUGCAAGUAUCAUUAACUCAUAAAAAAUUAAGUUUAAUUCAUGGAUGUUUAUAUUGAACCCGCAAGAAUCAUUAACUCAUAAAAAAAUGUUUUGUAUUUUCUUUAUCGACUAUCGCUUCAAAUUUUUAUCUAAAACAUUGUCUAAAUGCUUAUUGGUUGCGUUUUUUGUCCCUCUAUUCAUUCAUGAUUGCAUUGAAUUUAUUCAGGUCCUGCUGCAACGCGCGAGCCUAUUUUCUAGUCACUUUAGUCUAAAGAAGGCUUUUCAAUUGCACUGUACAAAUGAAUAGUAACUUGGAGUGGAUUUGGAGUUAUUUACAAAAUUACCAUCAUCCCUUCACUGCAAAUUGAAAAUUUCGAUUUAUUUACAAAAUUACCACCGCUUUUGCAUAGUUUAAAAGCGCCCACGCAUCAGUCAUCGUGGAUUGCUCUGCUUCGACUACAUUUCGACUGUUUCCAUCCCCAUUUCUUUCCCUCUUUUUCUCUCCCGACUCUCUCUCUCACUACCCUAUUCUCUCACGCCCGCUCACCAUCUCACUCCAGGCAAUACAUACAUGAACUCGAUGAGAAGCCACCAUCCCUUAUCUACAAAGCGAAGAAGAACUCAGCAGAUUGUAUGUUACUCCUCCCCAAUAUUUUCUGUAUGUUUUCUUCAAUUAUUUGUUUUUGGGUUUGUUUCUUUCUCGAGAAUAAGAAGAAAGAAACAGGAAAAAUUAAUAUUGGGUAGUUAAUUUAUCUUGGAGUGUUAUAUUUAUUCAAGACAUCUGGGGAAUUAGGUACAUAAUUGAUUGAUUACCUGAGUAAAUUUCUUUGAUUUUUUCUGAAAGAAUUUGUUUUUUUUUUUUGGGAUUUUGAUGUUUUCUUGAAUUUUACCACUUUGGUCGUGGCUUCCACUCAAAUGUUAAUUUAAUUUAAUUUUUUGGGGUAUUACAGCAAAUUAUAUAUAUAGUUUGCCGUUAUAGUUUGGUCCUUUUUAUGCAGUAGAUUGUAGAAAAAUGAUCAAAAACAGCUUCAAGCAAGCACAUGAGUUUGGUAAGUUUUGGUGUUCAUUUGCUGAAUUUGUUUAUGCUUUGUGUAUUGUCUGUUCAAUUUAUAUCAGUUUCAGAAUUUAUAACUGUGAUGUUUAUAAAUAAGUCUACGGAGUAAGUUGCAUAAUUGUGCGGCAUCUUUUAUAUGCAGAGAAGAGACGCGCUGAAUCUCACUCUGCCAUUCGCCCCUCCGUCCUCUCAUGAUCUCUCACACCCUCUCUCUAAUUUCAGAACAAUAUUAAGCAGCUUAAGCUCUCUUUGCAUUGAAUCAAUGGCAGUCAUCUAGAGGUGAUUUUCUUUGCCUUUUUGUUGGGUUAGUGAAUUUUUAGCUUAAUUUGGGUAGUGUAGGUUUCGUUUUGCUUAAUUUCGAUUUUAAACUCUAAUAAAAUAUUGGUUUUAGGGAUUUCUUCUUUGUGAUCAUCUUCAUGUUUGAUUGGUGAUUUAGCAUGUGGAUUGUCUACUUCUUUGAUGAAAACUCUCACCGUUGGGACUAAUAUAGGUUUCUCAUAUUUUCUUGCACCAUUUGUGAGGGAUUUAAUUUUCCUUUUCUGGGUUUUCUUAUACUCAAGGUAUGAUUUACAUUCUGGAAUUCAUGGUUCAAUUGGAAAUCACGAUGACAUAUCAACAUGCGUUGGACCCUCGAUUUUGUAUUAUUUACAUUCCUGCCAUUGCCAAAAAGCAUGGGCUGCAGAGACAAAGAGAGGGAGAUAGGUGGGGGAUGGCAGGGAGGGGAAUGGAGAGGGAGGAGUGAGGUUGCCAUAAAAAGGGGUUAUGGUUGAUUUUUUUUUCUCCUCAAAUCAAGGGUUGGUGUCGGGAUUGAGGGAUGUGUCAAAAUUGCCAACAACAACAACAACAACAAAGCCUUUUCCCACUAAGUGGGGUUGCCAAUAGAAGCCUAAAUUAAUGGGUAGCUGUCGGUGAUUGAAAGAUUGAGAGGGAGAAAAUUGGGGGAGGUUGUCACUGACCCGAUGGAGUGAGCGAUUUUGUGAGGAUUACACUGACUUAUUGACUAGCAACACAAGACAAGACAUGCUUCCGGUAAACCGCCUCCGUCGUUUUCCUCUUCUCGCCUCCGUCUACCUCCUCUCCCCUUCUUCGUCUCCCUCCUCCUCCUCUCUCUCUCUCUCUAUGGAAUCGAUCGAUCUUCGAAGAGGAUAAAAGGAUCUAAAAUGGUGUGUUUCCUACUGUGAUUCUGUGUUUUUAAUUUUUCUGGGUUUGGCUUCUUCUGUUAUUCCACUACUAAUUUACAAAAAUAAUGAAUUUUGUACAUUUUGUUUUUAUUUUACUUUUUGUUAUAUUUCAUUGCAAUAUCAAAUAAAGUUGGUAUUUUAAAAUCUCACUGCAAUUUUUUUUGUUAUAUUGUUGGUGGGUAUCUUUAAUUAUGCCCUGAAGGAGGAAGGCAAAGAGAGGACAGACCUGGGUUUGGGGCAUAAAAGGGAUCUUUAGAUUUCUGUAAAAAUACUUUGUGCCUUUUUGCUAUUGGUGAUGAGUGUUCAUGAAUAUUUAUGCUUUAAUAUAGCUGUUACAGGAGCAAGUUGUUUAGUUAAAAUCCUAAGAAGAUUAGGGUAAAACAUUCCGGCUGUCUCAUUAUUGAUAGUCUGAAUUUCUGCAAUCUCUGAGAUAUAUUUGGGAUAGUUUUAUAGUGAUAUACGUCAAGGUUCAAGAAACAGUUUGCUGCACUGCAUUAUAGGAGUAUCUGGUUGAUGAAAUUUUCUGAUUUAAGCAUUUAGCUCCUCGACUGCAUUAAAUCAGUAUUUAAAGAAAUUUUUGUAUGAGAAUGCAUUGAUAGAAUUUUUUUUGCCCAAAAAUCAACUUACAGAGCUUCAUGUGAGUUAGUCUUAGCUUUUGAUUUAAUUUUUUUUAGAAUUAUUAUCAUUUUUUUUAUCUCUGCUGCUGUUUUGGAUUUUUUUUUUUUUUUAUGAUUUUUACGCAAUGUUCAUCUGUGUAGGCACUCAAAUUAGUGUUUUGGAGUGCAUCUUGACCAGACCACCACAAAAGAGAAAAUGGAAACCAAAAUCAGAGCCAUCAAAACAAACAAAUGCUGGUAUGUCCUAAAAAAGGUUGGUUUGUGUACUUUCAAAAAAUAUAUGGAAGAUGAGAAUAUUGAUCAUGGUGUAGAAUGUGAUGGUAAUGUGGUUGAAAAAGAUAAAAUGUUGCACGAAAAGAUCUCGGAGCUCAUUGACGAAAAUAUGCAGCACCAGGCUGAGUUGAUAAGGAGAAACAAGGAGAAUAGUGAAACAAUUGAGUGGCUUUUAUCCCAGGUGCAUAAGCUAACAGAUGGGAACAAAAUUUUGAGGAUUAAUCUGGGAAUCCAUUAGGAUACUACUGAUCAUACAAUUGCAAUCCAUAAGGAUGCUACUGAUUAUACAAUUACAAGGCAAAACAAGCCUCAGUUUUCAAAGUCUAAGUCCAUGGGGCCAUCUUUCCCUAGAAGGCUCACUGGAUGCCUAGAACUUGAUCUUAAUUAGCUACUUUUCAAAUUUAGUAGGUAGAGUUAUAAGUUUUCAAAUGUAUCUGUUUAUAUGCUUUCAUAAUACAUGUGAAGAUUCCGAGUCAAUUAUAACAUAUUUCAAUUUUAAUUUUAUGAGUAUAGAAAAGGAACUGAAUGCUUUGUUAUUUUGAUCUUGUAGCUGAAGCCAAGUCUGGAUAGAGAGAAAGAUCUCAUGGCAGGAAUCAUGGACUUGAUGAAGGUGAGGUUAACAAAGUGUGCUUUAGCACCAAGAUUGGAAUCUGGGUGUUCUGAGUUUUGUUUUGUUGUGAUUUUCUAUAAUCUAGAUGCUGAAAUACUUGGAGUUGGAAUUAAUAAGAAUUGAUUGAACAUGGAUUUUUUAUUAGAUUGGUAUGGCUGACAUAGUUAAGAAGUAGUUUAAGAUGCAGUGAUUAGGGAAUUUCUUUAACUGAACAUAUUUGUUUUCACGAGGUAGAUAGAAUCCUCUGUAAUUUAAUUAACUAGAUUGAAAUUUGGGAUUUGGAUUCUUAAACUAUGGUGGUUAAUGUCGCUUUUUUGGUGAAUUUUUCAAGUGUGGGAUUUAUAUUGUUAUUCUCAGUUGGUAUAUAAAUAUUUGAGUGUGCAAGAAAUGGUUACCAUACAAGAAACACAAGAAUUGAAAUUAGAAGGGAUAAGGGCAGUUUGCAGAGGGUUGGUUCGGGGAUGGUAAAAGUUACGUAGGUGGCGAGAUUAAUGGUGGUGGUUUCGUGGUGCCGUAGUUCUCCGUGAAAAAUGGCGACGGUCGUCGCCUUGCUAUUUCUGUGCAGAGCAACAGUAUCGAGAGAGAGAGAGAGAGAGAGAGAGAGAGAGAGAGAGAGAGGUGAGGGAAAUAGGGAGAGUAAUAGAGAGGGAGUGAGACAUGAGGGUGGUGGCAAGUUGGUGCAUCGAGGGAGUGGCAAGUGAGGUGGUGGUGGUUUCUCGAACGGGAGAUUUAUGGUGUACUAGAGAACUUGACUCCUCUCUCAGUCUGGUCUCUGGAGAAGAAAACCAAACAUAGCUAUGCAUUAGCAAAGUUUGAAAUGAGGAUUUUUAAUCUUUGGCAUGCUAUUGUCUUUAUUUGAUCAUUCUUUGAAAAAAAUUCUGAUGGACAAGUGAAAUAAACUGAAUGAAAACUUGGAGAGAAGUUCUGAUUUUUAAUAUCUUUAAUCGGGGAUUAUUAUGAUGCCCUUUGACAAUUGAAAUGUGAAUGCAUUAUGUUGUUUAGAACACAAGUCAAUAUUUUUUAAACUGGAACAAAACUCCAUUAUCUAGACUCGAGUUUUGCUAAAAUUGUUUUAUAAAUUUCAUUAUAGUUAACAAAAAAUAAACUUAUGAAAUCUCAAUUAUGAUUGUUCAUGUGCCCCUACUGAGAAAUGUGUUAGGUAUGAUGAUGGAUGCUAUAGAUAGAAAAAUGUUGGCUUAAGGUUGGAUUGCAGGUAAAUAUGUGCUAUCCUGGAUGAUGGAAUUGCAUAGCAUCCUAAGUUUCUAUAUUUUUCUCAACAGAUUUACUGAAAAUGUUUUCAAGGAUAUUCAACAAUAACUUUAAUCUUCAGACUCUCAUUGUUGCAGUCUCUAAUGCUUUAGUUAAUCCUAUUAGCCUAUUGUUAGAUCAAUUAAAAGAGUGUUUUAGCCUUCUGUUAGUGUUUCGUCUUAUAUACUUUCUCAUUGUUAGAUCAGUUGUGAUUCUGUGUGGUUCAUGUUUCCGGGUGUAAAAUUGUUCAUACAAUCUCACUUUUGCAUCUAAUUAAUGAGCCAAAAAGAAAAUUUUUAACAUUUUAAAUCCUAAUUAUCUCUAUUUCAGCCAAUGCAUAUUUUUUCCACCUAAAAGUCUUUGAUGCAUGUCUUCUUUUUUUUUAAGUAUUGAAACAUACAUUGUUCUAAAUUUGUUGAGCACUUGAAACUUUACAAGUUAAGACUUGGAAUUUUAUGAUAUAUGAUAACUGUUUUGUAUGUUUGUUGUUGAUUAAGCACGUGGGAUACAACUCGGUCUUAGACACUUAAUAAAAAUUUAUUGUUUGAAAUUAAUGGGGCACAGGUUAUUCUCAUGAUAUUGGCUGCAAAUGCUGCAGUAGGAGUGAUUACAGAAACCAACGCAGAAAAAGCUUUUCAAGUAACUUUUACAUUUAUAGCAUUUCAGAAUUCGCAUAAAUACCAUAAAACAUCUUGAAAGACUACCAUUUCAAGCGGAUCUUUUCUUUCAUGCGGAAACCAAGCUUCCUUUUUCUUAACUCAUUCUACUAAAACUUCAAAUUAUGUUCAAUUUGUUGAUUGGCUGUUAGCACUUAAGUUGAUCUAUUUAUUUCCAAUGUACCCUUUUUUAUGCAUGACUGCUUUUCUGUUGCAUGUUUAAAAGAUGAAUGCAUCAAUUCUUAGGUAACCUUCUUUUUGUUCUGUGAUGUAGGACAGAGUAGGACAGCGGAAAUAGAUUGUUUAGCGGAAGUGAAUAGACAUAAAACUUAAAUUCAAACAUCAUUUCCAUUUAUGCUUCUGUUUUAUAGGACUGGGGGGGGGGGAUAAAAACAGUAUAUUUUGUUGUUGCAUGUUUCAUUAAUUCAAACUUACAAAUAUACACUCUCUUCAUUAUGCACAGUAUGUUGAUGUGAACUGAAUCUAAAUAAUUUGUCUUUCUGUCGAAAAUAUUCAUAGUAUGUCUUGCAUUACAGUUUCAAAACCCACAGCAGCGCGUGGGCAAUUUUAUUUUCCCUCUCCCUAUAUGUAGUUUAAUAUAAUUCAACAAGUUCAAAGAGAAUGAUCAGAAUGAAGGUUUGUAUUAGAUCCGAUGUGCUUCCUCUUUCUAUGCAUUUUGGUUCAAAUUAGGGUUUUAGGUUGAAACCCGAAAUGAAAAGAGAAUAAAGUUUUCAGGAUCUUUGGAUUUUGUGUUUCGAUGAGAGGAAAAGAUGAGAAAUUUAUUAAGAAAAGUUGUGAUCGGAUUUUGCAUGUUUACCGUUUUCAAGGUACGGUGUUCAUUCUUAACUUUAAAUUUGUUUCUCAAUUUUUUUUGUAGUUUUGGAUUUGUAAAAACCCUCGAUUGAAUCGGGAGCCUUGUGCACUGGGUACGACCGACAAAGGAACUUAGGUGGUAGCUGUAUUACUAAUUAGCUACAGAAUUUAUAUAUUCUUAUGAGUACGGUAUGGGUGCAGGUUUGCUAGUUUGCUUUUUGGGAUGAAAUUACUUUAAAUACAAAGGAAAAUUUGAUUGAUAUUAUUGGGUUGUAUGCAGAAAUUUAAGUUUUACCUAUUUUGAUAAUGCUCGGUUUUUGUGUAUUGAGUUGGAUAGACAGUUCAUAAGUUUGGUUCCAUAUUUAUUCGGAGAAGAAAACACAAAGAGGGCAACACAAUAACCCUAGGAUGAUUAUAUAUGGAAUGAAUUAAAUCUAUUAAUGAAUUAUAUUUUGGGUGUUGUUAGGAAGAAACGCCUACACUCCAAAUAUUUAUGAAUUGGAUUCAUUAUAAAAUAGGUAAAUUGUAUGCAUUACUUUGGCAUAAAUCUUUUGUUAAAUUUUAUUUUGCUGACUUUUAGUUUUUGACUUUCCUUUGGCAGGACUUUUAAUUAAGCAUGCAUCUUUGGUGUAAUAUUAUCAUAUUCUUGAGGUUUGAAUUUUUUACUCUUACUUUUGUGACCAUUAUAUGUUUGCAUAUCUAUCUUUUGGGUUAUCCAUCAAUUAAAAAUUAUUAUGUGAGGAUUUUGAUUGUUGACUUAUCAUUGGUAUAUUUCAAGUGGUUUUUGAUAUUUUGAUAGGUGUUGGAAAAAAAAAGAUGAAAUUGUUUUGCGCUCAAUGCAUAGUUAAUCUUAAAAUAGGGUUUAUUAAAUUGGUUUGAUGAUAUAUAGGUGGUAACAAAUUAAUGAUGUAAACUUCUACAAGGAAGAGGCUGAUGAGAGACUUCGAGAGGCUGCAACAAGACCUAUCUGCGAGGAUUAGUGGGGCGCCUUAGGAUAACAAUAUAAUGUUGUCGGCGAGGUUAGUUAUUUUUGAGGCUUUGCUUCUACAAACGUGAACUCAUUACAUGGAAACCGAAUUUUAUGUGAAUUUUAAUUGUUAUAUAUCAAACUCCUCUGCACUGAACUCUGUGUAUUACAACAAUUAUAAUUAGAACUUGGAUGAAAUGGGCUCCAUACAACAAAACUCAUGCCCUAACAAUAAUAAUUAGAACCAAAUUUGAUAAUUUCUCAUAGUUUAGGCCAUUUGGCGAAGUCAGAAUGAGAAACAUAGAUGUUUUCUUUAUCUUAUGCUAUUUGUUUGACUGUAAAUCGUAUGGAGUAAAUCUUUUGGUGUCAUUCUAAAUAAAUUGGAAAUAUGUCUCAUGCAAAAUUAAUGUUGAUGUUUAUCAAUGGAAAUAAGUUUUGAAGUGAUUACCUUUCUUUAUACAAGUUCUCUUCACAAUGAAACCUAUAUUAUAUAGUCACUUUUACUUGCUUUCGCACAGAGGGGUGUCUGGACAUGUAAUUGGCGUGUCAUUACUCACUAAAUCUUUUUUAUCCUUAUCUUCUAUAUUAAUAUCACCAUUUUUUGGGGUGCUCAUUGAGUGGUUUGGCAGGUAAUAGAUAAAGGUUUUAAUGCAUUCAUUUAAUGUUAUUGCAGAUCCGCUAAAUUCUUCAAGAAGUCCAGUUUACAGAACUGAAGCUGUUUAAGCACAAGGUGUCCCAGUUUAUAGAUGAGGUAUUAUAAAAUUUAAAAAGGGUCAAUAUUAUCAUUAUUGAUCCUUAACAUUUAACUAUCAAAGCUUGAGUUUAUAAUAAUUAAUUCUUCACUGAUGAUAUGUUGUGAUGGGGUUUACUAAUUUUCAGUACUCUUCAAUUCUUUUUAAUCAGCAAAAUCAAAUAACCCAUGGAAUUUAUGGCAUACAAUUAGUUUCCUUUCAGUUGGGUUGAAAUGAUAUUGAUUGUGCUGUUAUGAAGCUCCUUUUUAUAGUUGGGUUGAAAAUCAUAUUGAUAGAUUCUUUAUUUGGUUGAUCCUAUCUGUAACAAAUGGGGUUGUUUUGUUUGAUGUUUGAAUCAAAAUUUGAUCUUUUUUUGUGUGAAAUUAUGAUGGAAUCACAAAUUUGUGAGGUAUAUCUCAGCGCCAAACUAAUCCUCGCAGGCAGGUCUUGUUGCAGCCUCUCGAAGUCUCUCAUCAGCCUCUUCCUUGUAGAAGUUGACAUCAUUAAUUUGUUACUACCUAUAUAUCAUCAAACCAAUUUAAUAAACCCUAUUUUAAGAUUAACUAUGCAUUGAGCGCAAAACAAUUUCAUCUUUUUUUUUUCCAACACCUAUCAAAAUAUCAAAAACCACUUGAAAUAUACCAAUGAUAAGUCAACAAUCAAAAUCCUCACAUAAUAAUUUUUAAUUGAUGGAUAACCCAAAAGAUAGAUACGCAAACAUAUAAUGGUUACAAAAGUAAGAGUAAAAAAUUCAAACCUCAAGAAUAUGAUAAUAUUACACCAAAGAUGCAUGCUUAAUUAAAAGUCCUGCCAAAGGAAAGUCAAAAACUAAAAGUCACAUAUUCGGUGAGGGUUUAGGGGAUGGGAGGCCAUGCCUCCGAGAAGAGGGAGAGAGGAUCUCAGCGCCAUUGCUGCAGAUCCUCGAUUUCAUGAGUGGGAGAGAUGUUUGGAGAUUUUUUUCCCACUUUUUGAGGGACGGAUGGACAGGGGAAGAGAGAGAGAGGGCAGAGAGCAUGAUGUGCGUUUUUUGGGGUUAACAGGUUACCCCACGGGGUUGGUGAGCAGAGGAUGUCUGAGGGAGGUAUGGGAGAGGAGAGGGUUUUCAGUUUUGUCAUCUGAUUCAACAGGUAAAACAUUGUUCAGAAAUCAUUGUUUAUUGUUUGUUUCCCAUUUGCUUUGUUAAAACUAUGAUUGACAUUUUUUUGUUUCGACAAAAUUGUAAUGGAUGGUUAUAGCCUGUUUAGUUGGGUGUUAGGAAGAUAAGUCUGUUUGGUGCACUGUUUUGUACACUGUUAGAGUAAGGUUGUGUCUUUUAUACUUGGGGUAUUGCACUGUGCUCAUUUCUGUUUUCUUCAUGCUUUGCUGCUGUUUCCUUCUCAACAAGUCGAAUUCAAGUUCCUUUUCUGCUUUUCAUCCUUUGAAUAUCCCUCUGUUGCUAGGUUGUUUCUCCAUGUUUUGUUGCUUCUCUAUUUGUGUGAUAAGGGUGUUAGAAGGCUGUUUUAUUUAUUGUUUUAAUCCUCUGUUGCUAGGUAGUAUAAUUUUGAAACAAGUUUCUUCAUGUGUUCAAAUGCAUCAUUGUUUUUCGUUCUUCAGUUUCUUUUUCAUCAUUAGCUAUCUUAUGAUCAUUGAUAGUUUAAUACCAUUUGGGAAUUCACAUGCCACAACAAUAUUAAUUUCCAAGCUCCCCUGUUUGCAGCUUUAGCACGGUAAAACUUUAGUUUGGUUUAGUAUUGUGCUUUAGAGUGAACUUUGAGUGUUGAUAUAGGUGCAGGCAAGUAGUCAAACCACGUACAAAGUUUGGUGUUCAUGUUCUUUGAUUGUAUUCCUAAAUUUGUGUUGGAUAUGCAAUUAUAUGUUUCAAUAUUUUUCUGGAAAAUGUUGAGAUAAUUGGAAAAAAAAAAUUGGCUGGUGCUGAAUGAUGUCCAUGCCAUAGUUUUUAACAAAUUUCAAUUAGUUUUAAACAAGCAAGAAGCCACCUUUCAAGGACUAAAGCAUAUGUAAGAGAAUAUGUAAAACUGAAAACCAUUUAUAAUUAAAAAAAAAGGACGGAUUUACGGGCCACAUGAGAUUUUGACAUUCUGAUCAAAAAGUGGGAAAAAAAUCUCUAAACAUCUCUCUCACUGAUGAAAUUGAGGAUCUGCAGCAAUGGCGCUCAGAUCUCCACUCCUCCCUCUCCCUUUCUCUCGCUCCCAAAACUUCUUUAUUCCAAGUUGUAAAUAUGUUGUGAAUAUGCGUGAGUAGAGUUGUAAAAUAGAGAGAGAAAAUGAACUUUAAACAGAUGAAGGAAACAAAAUUUAAGCAAAAACUUCCAAUCUUUAAAAAUGUGAGGCUUUUCAGUAGGUGUGUUUUGUAAAAAGGUUUUAAUCUUUCUUAGAAAUGUAGCUUUCUCAGUUAUGCAAUGCUUUUAAUAGGCAUAUUUUUAUCUUUCCUGAUUGCUGAUUUAAUUUGGGUUUUGUUAAUAGUUUAAUUUGGAGUUUAAUUGAAGGUUUCAUUCAGGUUUGUAGUUGGGGAUUAAUUGAGGGUUUUACUUUACUUGGCUUAAAUUGCAGAAUGUGGCUUUAAAUUUGAAAGUGUCUAGGUUGCUAACAAAUCUGCUUUCUUUGCAGAUUACAGAAAUUUGGAUCAUUUGAGGAAGAAGUUGGUUCCAUGCUGUUUUGAGGUAUAUAAUUAUACGCAAUCAUUUUUGUUCAAAGCCUACUUAGCUAUCUACCUUCCAACCCAGCCUCAAAUCCCAUGGCUUUGUUGUAAAUAAAACAAAAUCAACAAAAAUUUGAACAGUGCCUGUACUUUAGACUAACGUAAUGUCUUCGUUCCCAGUCCAAACCCUAACGAGGUAGAACAGAGUUUGCAUAAUCAACUGGUAAAUGAUACAGGAUUAUCUUCUGGCGUGGAUGAGCAUCUAGCUAAGGAGGCAAUAAAAGCAGGUAGACUCUUCAUCUUCCGUUGAUUGUCAUGUAUAUGUUGGUGAUAUACAUUUUGCCAGUGCAGAUGGUUGGUACUAAAGGACUCUGUUCUUGAUUUCUGGGCCAGUUUCUGCUGAGAAACAAAGGAUUGCAGGGGAGAUUGCAUCAUUGCUAAAGCUCAGUGUAUAUUUGAUACUAACCUGUCUGAAAGGUUAGCUCAUCUCAUUUAGUUUUAUUGUUUGUUAUUGUUAAUUCGACAUCGUCAAGGUUGGUUUGUGUCUACCGAUUAUUCUUGUUUAAUGGGUUUUUUGAUGUUCAAGAUUUAAGAGAAACUUGUGGUUGUGUCACGUUUAUGUAUGAUUCUACUCACAUUAGACUAGGAAGAGAUUAUAUACCAAUUUGUACCGUUUGCACGGUUAUGUAUGAUUCAGCACUCAACUUAAAGAGUGAUUUCAUAUAUGUUGUAUUUAAUCCUUUGCUGUUAUGGUCGGCAAAUGCUGUGCAAGUUCCUCUCCUUCUUUUCUUUGCUGUCGUACUGAUUUUUCUUGAUCUCAAUUUUAGUAUCUCAGCGUCAUAUAGCCCCUUCUUUCUCAUAUUAGUUGUGUUUAUAACCGAGUAGAGUAAUAUAGUCCAACUGAAUUUCUUGUUCGCUUUGGCGUGUAAAUUGUUUUCUGCCAGCUUAGAGAAGACCAUUGCUGCAUAGCGAGCUGGGGCAGAAGUUGCUGGACUACCUGUAUGCGAUUGUGUUCUUAUUGCAGGAAGCCAGUCUGGUGUAGCUGAAGCUGAGCAAGUGGGCAUGCCAUGUGUUAUUUUAAGAAGCAGGUGGAGGCAUUUUUUGCUUCAGUAUUUUCCUGUUGCAGAUUCUCACAUACAUCUACGAGCUUUAUUUUUUAAUUGCUCAGAACAAAUCUCUGCCAGUUUACAAUUUCUUUAAAUCCUUAUCAUUUUUAUUUCCAGUGUUCACGUAGUUUGACGACUAGAGCUGAUUUCCCUUCAGCAAAUGCGAUGAUGGAUGGGUUUGGAGGAGCAGACCUGACCGAUCAAUAAACUGCGCAACAAGAGACGGUCAUGAAAUUCGAAUCAUGUUCCUCUUUUUGCGAGACUACUAACAGAGCUGUAAAUCUUUUUUUUUCUUUCCAUUAUUGAACAGCGUAAACUGACAUGAAUUUCAUAACUAGAAACAACAUAAACUAAUGUGUACCUUCAACUAGAAGCAAUCUUUUUUUAAGUGAUACUGGGGAAGUUAGAUUCGAACUCGUGCAUAAAGGAAAAUGUUUUAAACCAAUUUAGCUACAAAUCAGACAAAUUUAACUACGAACGAAAAAUAAAAUUGGACAUUAAACUACUAAUUCUAACUGAUUCCAAUUAAUCAAUCUGGUAUUGAUCAUAAAAGUGGUGGGAUCAGUGGCGGAGCCAGAAAUUCAUGCCAGGAGGGGCCUUUAAACUAAUGAAAGAAAUUAUUAAAAAAAAUUAGUAAUAUCAUGGAAAUUUUGAAUCAAACAAGAGUGAUGGAGCUUUAAAAUUUGUAUGAAAAAAUUAGUAUUGAGAGAUGUCAUAAUAAAUAGAACCUGUGUAGACAUCUAACGCAACAUUGAUAAUAACGUUAUAACUAGCUCAAACUAUUAUUGCGAUAUUUUUCUUUUAAUAUUAUUGAAUCUUCCUCUCGAAUAUAUAUAUCUUGUUUUAUAUGAACUACAAAAAAAUAAUCUAUUAUUACGAUACUUUUUUUUUAAUAUCAUUCAAUCUUCCUCUCGAAUAUAUAUACCUUGUUUUAUAUGAACUAACAAAAAAAUAAGGGAAAAUUUGAAAGAAAUCCAAUUUUAUAGUCCAUCUUUUGAAAUAAGUCCAAUUUUUAGUGACUUUUGACUUUUGAAAUAUGUCUAAUUUUUAGUACAAUUGGACCCAUAUCAAAAGACCCAAAAAAUAAUUGGUUUAAAAGAAAUCAGAAUGUUAGCAGAAGGGUAGUUAUAUAUGGUAAUUGGUAAAAAAAAAAACCAUAAAGUAGCUUUCUGUCAGCAGGCGUCGACCCCGGGACCUAAUGAAACCUUUAAAACCUGACAUACCAACACACCACAUGCAUAUUAUUGCAAAAAUUACUACAUAAUCAAUAUAAAUGUAUUUCCAGGAUGGGCCCUGGACUACCCUAGUCUCUAUGUGGCUCCGCCAAUGGAUGGGAUUCCCAUAACUGCGAGACUCACAUUAACCGCAGCGGCUGCCGUACCAAGUGCUAUUUUCCUCGCCAUUGUCCUUUUAUGGCGCUUGUGAGCUUCCUGAAAAUACAAAGCAGCAAAUUAAGUAUUAUAUUAGCUUGAGUUAACUCCCCAUUAUCUCUAUAAAAGCUUCACGGUAUUUUCAACUUAAAUGUAAAAUAAAAGCUGAUCCGUUAUAAAAUAUACCAUGGAUGAAGUAGCUUCCACGAUAUAUUUCUGAGUCAUUUCUUUGAACUUGUACCACAGUCGUUGGCACUGUACCGGUGUGAAUAGGGUAUCCUUCAAGGAAACCUAGUUCAGAAUCAAUUCUCAAUAAGAAACUGCCAGUUCAAUUAUAUAUAUCCUAUCUAUAUCUAUACUAUUGUAUCUUUUAAUAAAAUCCUCUUUGUUGACAAAAAAACUAAUGAAAUACUAUUACACCCAUCCAUGCAUAAUUGAAAGAAAAUAUUAGCUAAAAAAAAAAGUCAUGGGCAUUAAGUAAUUUUGCACAAAAAAUUUUGUUUUUUUCUUUCCCUCACCCGCAUAUGUAACCAGAGUUUUACUUCUUCACUUUCUCUCUCCCACUUCCUACUUUUCUUAUUUUUUUUAUUUUAAUUUCCAUUCAAUUAAAAAUCUAUUUUAAUUUCAUUUUUUUUAAAUUUCCAUAUAUAUAUAUAUAUAUAUAUAUAUUAAACUAAGCAAAACACAUUAAAUUAGUAAUACAUUGUUCCAACUCGAGGGAAGAGAGUCUUCAAUUUCUUUCGUUAAACAAGAAAAGAGUUCAUCAUAAUUUCGUUUCUCAUCCAAGUCAAUGGUAGCCAUAACCGCCAAAAUCUUAAGAGACUGCACAAAAAAGAGAGUGAAAAAAGGUUACUAAUUAAACAAAAACAUAAUAAUGUUAUGUCAAUGUUAAACUUCCGUUGAUUUAUAUUAAAUUAAGUUGUUCUCAGUGAUUACAGCAGAAUGGGCUUCUUCUGUAGCAACUGUGAUAUGCUUCUUCUUUUUCCAAGCCCUAGGCUGUGAAUUGCUAUCGUAACAGAAGACCCUUGAAAACCUGAAAAUUGUUAACCAAUUAAACUCUGAUAAUUAAGCAACCAAAAAGAUGACAAGAGUAUAUAUAUAUUUAUAUAUAUACAGUGAGAAAUUUGCUUUACCUAUCUUUCAUUUCGGUCAAAACUUUUUCAGCAACAAUAUUGUCUCUUGCUUUUUGCUCCACCACGUUUCUGGCAAUGUUGCUUAAAUAUUGCCUCAUUGCGUUGAAUUCUUUUUCUUCCAACUCAAAACCCUGUAUAGAUAACCUUGAUAUUGCAUUUUCAGUCUCAAGCUUAAGAAUUCUUCUUAUUGAAACCCACAUGCCUUCUCCACCAUCCCCAAACGCAGGGUCUACUUGACUAGUUAAAGAUGCAACAAGUUGUUCCUACAGUCAACAUUAUACAAAGUUUCCCAAAUAAGUAAUUUUCUUUAAUUUAUAAUACAACGAUAUGGUUUACGCUAAAGGGUGGUUGAAUAUUUCAACUAAGCUGCACAAUACCAAGCCAUAAUAAAUUGAUAUUGAACUCGUCUUCCAAGGAAGUCGAACCUGAGAAUUCACACUUGCAAAUGGAGAGUAAAUAUCAUUAUACCAUUACCAUAGCACUAGUUGCCCUCAAAUAAGUAAUUUAAGUAAUAAUACAUAAUCAACAUAUGAUUUAUUUAAUAAUUCUACAUACUAAAGCACGUAAAACUGACUACAUUGAGUUUAAUCUCUAAAAAUUGACCCUAUAAUUGCUCAUACACUAUCUAAUAGUCUUUAAUAGAGUUCACAAUAAGUUAUUUGAUGCCAGUCAAACUGAAGACAUGUUGGACUUCAGAUGUCACACAAAACCAACAAGUUACGGAAGACGGUCUUUAAUGGAGAUUGACUCUAUCAUUGUAUGGGCGACCAACACAUAUUAGAUAUUGUGUGAGGAAAGAGAUUCAUUUUGUGUAGAAAUACUACCUUAUAUUUGAGCUUCAAUUCUGACAACUUUGCACUACGAAUAAAUGAUGCUGCAUGUACAUCUAUAUCGCGUUGAAGCUUUUCUACAAUGGUUGAAAAACUCCAAUUUCUAUGUUGUAAGGAAGCAUCUGAAAGGAUAACUUAGCAUGGUUAAUUCAACUCAUCUAGUUAAGUAGAUGAAAUGCCAACAAUGAUGUUGUUUUAAAGAAAUUUGUAUGCCUUGAGAAACAAGUAACAGAAUCACAAAGGAUAUGAUAUAUACCAGCACACCAUUGGCGAAAUUCACGCAUGGAAGAAAGAAUACAGGCACGAAGAGAUUCAUCAAAUCCUUUUUCUGGGUUAAGUGACGCCGCCCUCACUUUAAACCCUUCAAAUGCUUUAGAGCAUAAGUGUACCAACAUGGUAUUGUACACAGCCUGGGCAGACUGUACAGUCCAGAGGAAAGCAAGAUUAUGAAUAGGAUUAAUGGUAAUAAAUAAGAAUAAAAUAAAAGGCUCAUUGACUUUGAAUUAUGGAUCGGUUCAAUGCUUCAUUUUAUAUAUCCUAUCUCUUGAACAAGCAUACCUUAUGCGUAGAACUGCGCCUAAGAAACUGAACUUAUUUUCCAAGAACAUGAACUUACAAGCAAAAAAUAUCAUACUGAUGUGCCCCUAUUUCCUUGAGCUGCAGUGUGCAGACCUAACUAAAACUUUGUUAACUACACUACUAGAAAACUACACGUACAGCACAAACUUACAAGCACAAAUAUCAUACUGUGCCCCUAUUUUCUAACAUUAAGCACAAAGUAGUUCUAUUCGUACUCUUUUCUUUUCAGGCACAUGUAACCGUGUUGUAUCCUUACUUAUUGAGUACAAGUUUACAUGGGUCCCAAAGGACCAUCCUAACCUGAGAAUAAGUAUUUAACUGACACGAAACGAUUAGCUAGAGAGGAAGAUCAUAAAGUAGCCAUACCUGCAAUGCUCUCGACUCCAACAUGUGUCGUUUCGACUUCCUUACACCUUCGUCAAAGUCCACGACCUCCUUGUCAUAUCUAUAUGUGAUGCACAAAUAAGCAAGAUAUAUAUUUAUCAAGGCAUACAAAUAAAGUAUCAUAAGUAGUAGAAACUAGAGUGGAACUUACUCAGAAAGAUAGUAGUAUAGAAUUGAGCUGACCCUUUUACCGAAAUCUUGUACAGGACCAGUUUCAGCAGCUUUUUGUAAUGACAACCAGCGCUAAAUAAUGUUCAUCCAAGCAACAACCAAUAAAACUUCCCUUAAGUUAGCAUCUAACAAAUGGAGAUAACUGAUUAAUACAUACCUCACUUUCCAUGAAUUGUCCCAAUGUCUUGUCGGCAGUUGCUUCACAACGCAUGGUGGCAACCAUAACCUAAUAUAAAAACAUUAUUUGUAGAUGGUUAUCUGAUUAUGAGAAGUCCUGACCACAAAUAUUGUUACGUCCAAUGGGAAAAUUUAAUAAGAAACAAACAAAGUACCCUUUGAGAAGGAAGAUCCAGGUCUUUGUUCUGUUUGAUCUCUUUCCAAAUCUGCUGUAUCAUGAGAGAAAAUGCAGAGGCAGGGACAGCACGCCUUCUAUAACCAGGAAGGCUUCCUGAAGAAGUAGAAUUGACAAGACGCUGCUUCAGUUGAGCAACCUGCAUGAUACAGUCAAAUGUACGUAAGUACCACGCUCCACUGUAAAGUUCUAUACGAAAACCAUGGUUUAACACCGCAAGGGAAUUUGGUCCUUGCACACAUUGAUCUGAUAGAUACUGGGAUCGCUCACUUUUCUACUCAAGGAGUUUUGUGCAGUCACAAUUAAUAAAGUGAUUUUUAAAACUAGGUUUCGUCUUCCUCGGCGGACAACUAAAAAUUGGUUCAUUUGCUAGCUCAAACUUUAAUUUCUUUCAAUUUCUUUGACGCGGUCUUGCAAAUAUGUCGCCGCAGAUUGUGCUUCUUGGAACAUAUGAUGCAGAUGGAGUCGGAGUGGAUUAAAGAUCAAGUCCACGAGCAAGAAUUACUUUGCAAAUUUGGACUCCCGUCCCGUUACAAAGACUGCGACAUCACAAGUUCAACACACAGCUUUGCUAUGUCAUAUGGACUUUCUCGGCAUAUUUUAUCACCAUUUUAAGUUUUUACGACGUGUUGGGUAUUUUGUUAUUUGUUUAAUUAUUUUUCUACCAAGAAAAUCUAGAGCUAACAGUCAUUAUGUAAGGCUUAUUUUUAGUUAUGACACAUGUUCAUCAAAUCUCACUUUACUACACUCGAUAUUGUCUCACUUUGACACCUACGCUCUUCCCCACUUAAUCCCUUACACUCUAUAUUAUCUCACUUUACUAUUUGUACUUUUCCUCAAUGCCCUACUUUUUACCUUGUUCCAUAAAAUAGAUUAAGAGAAUUGUUAAUUGUGCUAAGUCAUGGACAAUUUAGUCUUUUCAACUAUUUUGAUGGGUUAAAUCUAUGCACAUUGAUCUAAAAACUUUGAAAUUGACUUGCGAAUCCUGAAAUUCAACAUUCUCUUCCUCUUUUUUCUCUUGAUCUAAAGAAAUCAAAUUCUUCUUUGAGUUUAACACACCUCCUUUUACCCAUAGGUUCCACUAACAUGAAAUGUUAUAUGCUACACAACCAACUUAGUUGAUGGAAUUAAUAGGUUAAUUAAAGUGGGACAUAAAGGAAGAGUGCAUAUAGUAAAGGGUGACAAUAUAGAGUGUAGGGGGUAAUGAGGGACAUGAAGAAAGAGUGCAGGUGGUAAAAUGAAACAACAUUGAUUGUAGGGGGUGAAGUAAGAUUUGGUAAAUAGUACAUAUGCCAUAAUUUAAAAUAAGAAAUGCUAAUGAAAAUGGCUCAAAACUUUGAAUUCUAUCCAAAAGUUAUCUAAUAACUUUAUUCAAUAAUAAGGACAAAAGAAAGGAAAGGAAAAAAAAAACCCAUCCAAAUGCGCAUGCAACGUGCUCGCCAACCCACGUUUAGUUUCAGAAAUAAUACCCGUGUUCAAUUUUAGAAAUAGUCAGUUUAAGUAAUAGUGGUAUCAUGUUCAGUUUAAAAAAUAGUCAAUUUAAGAAAUAAUGGUAGUACCAGUGUUUUGUUUAAGAAAUAAUGAUAGCACUGUGUUAAGUUUUUAGAAAUAGUACCAUGCUCAGUUUAAGAAAUAGUGUAGUACCCGUGUUUAGUUUAAGAAAUAGUUAGUGUUCAAUUUAAGAAAUAAUGAGGGAGAUGAGAGAGAGUGUGUGUGAUGGAUGCGAUAAGUUUAAGCCAUUUUCAUUAAAUAAAGUUAUUAAAUGGUUUUUUGUCAAAAUAAAUGUAAUCCAAGCAUUUUUCAUUGAAACUCCCUUGAAAAGAAGCCUUGUACAAAACUACAUAUAGGCUUCCUUAGGUUUUUUUUUUUUUUUUUUUUAACAAAUGAUAUGCUUAAAUAGUUAGUUGUUAGGGGGAUGGGAAUCAAAGGGGAUCGAAUCUGCACCAGAGUGUAUAGACAUGAUUGAUUUCUACCACUAUGCUAAAGCAUCAGUCUACCUAGUUACAGUUUGUUAGCUUUCAUAUUUUCAUUCAAUAAACUUAAUUUGAGGUUCUUUUUGGUGGGUUCUAGUUUACUUGUUUUUUAAGGUUAUCAUUUGAUAUCUUCUCUUUGACAAGCUAAGUCACCUUAUUUACUUCUUCAACAAGGCAUUUUGAAGACAGCAAGGUGCUCUCUCCCCUUUGAAGGGAGUUUAACAACAAGGUCCUAACUAAGCUUUAACUUUCCUCAAAACUUGUGGGGAAAGUUUCUUGUACAACCGACAAGGUACCUAACUAAACUUUAGCUUCCCUCAAAACUGGUAGGGAAAGUUUCUUGUACAACCAAGGACUAAAACCCUAUCAAAACAUACCCAACCCAAAUCCCAAAAAGCGAAAGACCAAAACACCUCAACCCAAAACCCAAAUCACAUGAACUAUGUCCUUAGUUGUUAAAGAAAGUAAUCAUCAAAUGUUUAUCGGUGAUCUAAUAAUUUCUUAAGCCCCUAUUCGUAUUAUUCUAUUAUCGGAGUACCCACCUAUGACUUUGUUCGAAACUGGGAGCAGUGGGUGAGAUUUUAUAAGUGCAGGACAUUCGUGCUCCCUUCUCCCAUACCCUUUCUCUAUAGUUCUAGAUCUAUCUAGGGUUAUAACCAUAACUCUUGGGACUUGGGAGUUGAAUAUCAUGGGGCAACUCGAAAUACUUUAGCUAACCCUCUUGAUCUUUGCGAAACUUGUCCAAUGGAGGUUCAAGGUGGUUCAAGGCACGGAAGGCUCGCAAUUAACAAGAAGCAUGGAUCGUUUGGUUGCACUUCCGCAUGAGGUAUAAUCGGAUACCUUGACAUGAGAUAUAUAAUGAAUUGCUUUUGAUAAAGCAAGAGAGGGGUACCUCUUCCUCAAACUUCUCCUUCAGAAACUCAUAAUUUGACAAACCAACUACGUGUACCUACGUAUCAAAGGAUGUCAAAAUCAGAGACAACAUAUACAUAUAGAUAGAGACGAUCGAUCGGGAAACACAUUGACACACAUUUUAACAGAUUUUCUUGUAGUUCACAUUCCGUAACUUUUUUCAACGCUCUGAAAUGUCUAUAUUAUAAUUUAUCAUUCAUAGAUCAUUUUUACAAAAAAUUAGACAAAUCUAAAAUCAUUAAGAUAUUUAUUUUCAGUGAAGAAAAUUGAAGAAUAUGGUUUUACAAAGAAACACUAAAAUGACCAUAUUUUAGUUGUCAUAUUGUUUCAGAUUUGGGUGAUUUUUUAUAUAAAUGAUUUGAGGAAAAACUUAAAAGAUAAACAGUUAGAUUGUUGAAAUACUUAUGGAAUGGGCCUUGAGAAAUUGUGUCAAAAUUGUGUGUCCCGAUCUUAAUCCAUGAUUGGGAAGAUGAUCAAGAAUAAUCAAGACAAGAGAUCUAACGCUAAAAAAUUCAGAGAACGGGGUCCUUUCAUGGGCUUGGGGCUUCGGAACUGCAUCCCAUAUCUGCAGAAUUUGUUCACACCAUUAUAGUGUAAGGCAUACCGAAGAAAAGGAAAUAACCAACAAAAUCAAAUCAUAGAUGAAGGCAAAAUUAAUUACGUAGUACGAAUACCUUCUUUAUAUCCUUCCUUAAAUCAAGCUCCAGAUUUUUAAACGGGGUCUAAAUUAACGAAUGGCCACAAACUAGAGAAUUAGUUUGUAAGGAAGGACUACAACGUAAUUGAACAGAAUGGUCUUGUACAUAUAUUACUAGCCAAGUAAGUUAUAUUAUAUAUCUCCAGACCUGUGUCGAUUUAUCACGAAUGAUAAAAAAACAACGCAGUUUGUCCAUCAGGGGUGCCGAUUAAUCGCAACCUCGCCUAUAGUACACUCAAAAGUUACAUAAUAUCCACCGUUAGACGACAAUAUACUAGAGAAUUAGGGUCUCGUUUGAUAUUUAAGAUUAAAUUAGAGACAAACACGGUCAUAUAUAAUCAUAGCUAUUGAGUACCUGAAAAACAGUUCUUAGUAAAGGUUUGUUAGCAGCAUUCUCCCGACCAAGAUCAUGGCACCACCUGUAUAGAUAAUUGAAUCUCCAAUUGAUAUCUAAAAUAAUCUGAAAUCACAUGUGUGUAUAUGUAAUUGAAUCCUUAUGAACUGAUAUGAAUUUUGUUAGAAAGACCCAAGAAACCUUAGACUAAGUCUUUCAACUGAUGGGUUCAGUCCCCACAGCUGUUUGAAAACUUAUAGUUGUUGGCCUGUAAUACUUGUCAACCAUAAUCUUCCUUCAUACUUGUGCAUUAUAAUGUACACAUUCAUAUAUUUAUAAUGUACCCAGUUUUCAAAAAAAAUUCCCACUUUGUAUAUGUAAAAUGCACCAAUUUUUUUUAAUGUAAAAUGUACCCAUUUUUAAGUGUAAAAUCUAUUCACUUUUUAUUAUCUAUAAUGUACCCAUAUUUUAUAAUAAAAUGUACCCUUUUGUAAUUUAUAAGGUAACAAUAUUUAAAAAUAAAAAUACUUUUUUUUUUCACUCAAUUAAAAUUUGAAGAAAAAAUUAAAACUCCCUAUGCGGUAUUAAUCUUUGCACAUUUUAAAGAGGAACUGUUAAUUUUCGUUAUAAAUUUCUUAAUUAAUACUGAAAUUUAAUAUUUUGUCCUUCAAUCAAAUUAAGUAUUCAAAUUAAUGAAGUUUCAGUUUAAAAAUUUUGGUCAAUCACGGACCAGAAGCAAAGUUUUCCGAAAUAAUUUAAAGAUAUAUUAUGUAUAUUAUUGAAGUUUUGGUUUCAACUUUGUUGUUUUCAUUCUUAUUUUUCUGCUGCAAUAGCAGCAUUGUUUAUAUACAUACAUCUUACAUACGCGCAUGCAAUAAAGAAAAGCAAUACAGGUGUUGUGCUUGCUGUCAUGAUGCAGCAACUAGGGAAAAAAUAAACAGCAAACCAUAGCAACAAAACCAUGUGAUAGUCUAUCUGUCAAGGAAUAUACAUCAUUCCUUUUCACGAGCAAUAUUCCCUCUCUCCAUACUGUCAAUAUCUUAUUCCCUCUCUCCCAUACUGUCCUAGCUGUCAAUACUCCCCCUCAAGCUGGAUCAAGGGCGUUGAUUGAUCCAAGCUUGAACAAUAACCGUUGAAACUGUGUAAAAUCAAGAGCUUUCGUGAAAAUGUCCGCAAGUUGAUCAUGACUUCUAGUGUACACAGUUUCGAUGAUGUUGGAUUGAACUUGAUUGCGGAUGUAGUGGCAGUCAACUUCAAUGUGUUUAGUCCGUUCAUGGAAUACAGGAUUGGAUGCAAUAUGCAUGGCAGCCUGGUUGUCACAGAAUAAGGACAUGGGUUCCUUGCUGGUGAAGCCAAGAUCAAGAAGUAGACUCUUCAACCAGAUGAGUUCAGAAGCUGUUGCUGCCAUGGCCCGAUAUUCAGCUUCAGCACUGGACCGUGCAACCACUGUUUGUUUUUUACUUUUCUAGGUGACAAGAUUUCCACCUACAAAGGUACAAAAACCUGUGGUGGAUUUUCGAUCAAGGGAAUUACCAGCCCAGUCCGCAUCGGUAUAGGCCAGAAUGUGGUUAGACUCAUUUUUCUGCAUGAGUAUGCCUCUGCCGAUCGAGCCCUUGAGAUAUCGAAGAAUUCUCUUGACAAUUUCCCAAUGUACCAAUGUAGGAGAAUGCAUAAACUGACUGAUAAGGCUUACGGAGUAAGCAAUAUCAGGCCUUGUGAUAGUUAGGUAAAUGAGUUUCCCAACCAUGCGUUGAUACACAUUAGGAUUUGAAAGAAGGGUACCUGGAGCAUCCAGUUGAAGUUUGCUAGCAAGAGGGGUGCGGGCAGGUUUGCAGUUGACCAUAUGUGCUUCAUCAAGAAGGUCAAGGACAUACUUCCUUUGAUUUAAGAAUAAACCCUUAGAGGAGGUAGCCAUCUCAAUUCCCAGAAAAUAUUUCAAGGAUCCCAAAUCUUUAAUGGCAAACUGUUGGUGAAGUGACCCUUUAAGAGCCUCGAGUUCAUCCAUGUUGUCCCCCGUGAUGAUAAGGUCGUCAACAUAUAUAAGAACUACAAGCUUCCCUUGGACACCAUUUCGAACAAAGAGAGAGGAGUCAGCAUGACUCCUUUUGAACCCUGCCACUUCAAGAACGGAGCUCAGUUUGGCAUACCAAGCUUGAGGAGACUGUUUAAGUCCAUAUAUAGCUUUAUGAAGCUUGCAGACUUUGGAAGGUUCUUUUUCUUGAGGGUGUCCUGGAGGUAGCUUCAUGUACACCUCUUCUUGGAGCUCACCGUGAAGAAAUGCGUUUUUAACAUCCAUUUGAAACAAGGGCCAGUCGUGGUUGACUGCUACUGAUAACAACACCCUCACAGUGUUCAUUUUGGCAACGGGAGCAAAGGUCUCCUUGUAGUCAAUGUCGUAAGUUUGAGUGAAACCCCGUGCAACUAAUCGGGCCUUGUGUCUUUCAAUGGUACCAUUAGAAUUGAAUUUAGUCUUGUAAAUCCAUCUACUCCCUACGGUUUUCUUCCCUUUGGGAAGAUCUACUAUACUCCAAGUUUGAUUUUCAUUCAGUGCUUUAAGCUCAUCAUGCAUGGCAUCUCUCCACACAGGCAUACAUACUGCUUCUUGAAAGUUUUUAGGCUCAACAUUGUUUGCCAACUGACUUAGGAAAGAUGCAUGAGAUGCUGACAGUUUGUGAUAAGUAAGGACUUCAGAAAUGGGAUGCCUUGCACUGUAAGUAAUGUACUCUUGUAGCCGUCGAGGAGGGUUGCGAUCGCGAGUUGGAUUUCGUUUUGGUGCUGCUACAAUUGGUUGUGUGGCAACAACUGAUGCUGGGGCACGAGGUAUGUCUUCACUGACCAUCUCAUCAACUGGAGGAUCACUUAUAGGGUGAUAUGGGGGGGUGUCUGUAUGGAUUUCAGCAAGAGUUGGUAAUGGAAACAUAUCCAUUAGACUCUCCCCCUGAGAACUAUUUGGGGAGUGAUUGUUGAAGAAAGGAACGUGUUCAUCAAACCGUACAUCCCUAGAGACAACCAGCUUCCCAGUGUGUGGGUUAUAACAUUUGUAUCCUUUUUGAGAACUUGAGUACCCCAUAAACACACACUUGAUAGCUCGAGGUUCGAGUUUAUCACGAUGGUUUGCUUGAACGUGAACAUAACAAGUGCACCCAAAAAUCCUGAAAUGAGUUAAAUCAGACGUUCUUCCCUUCAUAACUUCAAAAGGUGAUUUGGAAUUUAGGACACGAGUGGGAAGUCUGUUAAUGAUAUAGGCUGCAGUAAGGAGUGCUUGGGACCAGAAUCUCUUGGGAACUUGCAUCUGAAACAUAAGAGACCUAGUUUUCUCUAAUAAAUCCCUAUUCUUGCGUUCGGCUACACCAUUUUGUUGUGGUGUACCCACACAACUAGUUUGAUGCAAGAUACCAUGACUGCUCAAGUAGUUUGACAGAUUAUUGGAGGUAUACUCGGUGCCAUUAUCUGAUCGUAAGGUACAUAUUUUUUAGGAGAAGUGGUUGGUUAUUAGCUUAUGAAAGUCUUGAAACGCUGUAAAAUUCACUUUUAGACUUUAAGAGAUAUAACCAAGUAACCCUAGAGUAGUCAUCUAUGAAUGUAACAAAAUACUUGUACCCAUCAAAUGACUCAACACGGGAAGGUCCCCAAAUAUCUGAGUGUACAACUUCAAAGGGUUUACUAGUUCUAGAUUUAGAGGGUACAAAAGGUAGCCUAGUGGCUUUUGACAUUUGACAGAUCUCACACUCAUGUGUGUUGGUACAAUAAUUUGGAAAUAACUUAGACAUUACUGGUUCGGAGGGAUGAGCUAGGCGUUGGUGCCAAAGUUGAUGCUUCUGGACAUGGCUUAGGUUGGCAAUGGGUUCCUUAACUUGAUUGAACUCCUUUGAGAGGUAGUACAGACCAUUUAAGAAAAAACCCUCACCAAUCUUCUUUUGAGUGACUCGAUCCUGAAAUACAACUGUGUGAGGAGAAAAAAUAGCAAGACAGUUCAAAGUAUGUGUGAUUUUUCCUAUGGACAGAAGCUGAAAUGGAAAUGAGGGUACAUAUAGUGCCGUAGACUCUACAUCACUCCCCAUCAAUUUAAUUUUUCCUUUUCCUAGGACUGGUUCCCCUUUCCCAUUUGCUACAGACACAUGAGUAGGAUUAGGUAAUUUUUGAAACUCAUGUAGACAAGCUUGUUUGUUGGUUAUAUGGUCAGUGGCACCUGAGUCUAUAAUCCAAAAAUCGUGUGUGAGGUAUACAUUGAGAGCCGUGGAAAGUGCACAAAUGAUACCUGGGAUAUUGCCGGAUGUAGUGGUGUUUGAAUUUGCCAAAAAACCAGCAAAUUUUCCAAGCAUUUAUGUGGGAUUUUCCGUGGUGACAUUGUUACCUUCAGCGAUAUCACUCUUCUUUUGGAGAAAGGCGGCAAACUCAUGGAUCAGGGAGAUAGGAUUUGAGGUGAAGUUUGACAUCUCAUUAGAUUGACAACUCAGAGAUUGGAAAGCUUUAGGCGCAAACCCUUUCCCAUCCCUGAUCAUUUUCCUUCCUUGUUAAACUUAGGUUUUAACUCAGGAUGUAAAAUCCAGCAUUUUUCCCGUACGUGUCCCUUGGUGUUGCAGUAUGUGCAUUUCCAGUCAGCUUUUCUUCCAUUAAAAGGCCUUUCACUAGUGGAGUUGUGGUUACUAGUGAAAACUCUAGCUUCUGAGCUAGACCGGGGCUCAACAUGCAUUACUUUCCUUCGAGUUUCUUCUCUUUGGAUUGCAUGACACACGUUGACGAAAGAUGGUAGCUCAGGAGUCAUUAGUAAAUGGCUACGCAAGUCUUCAUACUCAACUCCCAAACUUGCCAAUAGUUGGAACACUUUAUCUUCAUCAGCCCUUUUCAAGAGUACAGCGGAUUCAGUGGUGUGUGGACGGUAUAGAUCAAGUUCAUUCCACAUAGAUUUCAUGCUUCCAAGAUGCUGAAUGAAAGUUUGAUUACCUUGCUUAAGCCCAGCGAGGCUUUUCUUCAGUUCAAACACACGAGCAUUGUGUUGACUGUCAUACAUUUCCUUGAUCGAUUCCCAUAAGAUGUGUGAAGAAUCUGAGUAGCUGAAGAUCUCAGACAACUUGGGCUCCAUCGAGUUAAGUAUCCAGGACAUAACAAGCUGGUCAUUUGAUUGCCAUGCAUCAAAGGUAGCUGAGGAAGUCUCUGGAGGCUUGAUGGUUCCAUUUACGUACCCUAGUUUCGAUCUUCCUCCUAGGGCAAGAGAUAUAGCUCGUGACCACGACAAGUAGUUGAACUCAUUCAACAACACAGAGCACAGUCGUAGGUUGCUCUCUCCGUGUAUCAUGUUGGCUGGUGUUAAGGUUGAGGAACUUGUAGCCUCAUGACUAGAUGAGGUAUCUUCUGCCAUCACAACAAAUGAUGAACAGAGGAAGAAGAACAGGCUAGAAAGAUAAUCAACAGAGGCAGGACCCUAUGGUUCCUGCUCUGAUACCAUAUUGAAGUUUUGGUUUCAACUUUGUUGUUUUCAUUCUUAUUUUUCUGCUGCAAUAGCAGCAUUGUUUAUAUACAUACAUCUUACAUACGCGCAUGCAAUAAUGAAAAGCAAUACAGGUGUUGUGCUUGCUGUCAUGAUGCAGCAACUAGGGAAAAAAUAAACAACAAACCAUAGCAACAAAACCAUGUGAUAGUCUAUCUGUCAAGGAAUAUACAUCAUUCCUUUUCACGAGCAAUAUUCCCUCUCUCCAUACUGUCAAUAUCUUAUUCCCUCUCUCCCAUACUGUCCUAGCUGUCAAUAUAUGUAUAACGUAUGGUUUACUAGUAACUAAUAGCUGUUGUGUAUGAACUAUCCACACAUGCCCACUACCCAAUUGAAAUAUCCAUACAUCAAACGUAUGGUUUACGAGUAACUAAAGUCAGUAAAAUGGUCCAAUAGCCAAGGCGCAAAUAAUCCCAGAAAACUAAAGAACUUACAUAUUUAUCAUCACAAUGUCGGAUAUUGCCAUAGCAAAUAGAGCGCUUUUUUUCUCGAAUGCAGUAUCAUCCUGGAAAUGCCCAAAAUUGCAGAGGAAAUUGAGUAAAUCCAAGGAUGUUCAACAAUAUUUCACAAAUAGUAGCUCCUAAGGUUUGUUUCUGUAUCAAAUUCCAUAAAUUUUCUUUACUGAGUAAGUUAUCUAGUGACGAAAACUAAUCUCAUAGCUAACACACACUCUUAACACAUAACAAAUUACUCUCAACACAAGAUUACCUGGCCUCUCUCACUUCCAUCAGUACCCUCAAUAUCCAAGGCGAGGGUGCAAGGCUCAACGCCAACACACUUGGCAAUCCAAAUGCCCUUCGUUGUUUGGCUCCUGAAACGUAUAUAUAUACACACACAAAUACCGACUUGUGCCGAAAACAAAUAAGCGUACGUGCUAAAUGGUGCAAAUUCAUAAGUCACAAUUACAAACCUCCUAUCUGGAUUCAUCUCCUGAAACUUAGUGUCGAACAGAUGGUUCAUCAAAGUGCUCUUUCCUGUGAUUUCAUGUAGGCAACCAAAUUUCAGAAAACUAUAUAUAUAGAGCGCAACCAAUCAAACUGAAUAUUGAAGGUAAAGAUCACUUAUUCAUUACCUCCACUCUGAGGACCUAUGAUGGAAACAACAACAUAUUCUCUACACUUGGGAAACUUCACUCUCUCUACGAAGGUGUCGAGCCCAUAAGAAUUAAACUCGCAGUUUCCAUAGAUGAGUUGUGUGCCGCAGCUAUCUUCCCUCUCCAUUCUCUGCCCUCCCUAGCCUUCUAAACAGAGAAACUAAAGCAAAUGCAUGUGUGCGUGUCUUUGUGCAGUAGGGAAGUAGUGAGAAAAUAAUGGGAGACACUCAGAGAGAGAACUGUGUACACUAUUUACAUGCAUGUGUGUGUGUAUAUAUAGGACUUGGAUUGUCUGCCCUCUCAUCCCCUCCUAUUUUUGUGGUCAUGGUUAAGCCACAUCAACAUUUUAUAUUCUCAUUACUUUUUACUUUUUGUCUUAUUUUGUUUAUAUUCAAUUUUAAAUAAAAAAUUUAUAAUGAUUUAUGAUUGUACAAUGUACGAUGAACGGACGUGAUUAAAAGAUCCCCGGAAUCCUCACAAAGUGAAUCCGAAGAGGAUCCUCAUUCCACUCCAAAAAUGUUAGAUGUCCUGAUGACCACUCAUAAGAUCUUAUUUUACAUUUUUUACAAAUAUCUUUUUCUUUCUUAUUAAGUAAUUAUAAAAAAUUUAGAGUGCAAAAUGAUAUUUUUAAAGUGCUAAUAUAAUUUUAUAUUAUUUUAAAAUUAAUAGUCAAUUUUUUCUUCUUUAACAAAAACAUGGAAAGGUACAUUGAAAUAAGUAAUUAUCAGUAGCGUACUACAUAAUUCUCUCAUCUAUAUAGCCAAAUGUUACUAAAUUUCUUACAUCUUAAUUGGGACUGAGAUAAUUUUGUAUGUAUGUAAACAACUUGCUUUCUCUCGGUCCAUAUAUUUGCUACUAACGUUUUAAUUGGGACGACUAAAGUACUUUUGGAUGUAUAUAAACUUGCUUUCUCUUAGUCCAUAUAUUUGCCAGUAACAUCUUAAUUGGGACAUAUACUUUUGUUUGUAGGUAAACAACUCGAUUUCUCUCAGUUAAUAUAUUUACUAGUAAUGUCUUAAUUGGGAUUGACAUACUUUUGUAUGUAUGUAGACAACUUGCUUUCUCUCAGCCUAUAUAUUUGCCAGUAACAUCUUAAUUAGGACGACUGAGGUAAUUUUGACUUGUUUUCUCUCGGUCUAUAUAUUUGCUAGUAACGUCUUAAUCGGGACGACUGAGAUAGUUUUGUAUGUAUGUAAAUGACUUGCUUUCUCUCGGUCUAUUGGCCAGCACAACGUCUUAAUUGGGACUUUAAUAUUUUGUAUGUAUGUAAGCAACUUAGCUUCUCGGUCUAUAUAUUUGCUAGCAUCUAGGAAAAUUCGUAGAUUGCUAGCAUCUAGAAAAAUUCAUAGUUGCGUACCAGUCAACGAAUUAAGAUCCAACUUUUGAGUCUUGACUAAUAGUAUCAAUUAAAAUGUUCUGACAGACAAAUUCAUCUUGCAUAAUUUUUCAUUUUUAAAAAAAUUAUAUAGAAAUGUAUACGGCUAUAAAUUUUUAUCUAAUUAUUUGUUAUUUUUGGAUUAAUUUGCAAUUUUAGGUUUAUAUGUUACUGAUUUUGUUUUUAGAAAACUUCAUUUUAAUCCUUAAAAAAGAUGAGUUUUAGACUAUAACCUUGUGUACGAUUAAAAUCCAAUUUUUAUUUAUCUUUUUUUAUAUUUUAAUGUAUUAAUUACAUUUAAAUUUAAUUUUUAUUUCAUUCAUCAUAAUAUAUUUUAAUGACUACAAUUAAGCGACUAAUUUUUUUAUAAUAUAUAUUCCGAUAACAAUUUUGUAUGUUCUUUAUUUAGGUACAUUGAUACAUUUGAAUAUGUCGGUAUAUCAUCGGUACAAACAUAUAGGUACAUUGAUUCAAUAUAAUGCACUUCGUUACGUACAUUUAGGUACACACAUUUGAGUAUUGCCUUUUAGGUACAUUAAUUCAAUAUAUUAUAUUUCAGUACAUACAUUUAGGUACAUAUAUUUUAGUACAUACAUUUCGAUAUUGACAUUUAUGUACAUACAUUUUGGUACAUACAUUUCGGUAUUGACAUUUAGGUACUUACAUUUUUGGUACAUAUAUUUCGGUAUUGACAUUUAGGUAUAUUAAUUCAAUAUAAUACAUUUCGGUACAUACAUUUAGGUUCAUUAUAAUAUAUUUAGGUACAAUCAUGUAGGUACAAAUAUUUCCGUUCAAAAAAGUCAAUUUUAUAUAUUUCGGCACAGUCAUUUCUGUAGACUUAUGUAUUUAUAUAUUUUUGUAUCACAAAUUUCUUUUAAUAUUUUCUCAUUUACGUUCUUUUAUAAUUAAAAAAAACUAAAUAUGUGUAUAUUAAUAAAAUUAAAAUUUAAUGUGGAGAGAUUAAAUAAAAAUACACAUUAAAUAACAAAAAUUAAAUGUAAAUUUUGAUAAAAGUACCUCACUAUCUCAUAAUUUUACCUUUAUCCCAUUGUUCCACGUGGUUCUCCAUGCAAACCCAUUCAAACAUGGAACCCAUGCAACUGACCAGAUACCAAGCUGCACGACAAGACCUCCCAUAACUCUUACUGCCGUAUUAAUUGUAAAGGGUUGGCAAGCAGCCAGCUGUGCAAUUUGGCAUUAUGCGAAGAAGUAGUUGAUUUUUACCUACAUCCACAUCCCUAUAUGAAUGAGAACAUUCAAAAACGCAACUGCAAGUUGCGUAGAGCUGGGGUAAGCGUAUAAUACAAGUCGCAUUGUUGAAAUUUUUUCUUUUAAGUUUUCAAUUGUAUUAUUACAUUUAGAUACAUAAUUGCAUUUUCACUCGUGCAUGUACUUUUGGAAUCUCAUUCAUCGUUUGCAGUUUUGGUUAGCUAGUUUGUAAAUACUGAGCACUAAAUUGCUAAUUCUAUGCCUUGAAGUAACGAACCCUAACUGAAUUAUAAGUUCUAAAUUAUAUGGCUAUAAAUCUGUAAUAAUAAGUUAUAAUAACACUUAACAAAAUCCCAAAAGGCAAUGUUGCCAUUGCUUGAAGGAGUGAAAAAAAAAAAAGAACAAAACUUUGGAUCGCCUAAGGAAUGGAGUUCGGACUAGGGUUGGGUGGGGACAUGUGACGAGGAAAAAGAGGUCGGGGGGGGGGGGGGGGGAGUGGGGAGGGAGAGAAAAGUUAGGUAAAGACGUGUGAAGAGGAUCGUGGAAGAGGAAAGAGGAACAACCUAUCUUGAUAAUGUAAUAGAAAGUCACAAUAUAAACACAAUCUUACAGUAAUAAUUUCAUUGUGUAAACUUAGAUUGUAUAGUGUAACUUUACAUUUGUUGUAAUAUCAGACAUUGAAUAUUAACGUUGGAAAUUUGGUCUCAGAAAGAGAGAGACGCUUUCAGCUUUCCACUUCCGAAGCGUAUCUAUUUAUCCCGAUUCCGUGGCUCCUUGCCCUCCGACACCACCCUGGCGUUAGCUAGGCGUCACUUGGGCUGGUCCCAAUGUCUGUCAAUUUUAGGCCGACCUGUGGACUGGCUUGGACUGAGUGCCAGUCGAUUCCACAGGCUGGAGUGGAUUGGCUGAGUCUCAACCUGUUUUUUCCACUGGGUGCCGGCCUAUCCCACCCCCAGUGGAAAUGCUCUAAGAAUAUGAAUGUAAACAAAAAGCAUCUGCAAUGCUAAUAUUUCAUCAAUAAAAAUGAAUUAUAGUAUCUACUUUGACUAACGAUAAAAUUGAAUAUCACAAAAAUAUAUUAAAUUGAAAUAUAACUAAAUAAGAAAAAGUAUAUGAAAAUACACAUAUAUAUUAUAUUAUGUAUGAAUUAACUAACUGUAACAACGAUGACACUAAUUUUUAGGCCUUUGACAAAGUAAGAUAACACGAACACAUGUCUAGUACUAUAAUCUCGUAAGGUGUAUAUUCAUGUAUAUAAUAAAUAAUAUAUAUAUAUAAGUAAUGUAUGUAGAUUUCACUUGUACCUACUUAAGGCAAAAGAAAUAAUAUACAUAUAUACACAGUAGUACUGUUAAGUUUCAUAAACAAUAUAAUAAGUUUCAUAAACAUUGUAGUAUCAUUAAGUUUCAUAAAUGGUGUGAUACCGUUAAGUUUCAUAAAUAGUGUAGUAAGUUUCAUAAACAGUUUUUCUGAUGACGCACUGGUCAUUACGUCAAUUUUUUUUAAAAUUUUUAAUAUUAAAAUUAUGUCUUUUUCAUUAAAAUUUAAGUCUUUUUCAUUAGGCUAGUUAAACGAGCCCCAGAAAAUAUAAAUUUAAUUAGAGCUUUGCAUAGUCUUGAAAAUCAUGUAGUAUAUUACACAGGAAAAUUAGAAAAAAAAAAUGAAAUCAAAAUAUAAAAUAUAGCACUUAAAUCCUACUACAAAGUUUUUUUCGUGUUCAGCAAAAUAUGAAUGGUUGUGCAUGUAUGUUUCUUUCCUUUCUUCAUAAGAAUAUGAAUGUAAACAAAAAGCAUCCACAAUGCUAAUAUUUCAUCAAUAAAAAUGAAUUAUAGUAUCUACUUUGACUAACGACAAAAUUGAAUAUCACAAAAAUAUAUUAAAUUGUCUGUAAGUUUGUUUUCCUUUUCUUUUCUUCUACCUUGACGAGCAGUAGCCUCAAAUUUAGAUCGUGGGUGGAUUUUCUCAAUUAAGAUGCAGUUGGGGAUCAAGAUUAUUUUACCUAUGUUUCUGAAAUUGAUUUUUUUUUUCUUUUUCUUUUCGUUCCAUUAUAGUUGGAGAAGAUUGGCUUUUCUUUUCCUCGUGUCCUUAUGAAGCAAGGAAAGAAACUAGGAAGAAGACUGCAACGGCAGAGAGAAGGAAAAAUAGAAGAAAGGAGAGGAAAAAAAUAUGAACGGUUAGAUUAAUCUCAUGGUGUAUAUUAUUAGUAAAAAAGAUAAUUAUGAAAAUUUUAAAAUAGAAGAAUGAUAAGAUAUUAUAUUUUAAAAACUUACUAUGUGUCGUGUUUAACUGGAUUCUAGUGUCACUUAACAAAAUCCAAUGGCAACUGAACUCCACACAACUUUUAUCUCACAACGAAGAGGAUGUACGUUUGGUUCACCCUAGUUUUUAUUAACAUCUCACUAAAAAGAUUUAGUUUUAACUUUUUCUAAAGAACACCACUUUUAUUACCAAAUUACCCAUAAACAUCACAUUCGGUUCACCCCAAUGAAAAGAUGCUUUGUUUUUAAAGCUCAAGACAAAUUAAAUAAUACGUCCAUCAUUUUUUAAAAUAAUAAAAUAUGUAUGAAAAUAUUAUUAAGUCAAAAUUGAAACUAAAAACUGCAGGUCACGGGUUCGAAACUCAUUGAUGGUGUGGAAGCCAGACUUGUGGUCAGGAAGAGGUUGAAAUGUAUCUGUGAAUCCUCCCAACGCCCGAAAGGGAUGAAUAACCAUGACUUGACACCAGUAGUCCCUCUUUAAAAAAAAAACGAAACUUGAAAAAUGAUUAUAUAGGGUACUCAGUAUUCUAGUGAGUAAAAAGUAUUAUCCUAAAUUUUUUGCCAACUGAGAAAAUGGUGGACUUUCAUGGAGUAAAUUAACAAGUUUGACCUCUUUCUUGGUGAGUAUUUGCUGCUUUGCCAUUUGUUGCAGGGUCUAUGGAAGUAGUAUGCUAGAGAUUUUCCCAUGUAUCAUAAACGCAUUUCGAUACAUCAAGUGUAAUAAUACAAUUGAUUGUAAAUUUAAAAAAAAAAAAUUCAACUAAUUAUAUUAUAAUACUUGAUGUACUGAGCUAUAUUUUCAGCAUACUGAAAAAUUUCUUAUGGUAGGCAUACGUUGUCUCUUUCCCUGCAUUGCACACCAUUGUACACCUCACGGGUCCAUGUGUCAAUGGAUGCAUGGUGUAAAUAAUGUCUCGCUCGUUGGUUAACUUUUCUCCUCUACAAGUUUACGGACAUCACCAUCUUCCAAUAUCAAACCCGAGAACGAUGAUGCUCACAGUUUGAUGAAAUAUAGAUUAUGAGUUUGGAUAUUGGCUUUGCAAUUUUUUCCAUUAAUCUAGUUAUUCGUUCAGUCUACAAUUCGGUUAGACUUGCCAAGAUUCUUUGCAUAAUUUUUUUAAAUUACAUAAAACUACCUCAACUAUUGGGUCAUUAACAGUUUCAUACCUCGUCUUUGAAAAGUUUCAAUGUCAUACCUUAUCUUUGAAUUUGUUGCAAUGUCAUAUCUUCCGUCAGUUGUCUGUCAAUUCCUCUGUUAAAUGCUGACGUGGUUUGAGACAGGGCCUACUUUCUAUUAAAAAAAUUAAUAAAAUAUUAUUAAAAACAAACAAAAAAAUCAUUUAAUAUUUUUAAAUAUUAAAAUAUUAAUUAAUUAAAAAGUUAAAAAUAAUUAAAAAAUAUUAAAAAUAUUUUAAUAGUUAAAAAUAUUAAAAAUAUUAAUUAAUAUUUUAAUAUUUAAAAAUAUUAAAUGAUUUUUUUUUAGUUUUUAAUAGAAAGUGGGCUCGUCUCAAGCCACGUCAACAUUUAACAAAGGAAUUGACAGACAAUUGAUGGAAGGUAUGACAUUGCAACAAAUUCGAAGAUAAGGUAUGAUAUUGAAACUUUUUAAAGACGAGAUAUAAAACUGUUAAUGACCCCAAUAGUUGAGGUAGUUUUAUGUAAUUAACCAUUUUUUAAUUUAAUUGGAUCCCUCAGUAAAAAGAAGGCUUCGAACUUAAAAAGUUUUGUGAGUUUUUGAACAUUGAAGAUAAUAAAGUCCAUGGUUUUGUACUAGUUGCUUGUUUAGUCUUUUUGAAUGAAUGGAAACUGUUGGCUGUGAGAUCUAAGGUUCUAGGUCUAACAGUUAAAAACACCAGGAAAUGUGUCGGAUUCAACUUUAAAAUUCGGAGAUUUUGGACCUUGAAGCUUUUCUUAGGGAAUAAAAUAAAUAUCAGAAUCCUUCUUUUCCUAUUUAAACACUAAUUGUUUUAUUGUGAUUUUGUAUGUUUUCUUCGACGCCUGCUAUUCUUAAAUUAAGAUAGUGUUUAUUUUUAGGAAGUGAAGAUGAAUUUUAGAGACAGAAAAACAAAAUCAGUAACAUAUAAACCUAAAAUUGCAAAUUAAUCCAAAAAUAAAAAAUAAUUAGAUAAAAAGUUAUAGCCAUAUACAUUUCUAUAUAAUUUUUUAAAAAAGUAAAAAAUUAUGUAAUAUGAAUUUGUCUGUCAGAACAUUAUAAUUGAUACUAUUAGUCAAGACUCAAAAGUUGGAUCUUAAUUCGUUGGCUGAUAUGCAACUAUGAAUUUUUUCAGUGCUAGCAAUCUACGAAGACCGAGAGAAAGCAAAGUCUUUUACAUACAUACAAAAUAUUAAAGUCCCAAUUAAGACAUUAUGCUGGCAAAUAUAUAGAUAGAGAGAAAGCAAGUUGUUUACAUACAUACAAAAUUAUCUCAGUUGUUCCGAUUAAGACGUUACUAGCAAAUAUAUAGACCGAGAGAAAACAAGUCAAAAUUACCUCAGUCGUUCUAAUUAAGACGUUACUAGCAAAUAUAUAGACUGUGAGAAAGCAAGUUGUCUACAUACAUAGAAAAGUAUGUCAAUCCCAAUUAAGACGUUACCAUUAAAUAUAUUAACGGAGAGAAGUCGAGUUGUUUAACUACAAACAAAAGUAUCUUAGUUCCAAUUAAGAUGUUACUGGCAAAUACAUGGACUAAGAGAAAACAAGUUUAUAUACAUACAAAAGUACUUUAGUCAUCCCAAUUAAGACGUUAGUAGCAAAUAUAUGGACCGAGAGAAAGCAAGUUGUUUACAUAUAUACAAAAUUAUAUUAGUCCCAAUCAAGGCUCAAGAAAUUUCAUAACAACUGGCUAUAUAGAUAAGAAAAUUAUGUAGUACACUACUGAUAAUUACUUAUUUCAAUGUACCUUUCCAUGUUUUUGUUAAAGAAAGAAAAAAGUGACACUUAAUUUUAAAACAAUAGAAUAUUAUAUUGGCAUUCUAAAAUUUCAUUUUGCACUCUAAAUUUUUUAUAAUAUUACUUAAUUAGAAAGAAAAAUACAAUUGUAAAAAAUGUAAAAUGAGAUCUUAUGAGUGGUCAUCAGGACAGGACAUCUAACAUUUUUGGAGUGAUAGCAUGAGUCAUGACUUGGAUGAGUGGUGAUGUAAUUAAAUGAUGUGAACCAUUUGGCGUUUGCAUGCAUGAUGAUGAUCUUGGCGUUCUGAAGCGAAGAAAUCGUCGAUAUUAACAGCAACUGCAAGUUGCUGCAGAUCAGGACAUAUGUUAUCUACAUCCCCAAGUGAAUGAGAAAAUUCAACAACGGCAAGUUGCUGAUGAGGAAAGCGUAUGCAGAGACUUGGUCCAAAUGUAAAGUUGGGUGUGAGAAUGUGAGGACAAAAAGAGACUAAAUUGUGUAAUAGCUUAUAAGAGAUUAGAGCACUUCUUAUAUUGUCAAUUGAUUUUACAAAAAUACUACUCUUACCACAUAUUUGUACCAUUA